This 119954-nucleotide long non-coding RNA is filed under the name Eucalyptus grandis. RNAcentral's name for it is "long non-coding RNA (EGRA_LNC000893)". Lineage: Eukaryota; Viridiplantae; Streptophyta; Magnoliopsida; Myrtales; Myrtaceae. The record is from RNAcentral.
UCUUCAAGAACGAACUGGUCUCUCUACUUGGUUUUAGGUAUGAAAGUGUACAUGGCUGUGUCUCUUCUGCUUUUAGAUUCAUGCUUAAAUAAAUCAAGUUUGAGAUAAUACGACCAAAGCAAUUGCAAAAUGCCUACAUAUGAAUUUUCCGACGUAUCCAGCCUAGAGAGAUGAUUUUACACUAAUGAACGCCCAUAUUUUGUGUUCUAAAUUCUUCCAAAUGAGAAACUGCUGUCUUCUUGAAAACCUUUCCAUUGAAUCUCUUGGCUGCAAUUGACAGAUCCUUUGCUGAUUCCUCGGCAUUUGCUUUUACAAGAAAAAAGUCUCUCCCGGUCACAAAACUGUAGCUUGAAGUGGACAUCUAAAUGGUAAUCUUGAUAACAAAUCUCAUUUUUUGCUUGACUUCACAUACAGAACCACUUGCACAUGCAGUCUUCCUCCAAGCGAUUAGUGAUGGGGCCUUGGUUAAAGAAUAGCACGAUUUCAAAGCUUGCAAAGGACUAAUGCACCACAUGAGAAGAGGUCGCCUUUAUCAAGAAUCCUUCAAAGAGUAUUAACAACAUGGAGCAAAUGAUAAACGCCAAUUGCAAAUAACUCUGGAAUGCCUUUCCAUACUGACAUAGCUCAUUCUUGCCCAUAUCUCCAACUCGUGGUGUUUGGGGAGUUUCUCCAGGUUUCAUCAAAUGCAGCUUUAAUCUGCAUAAGGAAGAUAACACUGACUAAUUAUAAUUAAAUGAAGAUAUCCAAGAUCAUAGCAUUAGAAUUUACCCCAUGAUAGAUAAGGUAAAAAUGCGUAAACAUUGAUACCAAUCGGAGUUAGACCACAAUGAAUAGAGACUUCAUUAGCUAGCCGAUGAAAAAGAAACCAACAAACUUAAAAGAAGUAAACAUUUAGCAACACUUUCCCUGUUUGUAUUUAGGAACAGAAUUGAAGCUAAAAAAAUUAUGCUGAAAAGGUGAAGUGCCUAAACUACUGAACAGAAAGACGCAUUUGCCACUGGGUUAUUUUGCAAGUUCCAAUUAGCAAACUCAGCAAUGCGGGAUAAUUUGCGAGGAGGUCAAUUUCAACUUUACAAAUCCAAUGCUGCAUACAUCAGAACUGAGCUCAUCAAAUCAGAAAACUAUAUGACAACAUUCAAAGGAUGUAAUCACACCAAUAAACUAAUAGAAAUGGAGGAGCCUAGCAGUGCAUACCUCCCUUUCAGAGCCUCAUCAAUUCCGAAGUGAUAUCAUUAGAAUGCAACAGCGUCGAACAACUGUGCAUCAGGGUAACAUACAAAAAAUCAAUAGCCUAGUAAUUGAUUAAAGGAGAGCUAGAAUCUAAUGAGCAUAAAGAAAGCAUAUUUAAUUGAAAAAAAUACAUUUACGAUCCUUUAGGGAUGUGAUGUUGAGAUCAGAUCAAGUAUUUGAAUAUUCAGAAGCAUCAAAACUUCCUUGGGACACUCCAGUCAGCCCCAAAGUGUCUUUAAGUUUGGCAUGCAAGAUGGUCCUCAAUUGUUGCUGAUGAUUCCUCUGCAAAACCCCUUUUCUUUAUUUUGAUCGAUCUCAAGAUGCAAUUUGAAGUUCCUCAGCCCACUUAGCCACACCCAAAUCAGUCACGUGAUAAAGCAAUUCCAUGACAACAAUAGGAUCAAACGGGAUACAAACUAAUUAGCAAAUUCUUGAGCUCCUCGUGCCAGCUUGUUUCACAGACAGGCAAAAAAUUGUCCUUUAAUGCAAAAGGCCAUCGAUACAGUUGAUUGAAUUGAAGUCCCAAAGGAAGCCUAGAUCGUUAUAUAGACCAACCAAACCUGUCAUAGAAGCAGCACCAAUUUACCUUGCUUAAUAAUCUUUCAAAACAAUAGUUUGCCUACUGGUAAUGUUAAGGUGGUCAACAUUCAUACACGACAAACUAGCCAAAACUACUUUUAACAUUUUUUUUGUCACCAACCAAAAACACUCAAACCAUGAAUUUAAUUUUAGCUCAGUUCACCAUAUAUACUGGGAAGUGAUGCUCUUCUUAGAGGGUUAAUGAGGGCCAUCAAGGGAACAAUAAGAAACUUGACAGGGUUUUCGUUCAUCACAGAAAAUCAGAAGGCAUUCGUCCUAAACAGGACAUCUGCCAUUAGUCAAAUUUGACAUACAAAAGAACUAAAGGAACUCAAAAUGGCCAAGGAUUUUGAAAAGAAAAUAUGAACUUUGGACAUUGGGAAAUUUCGAGUGUAGUAUACAAUAAUACAAUAAUGAGUAGCAGGAGUUCAUUGGCCUCUAGAUGAAAAUUUCAAAUCCCGGGUUUGCUAAUAGGGGAACUGUAAAUCACUAGGUAAUUCUUGUUUACCUUUGUUGAUAUUUUCAUUCUUGUCUCGCAAGCUGCUAUCUGUUUGCAGUCUACAGAAGCUGCCAAUGGAAGGAUAAAUGAAAAACAUUGCUAUAAUGUAAUCAACAACAAUUAUACAAAGGCAAAUCCAGNNNNNNNNNNNNNNNNNNNNNNNNNNNNNNNNNNNNNNNNNNNNNNNNNNNNNNNNNNNNNNNNNNNNNNNNNNNNNNNNNNNNNNNNNNNNNNNNNNNNUCCAAGGACUCCAAAGCUAUAAUUUGAUCCAGUAAUUAAAAUAGGCUAUUGCAAUGCUCAGCACGUAAUCGUUCAGAUGAAUCAAUCUUGAAAGGCCCAAUAUUCUAAUGGAACUGCACUUUUUAAUUGAAAGCUCUUCCAAGUGCGUGAAUCCGCUAAGCCAAAGUGAUGUCAGCUUAUCCCACUCCUCAAAACAGAGUUUCAAUGGUAUUGAGGAAAGCUCGUGGAUGUCUUCGAGUAAAUGGCGUACGCUAAGAUUGAGUUUUCUUAGGUGGAUGAGGCUAAAAAGCUGUGGCAGUGUAAGGCUCUGACAAGUGAUCGACAGAUCUGUUAAGCCCGAAGGAAGCCUUGGCAGUGACCGGAACUCCUUACAGCCGUUUAGUUCAAGGUGUUGGAGAGAAGAAGGAAGCUCUGGCAGCAACCGGAGCUCCUUACAGCCGUUUAGUUCAAGGUGUUGGAGAGAAGAAGGAAGCUCUGGCAGCAACCGGAGCUCCUUACAACCCUUUAGUUCGAGGUGUCGGAGAGAAGAAGGAAGCUCUGGCAGCAACCGGAGCUCCUCACAGCUCCCUAGGUCAAGGCGUUGGAGAGAAGAAAGAUUCCGGACGCUUUCUGGCAGGUCAAAUAUCGGUGUUGCAUAGAGAUUGAGAAUCUCAAGGGAAGGCAAGUCACCGAUUUCACUUGGAAUUGCCCCUUUCAAACUAGUGCACCAGAUCAUUUUUAGAGUCCGCAGAUUUUUCAACCUUCCAAUAGCACUGGGAAGCUUUUCGAUCCCAGAAUGACUCAAGUUCAGAUGUUGCAAAUUCUGUAAAUCCCCAAUUGAGCUAGGGAUUUCUCUCAGUGAACGACAUUCGCGGGCAGUCAGUUUCUCCAACUUCCUCAGAUAACCAAUGGACAUAGGAAUCUUUGUAAAACCAGAAAGAUCUAAUCUAAGUACUUCUAAAUCUUUUAAUUCGCCCACCUCUUCUGGUAGCUCUUUGAGACUUCUACAGUGAUACAAAUCUAAGAAAACGAGGCUCGUGAGUUUGCCAAUAGAAGGGUGGAGAUCUUCUAGUUUGUCACUUCCGAACAAGAUGAGAACCUUCAACUGUGUAAAGCCGAGAGAUCAGGAGUACAUCUUAAAUUUUCGCACCCCGAAAGGCAGAGAACUUUAAGCCGCUUUGAUGCCUAAUACGAAAGAGAUAAACUGUUAAGGAGGAGUUGAUUGGCUAAACAAAAACAAAACCCUAAAAUNNNNNNNNNNNNNNNNNNNNNNNNNNNNNNNNNNNNNNNNNNNNNNNNNNNNNNNNNNNNNNNNNNNNNNNNNNNNNNNNNNNNNNNNNNNNNNNNNNNNUCUUCUCCUAAUCUUACCAUGAACGAACUCCAUCCUUCCCAAUCCUCUGUGAUCUGUUCCCAUGAUGAUAACCACAACACCGAUAAAUUCGGUAGAUGCAAAUUGAUCGGUAGAUAAAACAAAUCGCGACGACUGACCUCAAGCCAUCUCACUGAAGAGAGUUCCAUGGAGUCUUUGCUUGAAGCUGCCCCGAGAAAGUUGUGGAAACAGGGGCGUCUCUGCAAGUUUUUUAACUUUUUAGUUUUCGCCUUUUUAAAUCUUGGAUUCGCACGAUUGAUACCUUUUUAUCCUUCCCCUGUACCUUUUGACGACCUUUCGAAAAUUAAACAAAUGACGUGAAGAUAAAGAAAAAGAUAGUUAUUGCUUUAAAACAACUAAGACAAAUGCACCUCAAUGUUUUAUCCCUUGCUUUUUUCUUUAUCAAAUUUUGUAGCACGUAUAUUUUGACUUUCAUUUAAGAUGAAAUGCAAGAAACCAUUUUACAACGUAUAAAUAUUUACUUGUAAAUUUUCAUAAGACUUCUCCAUCAUUUCUCUAAAGAACGUGUCAAAGAGUGCCAAUGGGCCACUUGUAAGUAGCUAAGGAAGCACCCGGUUUCCAUUUCAUUAGUUAAAUGUAACAAUGUGGAAGAGGAAAAAAGGGGAAUUUUUAAUAUAUUCCGAUAUACAUAAAGAAGAUUACAUGGUGAAAAUCAAAGAAAUCAAAAAUGAUAUGCAUAUCAAAAUGGAUAUUAAAAAUCAAGAGAAAUAUCCUAAAUAUCUCUAAAGAUAUCUAAAUAUCUUUAAACAUCAUUAACUAUUUGUGUGAAGUGUUCACUCAUUUCUUUGAAAAAUGAAACUCAUUUAUUUUUGGUAAAAUAUGUUUAGAAAGUGACGCCGUAACAUUGGUUAGCAGUUUUGACGGAUUGAAAAAAUAAGUCGAUUUCAUAACUAAAACAUGAACCGGUUAACUAAAAAGUGACGUAGUUUUAGUGACGUAAUGACAUUGUUUAAUCAUCAUAUGUCCGUUUCCAUAAGAACGGAAUCGUUCCUUUUUCCAUCUUAUAAAUAAAAAAACAUAUUGUUUAACUUUCCUACUAAAACAUAUCAUUUAAUUAGUUGAAGAUGGUAAAAAAUAAAUUCCCUUAUGGCCUUAAUUGACUUUUAUAAUAAUACCUAAAUUUUCCCCCAAAAGUUUAAUUGGUUAGAAAUUCGCUUUUACGGUUUGACACAUUUGUCGUUGUUUGCUUCAAUAUUAACCAGUGAAAUGCAAUGGGUAUAAGUUCUCUUAAGUCUAUUCGUCAGAGAAGUCGCUAAAUUGUUGUAAUCACCAUCCCAUGCUAUCUUUCAGAAUUUUCGCUUGUACAUCGAUCUAUACUGUGUAUUACAUAAAAAAAUCUACUGUAUGAAAAGGGAAUUUCAAACGUCAAACUCUCCUCAAAAGUUUCCACACAAUUCGUAUAUAUUUCACCAAAAUGAACUAAAGAAUUAGGAUAUAACAAAAUAGACAUAAUCAUAUUUGAAAUAGUCAAGAAAAUUGGAAAUUAAUCCCAUUAUUAUUUCAAUUUCCAAAGUUAAAUCAAAAUCUGUCGAAUUGUACAAUCGUUUAAUUUUUUUUCCGACACUAUUUAUCCUCUUUCAGCAUUUUUGUCCAUUCAAAACAGAAUUGACUUUUCUUUUUCAUUUUUCCAAACACAAGUAUGGUGUGCUCUUUUUGCUAAUGUUAAGAAGUUAUUGGAUCAACAAAAGACUGUGACAUUAAAUCAUAGGAACGAACUAUUUCAAAUUAUAUCAAGAAUAUAAAGCUGCUUUAUUUGCCCAACAUCUCUUGGUCAAUUUCUAGGGUUAAUUCCUCUCCAUUGAUCAGCCGUGAGCCUAUGACGCUUAUCAGAUGGACAAUAUAUAAUAAAAUGACAUGAACAUUAAUAAUUUAAGUAAAAGAUAAAAGAAUCUUAUUGUUUUGAAUUAAUUAUCAGUUAUUGUAAUUGGCACAUACUAUCUUCUUCUUUUUUAACCUAGAAAUCUUCAUUUAUUUGAUUUACGAUGUUUGUACUUCAUCUACAUUCGUUCUUGUAGUCCUUCAGAUUAUCAAUAUUUUCAACUAGAUAUGACAAUGGCAUGCUUUUAGUAAAUGAGUUUUAUAGAGCAAAAUUGUAGUUAAAAGAUCUUAAAUUGAUUGUCAAGCGAAUCUUUACAUAUGUAAUUUAUAUCAAUGAGAUCGAAUCAAAUGGUAUAACUUUUUCAUCCUUUAAAUACUCAUAAUCCAUUUAGCUGUCAGAAAUAAUCUAAGAUGGACAUAAAUGGAUGUUUACAUGGAUCUUUUUUCCUAAUAAGUAAGAGCACCUGUUCAUCCUAGAUGAAAUAUUAGAAUAGAUCAUAUUAAAUAUAUUGAAAUAAGAGGGAAAGAAAAAGAAAGGAGUGCCAUAUUUUACCAGUGCAUUGAUUUUUAGUACUUUUGGGACUCCCUCGUAGUCGUUGUCCCAUGGUCCACUACGUUUCUCAAGCGGUUGUCCUUGGCAAAAAAUGCUCCUUCCAAGAUCUCUUAGUUGAUCAUGCACUAGAAAUUCUCCAUGAUCUCCAAUUUUAAUUAAGCACCUCAACUUCAACUCUUCAAUGCCUUGACUUGGAUAAAGCCCACAAUCCUCCCACAUGUACAUGGCGUAUUUAGUGUAUUCACUCCUUUCGCCAAUAAAGAAACAAACAAUAUCGAGAAAAAUCUGCUUAUGUCCAUCUUCUAAUGCAUCAUAACUUAUUUGCAAUAUUUUUUGGACGUCUCUAUGCGGUUGGCUUUUUAACUGCUUUCGCACAUCUUCCCAUACUUUUCGAUUCGGUUUUUUAUACAAGUAUGAACCUACAACCUUAAGUGCCAAGGGAAGCCCACCCAUGGUGGAUACAAUAUCACGAGAUAGACCCUCAAAGUCCUUUGAAGAAUGGUCCAUAUAAAAUGCAUGUCUAUUAAACAAAAGCAAAGCAUGCUCCUGAUCCAAUUCAUUCAAAUCAUACUUGUGUACAUUGAAUUCAGAUUGAUCAAGAAUGGCUUUAUAUCUGGUUGUAGCAAUAAUAAUACUUCCCGCCAUAAACCAAUUACGUUCUCUAGCCAAAGCAUUUAAUUGAUCCUCGUGAUCUAUAUCAUCCAGAAGAAUGAGAACCUUUUGUCCUCUGAAUCUAGAUUUGAUCCAAUUAAUUCCAUCAUCAACAUUUUCAAAUUCAAGGUUGAUUUGUAGAAUGCCCUUAAUUAGUUGCUUUUGUAAAUGAACAAUAUUGUUGCGGCAAGCUGUUUCUCGAAUAUCUGCAAGGAAGCUACGAUGCACAAAGUCAUUUGACAGCUGGUUAUAGAUUAUCUUGGCAAGAGUCGUUUUUCCAAUCCCACCCAUGCCAUAGAUUCCAAUCAUUUGAGCAUUAGUGGUAGGAGUGUCUGCCCAUUUCAUGAUUCUGUUCACAUGAUCAUCAAUUCCAACUAAGUGCUUAGUAACAUCAAGCUGAAAAUCUUGUCGCAACUUGCUCAGAACAUUUUCGAUAACUUUUUUCACUAAUUCUCCUUCAUGCCUGUCCAACAAAAAAAAACUCAUUGAUAAUUUUGUGAUUAUACAUAAUCUCAUCAAAAGGCACCGACAAACAUGUGAAGAAUGGAUGGGACCAAUUAACAUGCAAGAUGUUUUGGUUUUACAAAUAAAAAUGAGGGAUGAUGGCCAGCGGUCAUUUAAUUGUUUUCUUCUCUCUUUUGCUAGAUGGAUCUUGUUGAAAGAAAAUAAGGCGGUGCACCUGGCUCGUUAAGAGUCUCUAGAAGUGUAAUGUUUGUUACAAGGCCUAAGAUUGCUGCUAGUUAAAUGAUAGGAGGUCAAUUUUGUUUUAAUUAAAGAAGUUUAGGAGAAAAGUAUGUUACUCCACUCUAAGGCCAGGGCAUCUCACAUGCCAAAAUUGAGGACUUAUAGUUGAUUUACAAAUCGCUACCGAUGGGGUCUACUGACAGUAAAAAUCAAACCUAGACAUGGUAAAUGUGAAGUGUCCGGUCCUUUUCACCUGAGCCAACUUCCAUUCGCAUGAGGAGGUCUAUUUUAUCUGGUGGUGAUAAAGCUUUGAAAUACUGAGCACGCGAGUCCUUUCUAAGCGUAUUUUUUGGUGAUUGACACUAUUGGCUGGAGGGGUUGUCAUUUAUUUGAUUUCUGCUCUGUUGAAGACAACUGUAAUUCAUCUGUUUGGCAUGAACAAGAAAAUUUACAGAAUAAUUACUAAAAAAAAUUUGAAUUUAUUAUAAUUGUGUUAAUUUAGUCUUUAAUUUUUGUAUGGCCAAUUUCGUCCUACACAUUUUGAAAAUAUGCUAAUGUGAUCCAUCUAGCCAACUUUGGCUAGAAAUCGCUAACAUGGACACAGGCUGUUCUACAAGGCACUGUCGAUAUCGACAUGAAGUAUUUUUAUAAUUUUUUUAUAAUUUUUUUUCUGAUUUUGUUGAUUUGCUUAUAUUUUUUGUUUAUUCUUUCUUUCUUUUCUUUUUUUCCUUCUUCUUCUACGGUCAUUGGCCAUAGAUGAGGGCUGCCUCGCCAUGAGGGCUGACCUCGCCUGAAUCUGGUCCUUCUAGUGGGUCCUAUAGAGAAUCGGAAGGAGGGACAGACCGAUAGUUUUUCCAACAAGAGAGGGCUGUCGUUGGGUCAGAUGAGGAGGUUCGCCACAGCCAGAACGUGCUGCCGAACUUCGACUGGACGGCACAGGUGGCGCCAGUGGAUGCAACGGAGCAGAGGAACUGUUACUUUGAGGACAAAGACAGAGAUAAAGAAGAGCGAUAUGACGAUGACGGCGGACAAUGGCUCACCCUCAACCACUUCGCUUGCGACAUCCCCAAUUCUUCUUCUUCUUCUUCUAUGACGAUGACGGCGGACAAUGGCUCACCCUCAACCACUUCGCUUGCGACAUCCCCAAUUCAAAAGGACUAGAUUCCAGUGAGGUCGCCCUUGCCAAAUUCGGCGAGGGCAAGCCUCACCAACCCUCGUUUGUGGCCUGUCACCCUCCAUCAAGGAGGCUGUGGCCGGAAGAAGGAAAAAAAAAAUUAAAACUCCUCCUCUCCUCCUCCUCCUCCUCCUCCUUCUUCUUCUUCUUCUUCUUUUUUUGAGAAUUUAGUUUGGGUUGGCCUAGCCUCUUCAAAAGGACUAGAUUCCAGUGAGGUCGCCCUUGCCAAAUUCAGCGAGGGCAAGCCUCACCAACCCUCGUUUGUGGCCUGUCACCCUCCAUCAAGGAGGCUGUGGCCAGAGUGGAAGAAGGAAAAAAAAAAUUAAAAUUUCAGAAAAAAUAAUAAAAAAUUAUAUACGUUAACAAUUUUCAGUUGAUCAACCGGAUGACUAUAUUGGCAAAUUUUCAGAUGGUCUAGGAUUAAUUUGACUGAAUAAAAAUGUUUAGGAUUGUAUUUACACAAUUAUAAUAGAUUUAAGAUUUUUUUGGUAAUUUCUCCAAACACUUACUUAUCAAAAAAGAAAAGUUAAGGUGGAAGCAAAGUACCCGUUAGCAACUUUCUCGGACUCCCAUCCAUGUAAGUAACUCACUUCUUUGAGUGCUUGCUGCCCUUUCUCGAUAUCCUCCUCAUCAAAAUACUUCUUACGUGAAUGGAAAGCCUUCCCAAAACUUCCUUUUAGAUGCCGCACAUCUGAUGGAUCCACUUUAUAAAAGAUGGGCAAAACUAUGUGUGAUGUGCUCUUCGCGUGAUCCAUGAUAUGAAUAAGCUCGCGAAGGCACCAUUUGCUUGAAGCAUAAUUUUUGGAGAUGAUGAGGAUCGAAAUCUUAGACCGAGUGAUGGCAUCAAGAAUCCGUGGACCAAAUUCCUCGCCAAUUGGAAUGCUCUUAUCAUCCCUAAACACGAAAGCCGGUACAAUCCCCACCUUGUCUAGACUGUGAUAGAGGUGAUCGGCGAAUUCCUUGCGGGUAUCUGACCCUCUAAAGCUCAAGAACACAUCAUAAUGAUCAUUACCUUCUCCUGUGGGUGUUGGAGAGAUGAAUGAAGGUGUGGAUGCUCUCUUCUUCUUCUUGAGAAGAUUGAAUGCAAGCAUACAGAAAAGAAUCGUUGCGACAAGCGCCCCGAAAGAACGCCCCAUUACAAAAGGGUGCAUCCCUUCGUUUGUUUCAAUGUGACUCCGUCCAUUGUCCAUGGUGGCAAUCGGCGGAAGUUGGAAAGAAAGAUGCUCUUCUGCUGCAUAAAAAGAUUGAUUACUAGUCUCUAUCAAGUAUGAACAAGUAUGAACAUGAAAUCUUUAACCAAGCAAGAAAAAAUAAACAUGAAAUCUUUAAUUAAUUAGUAUUUGAUUGACUAGGAGCAGUUGCAUGCUUUUAGUCCUUGCGUUAUCUUCUUUUGCACAUCAUCCUUUAGUCAAGUCAAUCUUGCUGGCUUUGGUCUCCUCACGUGUAACGUGUACAUUAAUUUCUUAAUUGGGCUAUAAAAUACUAGAAUCUAUGUACAAGUAUAUCGCAUUCAUUCAAAAUUAUUCGUAGUGGUUUAGUUGUUACUUGGUUAUUGAAAAUAAGAUUUUGAUAAAUCAUUUUUUUGUCAAAGAAUUUGAUAAAUCAUUUAGAAGCUGAUAAUUGAGUAUUGGAAAUGUGGGGAAGACGUGAAGAAAGGACCUAACAGUAAUUAUGAAUGUGAUUUUAAAUUUAAUUAUGCCAUAGAUUUCUCCUCCUGCACAGCACAAAGCCUCCCGUCUCCUUGUUUAUCUUCUCCUCUCGCCGACACAUCCUCUCUUCCCCGCUCUCUCUCCCCUCGUUUUCUCCUUUUCCUUCCUUCUUUUCCUCUCUCUCCUUUCUUUUUCUUCUUGCUUUUCCCUUCUUUCUUUCUUUUCUUCUUUACCUUUUCGACUCUAAUGUCUUUUCCUUUUUUUCUCUAUCAUUUCAAACUCUACUUCACCCAAUAUUAGUACCUUUCCACCAAAUCACUUCUCACUUUUUGACCGUAUUUUACAGUUCACUCUGACAGUCGAAAGUCACCAAGUGAGUGUCUAUGGUCAUGAAUGUAGAGCUCUUAAUCUAUUAAAUUAUAGGAGAAAAGCCACAAAAAAAAAAAAAAACUCCAAAUUUUGCCCAAAGUAAUAAAUUUAUCUCAAACUUUUUUUGGUGACACGAAAAACCUCAAAUUUUGCUAACCGUUACACAUUUACCUCAAUUUUUUUUUAGUAACAAAAAUUAGCAAUAUAUAUGUGAUGAUAAUUUUACAAAAGUCGAGGGAAUUUCACAUGUAUUAUUCUGUAUGCCUUAAAAGGAUGUUAGGCUUUAUGGGAUGAGUAAUAAUCAGAUGUAUUUUAUUAUCUGUGGUAUCAAUUGGAAUAGACCAGAGAAUGAAGGUUGUGCUUACCUCCAGGAGCGAUUCAGAGAUGAAAUAACUGUGACGGAUUUCAGUGUUUGAGAAGAAGUCACCUCGAAGCAGAUCGAGUUGGGUCCGAGUCCCGAAAGGCCGCGCAAUCCCGAGGAUCACCUUCACGCCCCGACCUAGACCGGCUUGGUUUGGAAAGACACGGAGGUAUAUUUGCAGAUCAUCUCAGGUCAGAACGUCGCGAGAAAGGACGAGUAGUGGCUACGAAAUCACCAACUACAGACGGGGAACUUACUGUCUUUUGAUAAAAUCCAGAAACGACCCCCGUGUUCCGCCGAAGAUCCCCCAAAUCCAACAACCCUAAUCACCUCAGCGGAGUCCAUUAUCAGAAAUUAUAGCAAGUGGAACACUAAAAAGUUCGAAACUCGACACGAUUCGAAUUGAUUUUACCUGCUGAUUGGUGCCCGCCGAAAAACCAGUCCUUUGAAGCCGGUGGUUCGGAAGGAGCGACUGCAGGUGCUCUUCGCGACGGCCUCGGGUGUACUGCUCGGUGGAUUCGCGAGAAAGAAGAUCGCUGCUUCCUCCGCCGAUUCAAGCCGAAGUUCUCGCUCUGGUCGUAGAGGCUUCGAUGUGCUUCAGACCUGGAAAUAGAGAGAAUUUAUACGCGGGGGUCGGACAACGCGGUUCCGUGUUGACUCUCUCUGAUGGAAGAUGGUCACGUGCCAUGGUUAGGUGGAGGCACGUGUUUUGGACGCCCAAGCCAAAGUUGGCUUGCAAAAGAGUAUCGGCGGCCCACCGUGGAACAACGGAGAAUCAAAUAGCUGCUGAUUGGCAGGCGAAGGGCGAGGGGCUCGCUGCCCUGACGCACGGCAAGCAGGAGCCGAGAGCCCCGUGAUCAGGCUGCCAGUUCUCACUAGCCAUACCACAUAAGAUACUUUUUAUUCAAAUUAAUAAUUUUCAAUCAAAAUUAUUUAAAUAGACUAUAUUGAGAAAUUAUUAAUAAGUUGAAAAUUAAACAAGUUGAAUUAAAAAAAUUUAUGAUUGAAUUAGUACGAAUAUAAUAAAUUUAGAACUUUUUUGAUAAUUUUUCCUCAUUAAAUCAUACGGAAACCACACUGAAUGAUAAGUUUCUCUAAUCCAAUCCACAAAUGUCUUCCUAGAAAUUUCUUGUAAAUUAAAUUAUUUUAUAAUGAAAGAAGGUCACCUUCCUCCCAUGAAGUUCACGAUGGGUUCUAGAGUUUUCCUCCCAUGUCUCUUUUUAAUUUUAACCUUUUUGGCCAAGACCUCAAAACAAUUCCUUCCUUGAAAUUGCCAAGACUUCUUUUGAUUCUUACCUUUUUGACCAAGAGCUCAAAACAAUUCCUUCCUCGAAAUUGCCAAGACUUCUUUUGAUUCUUACCUUUUUGACCAAGAGCUCAAAACAAUUCCUUCCUCGAAAUUGCCAAGACGACCCCUCUGUAGACUUUCCUUCUUAGUUUUUUUUUGUUAUUUGAUCCAUUGGCCAAGCAAAUCAUAGUGAAAAUUAACCUUUUGAAGAUGGGUGAUACUUUUUGCUUUAUCCUCACCUUUUGACAAUGGCUCUGCUUGGCCACUCAAUUCAAAUUGAAGAUGGGCGAUACUUUUUGCUUUAUCCUCGCCUUUUGCUUUUCCUACCCCAUUAAUUGAAAGAGUACAUACUUUUAUGUUGAAGUCAAGGUGUUCACAAUAGAAAUUAGUUUUCACACGAUGCUAUUUCAAAAUAGCCCCACAAUCAUCUACUUUAAUUGGCAACUUCCGCAAGGUGUUCACAUCGGAAAUUACUUCCCCUCUUACCUCAAAAGAUGAGCCAGAUGUGCUUGGGAUACACACAAUCCCACCAUGGAUUUACGCGUCCUUGUUGAAAAAAUUUACUACUUUAAUCGAUUAACUCUCAUCUUUUGUUAGUUCUCUAUGUAAUAGGAUCGCAUGACCGCAUAAAUCAAAGUGAAGAUGGACAACAUUUUGCUUUCCCUUCCCAUUUAAAUGAAAGCCUCUCACUACUAGAGGCAUUGAAAUGGUAAAAAAUUUACAUUUUAACUCAUAUUUAGUGACUCGGAUCAUAUAUGGAUUAGCUAAAAUUUAAAAAAUAUGCUUUUAUGAAUUCAAAGUAUUUGAUUUAAUAUAUAUUUUAAUGAGUCUGAAUCAUGUCUAUAUUAAUCAAUGAAGAAAAAAUAAAAUUGAUUUUUCCAUUUGCUUUCACGGGACUCCUUCUUAGUUGGCCUCAUGCUCGAGUGUGGUAACCCCAGCAUGUGGAACACAUUGUAUGUGGUGUGACAACUACAUGAGAUUUUUCUUCACUUGCCUAUUGCUUUGACCAACAAUUGAGAGGUACCGUUCCCUACUCGUUACAAACUUCUAGAUCUAGUGGAACUCAAGAGGAACUUAUAUGGAUCCUAUCUUAUUUAGUUCUCCAAACAUGAUCUUUCUCACUAUAUCAAUGAGCUUCAUGUCUAGAUGACAACAUCAAUUUGGGGCAAUUCAGCCAAACCUACUCCAUAUAAUUGUCACAUGAAAUACCGUUUAUUCUACCGCAUCAUUUCUCUCUCUUUCUCUCCGCCAACCCCCCUUCCCUACCACUACCAAUUAAUGUCACCAUCCCAUAAUCACUCCCCUAACCAACACCAAUGAUGCCUUCCACAACUUAUCCCCUAUCUCUAUCCCCUCCCCUGCAAUCUCUUUCUCUCUCUCCCUCCCUCCCCCCCCCCCCAUCCUCUGUCAUGGCUCCACUAAAAAUAAAGGCAUCUUGUUGUAAUGACACUUGACUAGAUCUAGCGUCCCAUUUGAGUCAUUCUGACAUGCAUCAAGCUAUACCCGACAUCCGAUCUCGAUUAAAUCUAAUGUUGAGCCCAACACGCAGUGGGCCAUCAUCAAGGAUUCAUAUCUCAAGAACAAAUAUGUUGUUGCAUUAAUCAAGCACGACGCCAAAUUGAGUCAAUAGGAUAUUUCUCCAUACAUGACAUGCUCAUGUCAGUAUUUCCAUUUUGCAAAAGAAAUCUUUAUCAAGAAAAAGACUUUUUUGGAGAUUCUAUAUCAAUUUUUCUAUGAACCGAGUUAAUUAUCUUUUAAAAAAUUCUCUGGUGAGGGAAAGCAAGCCUAAGUGUUCUGCCAUCUUGCUUGCUUAGUCGCAAAGAAAGUGAUAAGGCAAAAGUCGACAAGACCUACUCAAAAGAAAGGGGGAAAAAGGAAGAGGGACAAAAAGUAAGGCAAAAGUCGACAAGACCUACUCAAAAGAAGGGGGGGGGGGGAAAGGAAGGGGGACAAAAAGUAAGUUAAAAGUCUUUUACCAUCUUGCUUGCUUAGCUGCAAAGAAAAGGAUAAGAUAAAACCCGGCAAAACCUAAGGGGAAGAUUCUAGUGAUUACAAGCAAGUCAAGUCUUCUACCAUCUUGCUUGCUUGGUUGAAUCAACAGAGGAGAGGCCAUUAUUUAUCUUGAAAAUAUUGUAUAAAAUUAAUAAAUAAAUGAUGUGGCAGAAAAUUAUAAGAUAAUAAUUGUACCAAAAUUUGCAUUUUACAAUUGGGUUUCUUAUGGGGUUUGCACGGUUUCUCUUAAGUAUUUUAAUAAAAUCUAGAUGUCCGACAAUGCUUCGUAAAUAUGUUAUAUAUCAAAUUCUUCAAUUUGCAUAUUGUUCUGAUAGCAUACAUGGUAAUGUUAUUCUUCUAUAAUUAUACUAUUUUUCCUUUAAAAUGACAAGAGUAUGCAAUAGGUGUGAUCCUGAUGUUAAUUUAUCAUCAAGUGUUUGAGGAAAGCUGAAAUUUACAUUUGAAAGCUAUAUGUUACUUGAAAAUAUAAAUCAGCAUAGCCAAAAGUAGUUACUUCAUUAAGUUGGUCAAAUUAUCAUCUUUAUUUAAAUUCAUAAAAUUAAUUUUCUUCUCUCCUGCUUGCUUUGCUUAUGCUAAUCGUGAAUUUUUUUUUUAUGAGAUUUACAUUACAUCCAACAUUUUUUUGGUCCAGAUACAAUUCAGCACAUAUGUUAGAUUUAUAGAGUAAUUGCUCCAUAUCAUGAGAAUGCUAUUAAAAGGAGUAACAUGUAAAACUAGUGAGAUUUAUGCCUUUUGCUAGGAACAUACUUGUCGUUUUUUUGGCUUAAUAGAUAAUGGACAGUUAUGAUGAUAUGAAAAAUCUGAUUUUUGCUCGCUCUUAUUAGUCAUAAACCCCGGGAAUCAAAGGUAUUUAGGCACUCUCCAUGGCUUCAUUCGUUUCACAUAAAAUGUUGUGGUUCUAGAAAAUAUUUUCUAGAAAGCCAUUUUUUAAGAAAAUAACAAUAUUUCCUGGUGUUCGCUUGAAACAUGAGAAUGAACUGAAAAAUAUUUUUCGCCAUUCAGUGUGGAAAAUUCAAUUUGAUUUCCUUUUGUGCACUCAUUUUAAUAAUUUUUUAGGGAAAAAACCACCAAAAACCCUAAACUUUGCCAAAAGUGACAAAUUUACCCAAAAUUUUUUUCUGUGACAUGAAAAACCCUGAAGUUUGCUAACCGUGACACAUUUACCCCGAACUUUCAUUUGUGAUACAAAAAAUCCUCAACUUUCAUUUUUGUGACACAUUUACCCUAAAUCAUAAGGAUAUUUUUGUCUUUUUACUUUUAAAAUUUUUUUUUCUUUUUCUUCUUUAUUCCCUCUGCCGGCUCCGGCGGAGGGAGACCAGCGUCCGGCGAGGGCCGCCCUCGCUGGCGUCGGGCGAGGUCGGCCCUCGCCGGCAUCGAGUGAGGGCCUCCCUCGCCAGACCCUCGCCAUAUCUAGCGAGGGCACCCUUGCCCGACACCGGCGAGGGAGGCCCUCGCCCGACGCCGAUGAGGGCCUGCGUCGAGCGAGGGCACCCCUCGCCGGCGUCACCCCAGGCGAGGGCAACCCUCGCCAGGGAGGCCCUCGCCCGACACCAACAAGGGCCACCCUCGCCUGCGUCGGGCGAGGUCACCCCUCGUCCUUGCCAGACGCCGACAAGGGCCACCCUCGCCGGACGCCGACUUCCCUCUGCCGGGGCGGCAGAGAAAAGAAGAAAAAAACAAAAAAUAAAAGAAAUAAAAGAAAAAAACAGAAAGAAUAAGACGAAAAUGCCCUUAAUGGGGUAAAUGUGUCACAGUUUACAAAGUUUGGGGUUUUUCGUGUCGCAAAAAAUAGUUUAGGGUAAAUCUGUCACUUUAGGCAAAGUUUGGGGUUUUUGGUGGUCUUUUCCCAAUUUUUUAUUUUUUAAAAAUUUGAAAUUUUGAUUCUUUUAUUUUUAAAUUUUCUUUUUGCUUUUUUCCUUUUACUUUUACUUUUCUAUUUUUACCUUUUCUAUUUUUUUAUAUUUUUUUUCCUUCUUCUUUGGUCAAUCGCCAACCACAAGAUGAGCCCGAAAAGAAGGAAAAAAAGGAAAAAAAAUGAAAAAUGAAAAAUGAUUAAAAAAUUUCAAAUUUUUUAAAAAAGAAGAAAAGAAAGAAGAAGAGGCUAGCAAGGGUGUGAGAUAAGAUAGAGUAAGUGAGGAAAAUGUUUUCCCUUAUUUUAGAAAAAAAUUUGCUAUUAAUGCAAAAUGUUUUUUUCAACUAGUUCAUUUUCUAUUAAAUGAACCUUGAAAUAUCCGAAAAACUUUUCCUGGAAAUUGUUUUCCGAAUGAAGCCCAAGUGUCUUCCAGAGCAAUAGUAUGAUAAAUGGAACACCAUUGGAUCUUUGACUCUUCUCUCUUUAUUCGAUACUAAUUCAUAUCCUCACCAUGAUUUGGACUAUACAAUGUCAUUGUUGUUCUUGUGUCCAUGUUGGGUACAUUCCUUUGGAGUUGAUUCUUGUAAAAACUAAUUUCACCCUACAGUAAUUAUUUCUAAAUUUCACGCAAACAAGUUGGAUCUAUUUGACUUCCAAAAGCUGGCUAGUAAUGAACAUAGACUUCAAAGGUGCCGUAUAUGUCAGUGGAAUGAGUAAGUCACAAGUUCCACCAUUUCACGUUCUCGAGGUUAUUUUCACCAACUCUAUUAAUGUGCUUGGUGUAGUCUAUUCCCAAUUACAUCUCCAAUUCACCGGUAGACAAUGAAGAUGAAUACCUAGCAAGCCGUGGGGUGUUCUUUGAAGCAAAGACCAUAGAGGUUUGUGGGCACUACUUAAUGAGGCUGCAUUCUUUCUCUGUGGAUGGAUUGUAUUAUAUCGACCGACAUAUGCCACAUGCAUAUUUGAGAGCCAACUCAUCAUUAUCGCCAAUAUGUGCUCCAGUUGGAGCUCCUGACUCAAUCCCAAAGAUUUGUAAUAUGGAACAACAAGCAUUGUGAGCCCCUCCAACUUGAACCUUGAAGCCACAGCAGUGGCUACCAAAAAAAUAAAAAUAAAUAAGAGCGAGGUGUUCUUGUAAUGUUUGAGGAAUUUUGCUCUUAUGGCCACUGCUAUUUCAUUGAAAAAGGUAUCACCCUUCUUAUUCACGAAUUCAAUUGACAUUAGGUGUAAAAAUGGAAUGACUCAAUUGCUUGACCGUUAAUCCAAAUCUUCGGGUCUCAAUCUCAAUAAAUUCUUCGUUUUUCAUGUGAUUUGCAAGUUCAUUCUCUCAUUCCAAGGUACAAGACGUGUAUCAAUGGAACAAAUCCACCAUGGUGUAAAACAAGAGCUUGAAUUAUCAUAUCAGAAAAGCGGAAUGUGAUUGUUUCAAGCAUGUUUCCGCUAUUAGUCAAAUUUGAUGCAUAAUAAAUUAGUCAAAAUUUCUUUAAGGCAAGGAACCCCCCUAAAAAAGAAAAAAACACUAAAUCUGGGCAGAAUAAGAAAGCUUCUGGGCGGAGUAAGCAUUAUACUUGUGAAUUAGCACAAGAACGAAAGCAGCGAAAUGGAAGAUGAAAUUCCAAAACUACCCAUAUGGAAUCUGCAAAUCUAUAUAAAGCUACGACACAACAUUUUGAUUUGAACAAAUUCUCCAUAUUCUUUGCAGCUCAAAGCCACCUAAGGAUUGGCAAGGAUCAAUCUAAUGAUCAACAAUGACAAAAUUUGAAAGGAAAACAGGCUGGAUCCUGUCUAAUUGAUUGUGAUUUUUCUUUGGUAUCGGUCAUUUUCCUCACUAAUAGUAAUCUCACAGUGAAAUAUUAUCUCAUAACUUUUUGAACACGACGUAAUUUUCUUUUUGCAAUCGUAAGCUCCGUAGGUCCUAUAGUUUGUAAUAAUCCAUUAAAAAUUGUAAUCUACCUAAAUUUAUAGUAAAUUUCUUUUCUUAUUAUUAGUAAAUUGUCUAAUGGAACUUAACUUUUGUUUGGUGUACAUAAUCAUCCUCACUGAUAGUAAUUUAUCUGUAAAAUAUCUUUUGUAAUUUUUCUUUAUGGAGGAUGUAAUUUUUGUUUGGACGUCAUAAAUCUUUGGAGUUUGUGCUUUGUAAAAUUUCAUAAAAAUAGUAAUUUAUUUGGUUAAUGGUAAAAAAAAAAAUUAAUGUUUAAUGAAAUAUCUAAGUCGAUAGUAACUUUCUCUACACUUUGUAAUGUUUUGAGACUUAUAUGUUGGUAAUUUUCGUUACUCAUCUUAAUUUUUCUUUUAUCAAAUGAAAGUCUAUUCACAUUUGCAUUCGUAACUUUUCUUUAAUGUCUACGAAUUCAAAUUAUGACCAAAAGUCAAUUUUGUAAAACAAAUUUGAUUAACGAGUUUUUUCCCUUUCUUAUCCAGUGGUCCACGCUGAAUGUGGGACCGGUCUUGUAAAAGGGGAGCUUAGACUUACGGAAUUUCCGUUGCGAUCAGGACGCUUUCAGCACAACAAAAUAGUGUUUUCUUUUUCGCCAAACACAAAAGUAGUGUUAGAAACCUAUCUUUUCAAAUUAUUUGAAACAAAAUAGUGUUUUCUUUUUCGCCAAACACAAAAGUAGUGUUAGAAACCUAUCUUUUCAAAUUAUUUGAAGUUCGUUCUACUGAAAUAUAUAUAGAGGUAAAAGGUACAAAUGUAAAUUAAGAUAAGUAUUACUUUAUUAAUUUUUCCUUUUGCUUAUACACAGCAACAGAUAAAAAGAAAAUAUGAGAUAACUUCUCAGUUCUCAUGGUCUUAUGGAUGCAAGGAGGCCUUUCACCCACGUUACCUCCUACCGAAUUCAAGGACUUAAGCCCAGGAAAGAGGCUCUUUUGGAGAGAAGGAGAAGGCGCGGGGGUUGGUUGGGGGCGAAGAUAGAAUUUCAACAAACUUUGGGCGCGAAAACGGAAUUGGCUCCAAUCUCUCCCAUUCGCCAGCAGUCCCGCCAUAGCUGGCAAGGUUUUUCGAACAAGAGCAACUCGGGGGCGCGCACGCACUCUUGAGAAGGUUGAAAUCCCAUUCCUGACUCGUGCAUGAUCAAUCGAUCGAUCGCUUGAAUUGCUCCGAACAGGUUGAGAUUCCAUGGAGGAUCGGGGCUUGGAGGAGGUGGAGAAAGCUCGGUUGCUGUGCUUGGCUCUCGAGUUUGGCUUCGACGAGCAGUCCGCCAGCUAGUGCUUGGACCGUCUCGUUUCCCUCUGCGGUACCUCGAAUCGUCAUUACCUCGUCGCCCAUUUUUUAUGCUGAUUAGCGUUUGCAGAGGUUGUGUUGGUCCUUCUCGUAGUCUGCUUUUGGUUUGAAUAGAUCGGAGUUGGUUCAGCGAAGUAGUCUUGCUGACGAGCGAAAUGUCCGGUGCUAUUCCAGUUUGAUGUGUUUAGGUUGCUUUGGAUGGUGGCUUUUCUUGGCUAUUCGCCGAAUUGCGUGGUAUCUGGUGAUUAGGGAAUGACGUAAUUGAUUGUGUUGCGGGGAUGAUUUGUGAAUUGAUCAAUUGUGCAUUCCUUAAUAAGGAAAUUUAUUGCGGUUAGGUUGUCAUUUUGACGAUGGCCAUGGAAUAGUCUACCUUUUGGAUUUGAAUGGACUCAAGGAGAUGGUUAAUCCUGUCCCUAGUUCUCUGCGGGUUUUGCGGAGUAGCCUUCUUGACUAGCGAAAUGUCUAAUUUGUUUCUGAACUAACCACAAAUUACAUAUUGUGUAGAUUGUAUUUAUUUGAUCACUUUUUUUUUGUCAUGGAACUUGCAAAAUCAUUUCUCUUUUUUUUGGUUUUCUUAGGGCGACGAAGGUCAAGAGUUUAUCACUGUGGACCACUGUGGUGAUGAUUUUCUAGCAGAACUUGCUGAAACUAUGCAAGACAUUGAGGAUUGGGAUGAUUUGCAAGCUGCAGAAUCAGAAGCUUGUGGAGUUUUGACUGAUAUGUUUGGCCAAGAUACCACUAAUGACGGCGAGUGCAAUGUUGUGCACAAUGUUAACAUUAUAGAGGAUUCUCCACAACUUGAGAAAAAUCAAACAUUUCUUGAGGUGGAUUCCUCUACUGAAAGUGAAGACGAAGAUGAUAUAUUUGGUAGUACUCCGAGCAAUUCGUCCGCUCAACUUCUGACCAGACGAGCUUUAGAAUCCAUGGUUUGCUUCUGAAAACUGUGAAGUUGUCUCACUCCUUUCUGCCCUAACCAGUUUGAAGGGAUUAAGAAAAAAAGAAAAGAAAAGCAUGGUGGCUUGGAUGUUUUUUCCCAUGCCCAAAACUUAUUUGGUUGAUAGUUGUUAAGUCCGUGGCUUAAGUUUUUUAUUCAUGGACCUAGAUUUGUCUUGGGAUUAGCCUGUGUAAUUGCUUGGACCAAAUGCGUGGCUUGAAGAAUGUCUCAGUAUUUUACAGGGUUGCCCGUUCAGUGAAGAAACUAUGGGCACCUGAAGAAGACACAAUAGUUACCGGGCAAAUCCCAUGAGUCUGGUCACAAUGGUCCAGUUGUUUAGGAGGUUUACAAAAAGUUGGCAGAUCUCUGCCUGACCUUUCAUUGUUUUGACAAUAAUUUUGCACCUGUACUUUUAUAUAUUUUUGUUGCUGAGGUAUAUCAGGGUCAACAAGGAAAAUGAGAAGAAUCGAGAACAGAUUGUCUUGGUUUUUGAUCAGGAGAUUAGAGUGUCCCCAGAAAACUCUUGGGAAACACUUUCCACUUGUCUCAUUUGUUUUUGACUGACUAUUGCAAUUGGGGUUUUGGUUAGUGAGAAAUUGAUUUAUUUCUUAUUGUAAUUCUCUCCUAAUCACUGUUAAAAAAACUCAUCCCCUUAAAUUAGUGUGUCACCGUGUAUUCCUCUUCAACUUAUGUCUUUCCUUGAUCAUUUCCAGUUUGCUUGCAAUUCUGCUCAGCAACAAACCUUACGCAGUGUAACUGUACAAAAGCAUUUAGUAAAUUGCUCAUGAGGGCUCUCAUCUGAUCAAACGUAUAAUAGACACUCCUAACUUGCCAGUUACUACCACAGUCUGUAAGAUCUAAAAUGACUUAUAUGAGAACUGUUUGGUCAAUAAAAACAGUUCAUUCUUGUUUUGGAUAUGUAAUAAUACCUAUAUUUCUCAUGUACUUUGAGAGUAUGGUACAUCAUCCGAGCAUUGAACUUAGCAUCCAGCGUCUUUGAUAGGUGUGUUUUGCAAAAUGAAGGCUUGGGAUCUCUUUGUGCAUGAUUUUCAUUUUCCGUCACCACAUGUCAGAAACUAUUUAUGGUGCUGGAGAGGCUUAUUUGUGUUGAAGGACUGUAAGAGCACUGUUACUCAUGGUUCGAUAUCAUCAGUUUCAAGUAAAAGACAUCACUCUCAGAUUUCGACAUGCAAACAUGGAACUCUGAGUGAUGAGGAUUUGCAAGCCUUGGAUGACAUAGAAUUGGCAAACGUUGUAAUAUUCGGAAACAAGGCAUUUUGACCAAUGCAGUAUCAGGCUUGUAAAGCUUCUGUAGCCAAGCAAGAUUGCUUCAUUCUCACGCCCACUGGAGGUGGUAAAGGUUUACGGUAUUAGGUUAGUGAACGUUAACAUUAUUUCAUUUGUGUAACAAUAAAAUGUAGAAGUAUGUGUGGAGGCAGUGUUUAGAGCACAAGCCGUGUGCACUUUGCUGAAUGGUUCCACCAAUUAUAUACUAUACGAGUAGACCUGUAUAUCGAAAUUUAAGUUAUAAAAUGAUCUUGCAAUCUGCUUUGUUAGCACUGUUGAGAAGUUUGUGCUGAAAUACAGGACAUUCUCGUUCUGCCUUCACCCAUCUCUGUCCAUUCUGUAAUUUCUAGAAUUUGAGGUUUGUGCUCUGCUUCUAGGAACUUCUAAUUACUUGCUGGAAACUUUAUCUUGUUUUGGCAUGUAAGUUUUGUUGUCAGUCAUGUUUCAGGUCCAAUUCAAUAGGGUUAUUAAGUCAAAGAGGAAUAAGUUUUCAAAUUACUUGCAUCAAAUACAGAUUGUACAUGUCUAUAUUUCCUAUGUACAUAUGUGCUAUGUCAUCAUCUCAACGAGGGGUGAUCAUUUCCAUAAUUGGUUUGAAAUGGAUAUCCUUUCAUAUAAGAUGGAUCUUGGGAGUAUGCAAAAUAUUGGAUCCACAUAAUCACGAAGGAAGAUAUUAAUCUGAAUUUAUUAAGUUGAAUUAUCCUGAAUUGUUUUCUGUUCAGUCUUGAAGUAGUUCAUAUAUGUUUCUAGCUGAAGUAAUUAUAAGACAAAUGGUGACAACUGGUGCUUUCUGAUCAGCUGAAGGUGAAUAAAAGAGUUAUUCCUCAUCCCUUCAUUUGCUCUUCUGAUGUUUUUACCCUUCAUUUCAGCUGCCAGAAACUCUUAAACCAGGUGUCACAGUUGUUAUAUCUCUCCUACUAUCUCUCAUCCAGGAUCAAAUAAUUACUCUAACCCUCAAGUACGGAAUACCAUCAACUUUCUUGAGCUCUCAGCAAACCGCUGCCCAGACAGCAGCUGUCCUUCAAGAACUAAGGGAAGGUUUAGCUCUCUUCCUACCGAAGCAUAUCCCACUCUAUAACCUUUAUCCCGCCAUAAAAUGGUUUGCUCCAUAUGUUGCAAAGGAUGUACAUUUUCUAUGUAGUUAAUGAAAAGACGCAUGCCUAAGAUGUUUCUCUUAAAAAUAAACUUUAGCAUCUUAGCCUUCCAAGAGAAGUAUAUCAUACCAUACAAUCAUUGUCCCGCCAUAAAAUGUUGGCCUAUGCUCCAUAUGUUGCAAUGGGAUUUCUAUUGGACUUCUAAAACUUUUUUUUUUUUUUUUGGCUUAGUGUUGGGAUUGUCAAGUCAUUAAUCUUCACUGCUUUACCNNNNNNNNNNNNNNNNNNNNNNNNNNNNNNNNNNNNNNNNNNNNNNNNNNNNNNNNNNNNNNNNNNNNNNNNNNNNNNNNNNNNNNNNNNNNNNNNNNNNNNNNNNNNNNNNNNNNNNNNNNNNNNNNNNNNNNNNNNNNNNNNNNNNNNNNNNNNNNNNNNNNNNNNNNNNNNNNNNNNNNNNNNNNNNNNNNNNNNNNNNNNNNNNNNNNNNNNNNNNNNNNNNNNNNNNNNNNNNNNNNNNNNNNNNNNNNNNNNNNNNNNNNNNNNNNNNNNNNNNNNNNNNNNNNNNNNNNNNNNNNNNNNNNNNNNNNNNNNNNNNNNNNNNNNNNNNNNNNNNNNNNNNNNNNNNNNNNNNNNNNNNNNNNNNNNNNNNNNNNNNNNNNNNNNNNNNNNNNNNNNNNNNNNNNNNNNNNNNNNNNNNNNNNNNNNNNNNNNNNNNNNNNNNNNNNNNNNNNNNNNNNNNNNNNNNNNNNNNNNNNNNNNNNNNNNNNNNNNNNNNNNNNNNNNNNNNNNNNNNNNNNNNNNNNNNNNNNNNNNNNNNNNNNNNNNNNNNNNNNNNNNNNNNNNNNNNNNNNNNNNNNNNNNNNNNNNNNNNNNNNNNNNNNNNNNNNNNNNNNNNNNNNNNNNNNNNNNNNNNNNNNNNNNNNNNNNNNNNNNNNNNNNNNNNNNNNNNNNNNNNNNNNNNNNNNNNNNNNNNNNNNNNNNNNNNNNNNNNNNNNNNNNNNNNNNNNNNNNNNNNNNNNNNNNNNNNNNNNNNNNNNNNNNNNNNNNNNNNNNNNNNNNNNNNNNNNNNNNNNNNNNNNNNNNNNNNNNNNNNNNNNNNNNNNNNNNNNNNNNNNNNNNNNNNNNNNNNNNNNNNNNNNNNNNNNNNNNNNNNNNNNNNNNNNNNNNNNNNNNNNNNNNNNNNNNNNNNNNNNNNNNNNNNNNNNNNNNNNNNNNNNNNNNNNNNNNNNNNNNNNNNNNNNNNNNNNNNNNNNNNNNNNNNNNNNNNNNNNNNNNNNNNNNNNNNNNNNNNNNNNNNNNNNNNNNNNNNNNNNNNNNNNNNNNNNNNNNNNNNNNNNNNNNNNNNNNNNNNNNNNNNNNNNNNNNNNNNNNNNNNNNNNNNNNNNNNNNNNNNNNNNNNNNNNNNNNNNNNNNNNNNNNNNNNNNNNNNNNNNNNNNNNNNNNNNNNNNNNNNNNNNNNNNNNNNNNNNNNNNNNNNNNNNNNNNNNNNNNNNNNNNNNNNNNNNNNNNNNNNNNNNNNNNNNNNNNNNNNNNNNNNNNNNNNNNNNNNNNNNNNNNNNNNNNNNNNNNNNNNNNNNNNNNNNNNNNNNNNNNNNNNNNNNNNNNNNNNNNNNNNNNNNNNNNNNNNNNNNNNNNNNNNNNNNNNNNNNNNNNNNNNNNNNNNNNNNNNNNNNNNNNNNNNNNNNNNNNNNNNNNNNNNNNNNNNNNNNNNNNNNNNNNNNNNNNNNNNNNNNNNNNNNNNNNNNNNNNNNNNNNNNNNNNNNNNNNNNNNNNNNNNNNNNNNNNNNNNNNNNNNNNNNNNNNNNNNNNNNNNNNNNNNNNNNNNNNNNNNNNNNNNNNNNNNNNNNNNNNNNNNNNNNNNNNNNNNNNNNNNNNNNNNNNNNNNNNNNNNNNNNNNNNNNNNNNNNNNNNNNNNNNNNNNNNNNNNNNNNNNNNNNNNNNNNNNNNNNNNNNNNNNNNNNNNNNNNNNNNNNNNNNNNNNNNNNNNNNNNNNNNNNNNNNNNNNNNNNNNNNNNNNNNNNNNNNNNNNNNNNNNNNNNNNNNNNNNNNNNNNNNNNNNNNNNNNNNNNNNNNNNNNNNNNNNNNNNNNNNNNNNNNNNNNNNNNNNNNNNNNNNNNNNNNNNNNNNNNNNNNNNNNNNNNNNNNNNNNNNNNNNNNNNNNNNNNNNNNNNNNNNNNNNNNNNNNNNNNNNNNNNNNNNNNNNNNNNNNNNNNNNNNNNNNNNNNNNNNNNNNNNNNNNNNNNNNNNNNNNNNNNNNNNNNNNNNNNNNNNNNNNNNNNNNNNNNNNNNNNNNNNNNNNNNNNNNNNNNNNNNNNNNNNNNNNNNNNNNNNNNNNNNNNNNNNNNNNNNNNNNNNNNNNNNNNNNNNNNNNNNNNNNNNNNNNNNNNNNNNNNNNNNNNNNNNNNNNNNNNNNNNNNNNNNNNNNNNNNNNNNNNNNNNNNNNNNNNNNNNNNNNNNNNNNNNNNNNNNNNNNNNNNNNNNNNNNNNNNNNNNNNNNNNNNNNNNNNNNNNNNNNNNNNNNNNNNNNNNNNCCCAGACCUUCUGUGGAGUUCUAGUAUAACAGAAUGCAAUGUUGAAAUAACUAAUUCUGGAAAUGAUCUAGUUCCUUCUUUUGCGAAAAGUCAGUGGCACAUCAUUAAUCAUAAUAAGCACAAUGCACACAACUAAAUUUAGCUCCACGGAAAUUACUUUCGGAAGCAAUUGAAAGUGUCCAUGUUUGGCACAAUAGUCAGGUCUUUUAAGCUGGUUCUCGUGUCCCUACUUAUUCUUUUAACUUGUAUACCAUGUAUUAACAACUUGAGAUAUAAGGCAAAAGUUCAUGCAUGUGAUCAUUGAUUGUGUUUCUUAUAAGGUCUUUAUUGGACUUGCUCUGCCAGUGCAAUUUCAUGAAAGGAAUGUAUCGCUGUUUUGAGCUUUUCUCCUAUAUUUAAAUGAUUGUAAACGAGUAAAGUUUAUUGAUCAUUACUUUCUCGGUCGUCAUUAUUGCAGUCAAUGGGGACAUGAUUUUCCGUCCAUAUUAUAGGAGACUAGGAUGUCUCAAGCAAAACUUUCCAUACAUCCCGGUGAUGGCCUUAACUGCAACUGUCACUCAGCCAGUUCGUGAGGUAUGAAACUUGCACAUUAUCCUCCAGAUUAUGUUGAAAAAAUCAUUUGGAUCUGAUUGAAAUGUACAUUUAUUGCAGGAUAUCCUAAAAGCUCUCAGGAUCCCCCAUGCUCUUGUUCUCAAGACUUUGACAGACCAAACCUAAAAUAUGAGGUCAUAUCUAAGACCAAGGAACCACUGAAGCAGCUUGGAGAACUGCUAAAGAAUCGUUUUGCUAAUUUGUGUGGCAUAGUGUAUUGCCUCUCAAAGAGUGAAUGCGUUGAUGUUGCAAAUUACUUGAAUGAUAAGUGCGGUAUAAAGACGGUGUACUAUCAUGCUGGAUUAGCAGCCCGUUAAAGAGUAGCUGUCCAAAAGAAAUGGCAUGCUGGAGAGGUCCAAGUUGUAUGUGCAAUCAUUGCUUUUGGAAUGGGAAUAGACAAACCUGAUGUUGUAAGUUGAAAUGGACUCUAAGCCUUUGCCUAUUUUUAGUUGUCAAGCUGACAUGUCGGCAAAUACUCAACUAAUUUACCUUUUUUCUAAUGUUUUAGUUUCGCUGAUCGGUUUAUUAGUGUGCUUGGAAGUAAACUUUGCUGGUUCCAUGGUCCAGUGGCCUGUUAAAUUGUCAUCCUUGGCUAUUGAUUGCAACUGGUGAAUUAUGUGUUUUUUUCAUGUCAAAUUCUUUCUUCCAUGCAUGGCAUUUGUUGUGCUAAAAUCAAGUUAAACUAGGAUAAAGUUCUUUUCUUUACUGUAAAAGUGGCAAAUGAAUCUGAUCUAAUUUGUCCUCCUGUUAUGAUUUUUUUUAUCAUAUUUCGACUUUGAUGGUUCAGUAAAUAUUUUUUAUGGCAUGUGGUCAGCGUUUUGUCAUCCACAACACAAUGUCCCAGUCAAUCGAAAGCUAUUGCCAAGAAUGAGGGAGGGCAGGAAGAGAUAAUCUACCAGCAGUGCGCAUUGCUCUAUAUGCAAAAAAGGACUUCAGCCGGGUUGCGUGCAUGUUAAGGAGUGGUCAAGGAUGUAAAACUAAAAUCUUUAGAAGUGCACUGGCUCAAGCUAGGAAAAUCAGCGAUAUUGGGAACUCAAGGUAAUCCAAUUUGUGUUCUCAACUUCUCUCUGAUGAUCUCAACUAAGGGAUGCUUCUAUUUUGUGUUUACACUUUCCACUUUGUUCUAUUGAUUGUUCUUAGUGUUAGUCUGGCAUUACCCCGUCUGGAUGCUGGAUCAUUAGAUGGGUCUGUUGGCAACAUAUUCACAAAGUAAUGGACCCUUUGGGCCAAAAUCAUAUUCCGCUCACCUAAAUGGAGCAAAGUCUAUUGAUAAACGGGUGUUUCCUCUCCAAUUUGUGAAUUUUCAGGAUAAGUGUCGGUGGCAAACCUUACUUGUGCACUUUGGCGUGUUUGUGAAUCAGAAAGACUGUAAAUAUGGUUCUAAUCCUUGCGACAAUUGUCUCAAGGCCUCUUCAUAAAGGUAAACCUUUCAGGUGUCAACUCUCUUGAUGGACGACACAUACCGACUUACGCAUGAUCUUGAGCCGCACAGUUCUUCUGGUUCCAUCAUCCGCAAUUAUUGGAAGACCACAUGGUAAGGGAGGGGCAAAGGUCCUUAACUAUGGACACGGAAUUCUUCAGUUGUGAUGGUCUUGUCAUCUCGUGUUUGUCUUUUCCUUUCAUCCGUGACAUGUUCCUUGUCUGGAACUAAUUAUUUUCGUAUGGGGAAACAAAAUGUGGGUCGACAUAUAAACCAGAGAGGCAUAUGGGAACACACCCUCCGGUCUUGACUGCAGAAGAAAAAGUUUCUUGUUUUAGUUCAGCAAUGAAUAACAAUGAAAUCCAAUUAUACGAAAGGCAUGUUGCAAUUCUUCUUUCCCGUUUUGAAUUAGUGAUGAAUGCAUAUCAUGACUGCAUCUAAGUUAGUUUACUUGCANNNNNNNNNNNNNNNNNNNNNNNNNNNNNNNNNNNNNNNNNNNNNNNNNNNNNNNNNNNNNNNNNNNNNNNNNNNNNNNNNNNNNNNNNNNNNNNNNNNNUAGUCAUAUUGUAGACUAUAUAUUGUCAUUGCAUGUAUGGAAAUUUCCAAGAACCUUCAAAAUUGGAACCUCUAAAAGGUUGGAUUAUUGACUGUCGAGAAAGGUUCGUACGGUGACUCCAUUUCAAAAGUGGGACCACAACGAAGUCAUUUGGAAUGUGCAUGCAACAUUCAAAAAAAAGGAACAUGGUCUUAGCAGAUAAGCUACCUAACAUGGUCUUAGCAAAGAAGCUACCUAACGAUCCUACGUCAAUUUCGAUUAAAUGUUGAGUAUCACAUUGUCUUGUUCUACCAAGACCGAAAUUGGCUUUGUUUUUGGUCAAUGGAGGGGGUCUACGUUUCAUGCAUGUCAAGUGGCAGUGUUUGUAUGACCAAAAAAAAAGUGGCAGUAUUUGACCCCCAACCCAAGACUAUUAUGUAACAUCGUGUAAGAGGUAAAAUAGGUAAAGAAAAUGAAAAAAAGGAAACACGUGAAUUAUGCUUGAUGUCUUUGAGUACUGUUGUAAUUCAUUUUUUUGGAGACGCGCACUAAAGCCAAACGAUUUGUCUUUUUUGUCUUUUCCCUUUCUUUCCCAGCAAGAGAAAAGAUCGUUUAAGAGAAUUGACGUUAAUAAUCAAUAAACUUUGAUUCAACAUGCGAUAAUAAUUUAUUCAAUGUGAUCUUUAAAUUAUUCUUUAGACUUGUCAAAAGAAUCAUAGACUUAUUUCUUAAUCCAUAUUUGAUGUGAUGAGCUAUUAUAUAAAUUGGCUAUAUUCCAAAAAAUUGGUCAUAAAUGGUUUUAGGGUGGUAAAAACUAAAAUAAUAUGCAUAAAUAGAUUCAUGCUUACUUGAAUUCAUUUCACCUCUAUGACUCUCUUUUUUCUCUCUCGCUCUCAUUAAAUCUCAUGCUCACUUUAUGCUCUCAUCUCAGUUUAAGCAUGAAUUUUCUUAAAUUAGGUUAAAUAUGAAAGUGUUCUAGUCAUAUGGUUAGAUUUGGUAUUAAUUGGUUUAAUUACGAAUCACUAAAUUUGUAUUGCGUUGACAUGUCAAAAUGAGUUAAAUUGAUCAAUUUGAGUCGAACUAUUUUUGACUUAAUCCACCCAUUUGAUGAGUUUACUUUCCUAAGGAAGAAAGUCAUCACAUUUCCCUAAUUUAUUGAUAGUUGGCCUUUACUAUCUUAUCGCCAAGGGAACAGGGUUGAAUCUCCGAAUACUCACGACUUGAGUGGAGGUCCCAAGGGUGGUUUAUUGGGCCAGCCCCCCAAGGGUUUACGUCUAAAUAGAGGCUUGCAGCGAGACCCCACCGAUGUUAUCGAGUAUCAAAGGGUCAUGUGAUCCCCGAAGAGUGAUCUCCGGCGGUCUCUUGGUCAUCAAAAGAAAAUAGCCAUCACAUUUCCCUAAUUUAUUGCCAAAUGUGCAAUCUAGUCACUUAAUUUGUUUUUGUUAUUCUAUCGAAUUGAAAUGUAUCUUCUAGAAAAAAAAUUCACGACAAGGUGAGUAAGUUAUAAGACUCAAUUUUUUUUGUUUAAGUUGGAAUACCAUUUUGUGUAACUCGUUCUAUAAAACAUUAUUAGUUACAAAAUGAUAUGCCAACAAAUUUUUUAGCCCAAAAGAACAUACUCUCUCCUAAAUUGCAACCUACCGAGUAUGCAAAGUAAAAAUAGUAACCGAAAAAUUAAUCCCAUUAGAUUUGGGAAGCAGGAACCUUUCCCCCUGACCCUUUCUGACAGGACAACAAAAAGACACCAACCAGCAAAAAGGAAAUAGCAACUUUUUCUCCAAUUUAAACUGGCUUAAGUCACAAGACUGACACGUGGCGGUCGGACACGGCACCCUGACUCUCUGAAAAAAACAAAUGGAGAAAAUAAAAAAAUAAAAAUAAAAAUCCUUUUUUAAUAGCAAGAUCGCUGUCUCUUCCUCCUCAGAUUUUAAUGCUCAAAAACCAGUCACUCUCUCUCUCUCUCUCUCUUCUUCCUCUUCCUNNNNNNNNNNNNNNNNNNNNNNNNNNNNNNNNNNNNNNNNNNNNNNNNNNNNNNNNNNNNNNNNNNNNNNNNNNNNNNNNNNNNNNNNNNNNNNNNNNNNNNNNNNNNNNNNNNNNNNNNNNNNNNNNNNNNNNNNNNNNNNNNNNNNNNNNNNNNNNNNNNNNNNNNNNNNNNNNNNNNNNNNNNNNNNNNNNNNNNNNNNNNNNNNNNNNNNNNNNNNNNNNNNNNNNNNNNNNNNNNNNNNNNNNNNNNNNNNNNNNNNNNNNNNNNNNNNNNNNNNNNNNNNNNNNNNNNNNNNNNNNNNNNNNNNNNNNNNNNNNNNNNNNNNNNNNNNNNNNNNNNNNNNNNNNNNNNNNNNNNNNNNNNNNNNNNNNNNNNNNNNNNNNNNNNNNNNNNNNNNNNNNNNNNNNNNNNNNNNNNNNNNNNNNNNNNNNNNNNNNNNNNNNNNNNNNNNNNNNNNNNNNNNNNNNNNNNNNNNNNNNNNNNNNNNNNNNNNNNNNNNNNNNNNNNNNNNNNNNNNNNNNNNNNNNNNNNNNNNNNNNNNNNNNNNNNNNNNNNNNNNNNNNNNNNNNNNNNNNNNNNNNNNNNNNNNNNNNNNNNNNNNNNNNNNNNNNNNNNNNNNNNNNNNNNNNNNNNNNNNNNNNNNNNNNNNNNNNNNNNNNNNNNNNNNNNNNNNNNNNNNNNNNNNNNNNNNNNNNNNNNNNNNNNNNNNNNNNNNNNNNNNNNNNNNNNNNNNNNNNNNNNNNNNNNNNNNNNNNNNNNNNNNNNNNNNNNNNNNNNNNNNNNNNNNNNNNNNNNNNNNNNNNNNNNNNNNNNNNNNNNNNNNNNNNNNNNNNNNNNNNNNNNNNNNNNNNNNNNNNNNNNNNNNNNNNNNNNNNNNNNNNAGUCCUGAUAUACCUGGUGCUGGUACGGCCCACAUUAUCUUUUUAUCAAUUUUGUCAGUCACGGCCGCGCAUUGCUAGCAUAUGAAAGUUUUCUGGUGGAGAUGGCUCAUAUAAUGCUAUUAGCAUGCUUUGUUUCUUAUUAUAGAUGGAGUUAAGCAAGGAACAGAUGAUGCAGAGAUUUUGGCGAAGUCAAGGUUUCAGAUGGUGGGAGUUUUUCUGAUACUACUGUUGUCAAAAUAUUUUUUAGUCGUGUAUGAGUUCCAUCUAUUUGACUUGCAUAAUUUAUUGCCUUGUUGUAGAAUGUUAUUGAUGAUUAGCAUUUGCAGAGGUUAUGUCGGUAUUUCUUGUCCACCCCACCACGACGAUGAUGGCCUUGGAAUAGUGUGCACUGGGUUUGAAUAGAUUGGAGUGGAUUUAGUGAAGUAGUAGCCCUACUGACGAGCAAAAUGUCCGCCACCGGUCCAGCUUGAUGUUCUUAGGUUACUUUGGAUGGUGGUUUCUCUUGAUUAUUGGCCCAAUUUGUGUGAUAUCUGGUCACCAGGGAAUGACAUAAUUUCUUGUGCGCGCGAAUAAUAUGUGAAAUUGAUUGAUUGUGCAUUUUUCUAAUUGAGGAGAUUCAUUGCGUUUAGUCUCCAUCCUAAUGAUGGCUGUGGAUUUUACAAACCCAAAUCGCAAUUUUGAUUCCAUUGCCCGUAAUGCUUAACCAGAAACAGAAUUAAUUAAGAAUUAGAUAAGAUUCCAUUUUCGUGUCAUCAUAGAUUUUCAACUCCCAUUUUCAUUCAAUUUAGAUCACCAUGCUUCUAAAUAGGCAUCUAAUUUUCAAAGAAAUUUCAAGGGUGCUCUUAGAUGGUCUGCAUUGAUUAAACUAACUUAGACUUAAUCGAUCGAACAUCACGUUAUUUUCAGGCGAUCUCCUUUACAUUGCUAGGCCUCGUUGACGUCUUAUUCUCAUGGCCAUCGUGUUAGGACGGUAACCUUCUGUUGGCUUAUGGAGUCUUGAUUUAUUCUUCCAGAUAUAAGAGCUUUCAUUUCGUUACCUGCGUGGCUACCUCAGCGAUAUACUCUUCUAGCAAGAUGAAAUUGACAUUUAACUUAUUGUGUUCGGGUAACGUUGACCAUUACAUUGGCGAUUUGGGCAAGUCGAGGUCAACACACGUAGAGUCACAUUGACCAAAUUGGUUGGAUAGUAAGCUCAGAAAUUGCAGGUCGGGAUCUUUUGGACUCGUGGCCUGGCUUCGUGACCGUGCGUGGCUACUUCUGCAGCCACGACGUUUGCAUUUUCAACUUGCAGGAAAAAGGCAUGACGGAAACUUGGCCUUCAAAGUACAGCUCGAGGAAUCACUCUACCUCGCAUUCAUCAAAUUUCAAUCACGCACCGUACCCUCGUGUGCUCAGCGGCAGCCUCAACACGGACUCCACAGGCAAGAUGCUCUCGCUGAGGUCCUGCACAAAGUUUGCUCUCCGCACAAGUCACAAAUGACAUAACCUGCAAUAUUAUAAAACAAAAUUUUCGCUGAUGCUCCGCCCGUGUGUAUUAACCUGAAAACAUGCGCACCGGAUGCAAAUUGUUCUGAUGAUUGAAUUUAGUUCAUGGAGCUGAUUAAAGUUGUUUGAUCCGGUCAUCUCUGCUCUUUUCAGUAAGCUCUUUUCCUAGUAAAUUGAUGCUAAUUGCAAAAUGAGAUGAAUACUUAGUAUUUGGUAGGAUUGACGUUUGGAUCCAUUUCGGGGUUGAUUAUGUUGGUAACAACUUUGUUUUGGCCAAAUGUUGUUUACACCUUAUUUCUGGGGUUCUUAACCUCCCCUAGCUUCUUCAAUUCAUCUAUUCCGAUUCCUCUUCGUUGUACGAUUCAUCAUAUGGCAAAGUGUACUUCCAAAGCUAGAUAAUCCAAAAACACCUUGUGCCGGUGUUAAACAAUCUGAAAGGCUUUCCAUAGUUACAGUUUGAUUUUAGGACAGUUUUCACAUCUCUAGUAUCGUCCCGUCAAGCUUGGAUCUACAAAAAUGCGGAAAACUGAGAAGCCUAAAACGAAUCCUCUUUAAUCCUAUCAAAAUUUUUUUGACACAACGUAAUUUCCUUUUUGUCAUCGUAAUUUCUGUAAGUCCUAUAAUUUGUAAUAUUCUAUUAAAAAUAGCAAUCUGCCUAAGUUUAUAGUAAUUUUUUCCUAAUGGAUCUUAACUUUCCUUUCGGCAUAUGUAAUCAUCGUUACUAAUAGUAUUUAUCCGUAAAAUAUCCUUUAGUAAUUUUUCGUAGGAGGAUGUAAUUUUUGUUUGGAGGGCGUAGAUUCUCUGAAACCUAUGAUUCUUCAUAUUCCUUAAAAACAGUACUUUAUUCACUUAAUGGUAAAUUUCUUUUUUUUUUUUUUUUGUUUAACUUUAGUGAAAUAUUCAAUUUGAUAGUAACUUCCUUUUCACUUCGUAAGUUUUGAGACCUAUAUGUUGAUAAACUUCCAUACUCAUCAUAACUUUUUUUAAUGGAAUAUAAAUUUGAUUAUUUUGCGUCACUUUCAUUUAACGCCUGCAAAGUUAUGACUUUAAUAGAUUUGAUGGACCAAUUUCCCCCCCUUCUUAUCCAGUGGUCCACAUUGAAUGCGGGACCGAUCUUGUAAAAGAGAGUUUUGAUUUGUGGAAUUUUCGUCACAAUGAAGAAGUUCAAUCACGACGAAGUAGUAUUUUUUUCUUUUGCCGAACAGUACAGUAGUGUUGAAACCCUAUUUUUACCAAAUUAUUGGAAGUUUGUUCUACUAAAAUACUUGUCAUAAAUCUAUAAAUUAAGUACGAUACCGCAAGUCCUUGUGCAUGCAAAGAAGCCUUUCCCUAUAUUCAUAUCUAACAAGUUCAAGAAUGAUUCAAACCCAAGAAAAGAAUAAAGUGAAAAGAGGAAGGGCCCCCCACCAAACAGACCCAACUUCCAAGGGCGUCGAAUGAAGCCAGAAAAACUUAUGAGGGGGGCAAAAAUAGAAACUUCGACAAACUUCAGGCCGCGAAAACGGAAUUGUGCAUCAUCGAUCGCGCGAAUCGACCCAAGCAGGUUGAGAUUCCAUGGAGGUAUCGGGGCUUGGAGGAGGUGGAGAAAGCUCGGUUUGCUGAGCUUGGCUCUCGAGUUCGGCUUCAACGAGCAGUCCACCAGCGAGUGCUUGGACCGUCUCGUCUCCCUCUACGGUAACUCCAAUCGUUACUUUGUUGCCCAUCUUUAUUUAUGCUGAUCAGCGUUUGCAGAGAUUGUGUGGGUAUUUCUCGUCCACCACGAUGAUGAUGGCUGUGGAAUAAUCUGCUCUAGGUCUGGAUAGAUCGGAGCAAGUUCAGUGAACUGGUCUUACUGACGGGCAAAAUGUCCGGCACUAUUCCAGUUUGAUGUGUUUAGUUGCUUUGGGCAGUGGUUUUUCUUGCUUAUUGGCCAAAUUGUGCGAUAUCUGGUCAUUAGGGAAUGACAUGGUUGCUCGUGUUGCAUGGAUAGUUUUGCAAAUUGAUUGAUUUCGUGCGUUGCUAAGAAGGAGAUUCAUUGCAGUUAAUCGCUAUUCUGAUGAUGGCCAUAGAAUAGUCUACUUUGGAUUGGAAUGGACCGAAGCUGGUUAAAUUUAGUUCAAUUGAGUGUUAAUCUCAUCCCUGUUUAUUUGUGGGUCUGGUAGAGUGGUCCUAUUGACUGGUGAACUCAAUUCAGAUUACUUAUGGUGUCUUGCAUUAAUAUUAAUUUCAUGUCUUACUGAACUUAGUGCAAAUUAUAUAUUGUAGAUUGUAUUUAUUUGAUCUAUUUUUUUUUUCCAUGGAACUUGCAAUAUCAUCUCUUUCUCCUUUUGGUUUUCUUAAGGGAACAAAGGUCGAGAGUUUAUCACUGUGCAGCAUUGCGGCGUUGACUUCCUAGCGGAACUUGCUGAAACCAUGCAAGAAUCUGAGGAUUGGGAUGAUUUGCAAGCCGCAGAAUCAGAAGCUCAUAGAGUUUUGAAUGAUAUGUUUGGCCAAGUUUAUGGAGUUUCAACGGUGAAUGCAGUGUUAUACAUGAUGUCAAUGUUAUAGAAGAUUCUCCACAACCUGGGAAAGGCCGAACUUUUCUUGAGGUGGAUUCCUUUACUGAUCUUGAAGACCAAGACAAUAUAUUUGGCAGUAAAAUGGGUAGGAAGUCCACAUGCUGUAUUCCUAACCAAAGCAGUGCCCCGAACAAUACAUGCACUCAACUCUAGGCCAAACGAUCUUCAGAAUCCAUGGAAUGCUUCUCCCAUGGACGUAGACUUUACUGCCAAACCACUUAAGUUCAGUGUGUCACUGUUCUUUUCUCUUAUAAUUUAUUCUCUCCUUGAUCAUUUCCAAUUUUUUGUGAUUCUACACAUUAGGGGUGAGCAUGGUCCGGGUUGGUCCGGGUCACCCCCUAACCCUAGGACCAACCCGUACAAUGUCGGUCCUCAAUUUUUAGGACCGAGGACCGACCCUACUGAGCCUGGGACCAAGGACUGGACCGACCCAAUGGGUUCGGUCCGGUUCCAGGGUUAACUCGGGACCGAUUGAUAAUUUAUUUCGUCUUGUUUUUUAUACUCCCUAAAAAAGUAAACCUACAAAUUCAAAUUAUACAUCCAUCGACAAUGCGGCAUUGUACAACUAAACUAUAAAUACCAAUACAAGAUCUCAAAUGAAGCACAAAGUAGAUAUCACUAGUCAAGUUGUGUUUGGAAAGCAAGGGCAAGCUGAGCAUUAGGGUUUCUAAUUAGGGCUUCUUCUUUUUUCCUUUUGAUUUACUCGGCAAUAAGUGAGGCGACCGGCGCGAGUGGCAAGCGCAAGCGUCAAGUGUUGAGUGGGGUGAGCGUCAAUUGGCAAGCGGCAAGCGUUUAGUGAGGCCAGCGGCAAGCGGCGAGCGUUGAGCGAGACUAGCGGCGAGUGGUGAGUGGCGAGCGUUUAGCGAGGCCAGCGACGAUAGCAAAGGGCGAGUGGUGAGUGGCGAGCGGCACGAGCAGCGCGCACAAUCAAAGGUGAGCGGCACGGGCAACCAGAGGCGAGUGGGAUGUUGCUACUUUUGAUUUUGGCAAAUUGAAGAACAAAGAAGACAAAAUGGAAGAGGACGUACUUUAGGGAAGAAAGCCGUGAGGAGAUUUAUGGCAUAAACUUCGCACCAUUUUGGACGUCGCGAGUCCAUGACUAUGAGGAGUCCUUGGUCUUCACGGUGAAGAAUGUACUCUGGAGUCUAGACUAUGGAGGAGGAGGCCGUGAAGACCUUUAUGGCGUAAACUUCACGCCUUUUGGAAUUGGAUGCCGUCUGUCCAUGACUAUGAGCAUGAGGAGUCAACAACUUUAACAUCAUUUUACUUAGGUUUGAAUAUAUAAAAGAAUUAUUUAUAAUAUAAUAUAACAUAAAUUUUACUUAUGUUUGAAUAUAUAAAAGAAUUAUAAAUAAUAUAAUAUAAUAUAAUAUAAUAUAAUAUAAUAUAAUAUAAUAUAAUAUAAUAUACAAGGUUGGUCCAGGGUUGGACCGACCCAAAACUCUUAGGACCGAGGACCAACCCGCACAGUGUUGGUCUUGGAAUUUCAGGACCAAGGACCGACCCAGUCCCCUUGGGAACCGGACCAGGACCGGCAGGGUUGGGCCGGUCCAGGGUCAGUCCAGGGCCGACCCUAAACCGCUCUACACAUAGCAAAGGACCUACACAAUAUACAUGUAUAAAAGCAUUUAGUAAAUUGCUUAUGGGGCAUCUCAUCCAAUCAAAUGUCCAAUAGACACUACUAACUUUUGUCAAUUACUUCCACAAUCUUCAAGAUCCAAAAUGACAUAUUGGAACUCUUUGGUCGAUGAAGAAGUUGAUUUCUGUUUUGGAUGAUGUACAAAAUACAUAUAUUUCUCAAAUACUUGGAGAGUAUAGCAGAUCAUCGAAGUGUGGAACUUAGCAAUCCAGCAUCAUUGAAAGGAAUGUUUUGUGUAAAUGAAUUCUUUGUGUUUAUUUUUCAUUUUCCAUGACAAUCCAUGUUAGAAACUAUUAUGGUGCUGAAGAGGCUUAUUUCUGUUGAAGGAUUGUAAAUAGCAAUGUCACUCAAGGUUCAAUAUCGUCAGUUUCAAAUAAAAGACAUUGCUCUUGGAUUUCAACUUCCAAACAAGGGACUCUGAGUUAUGGGGAAAUACAGGCCUUGGAUGACAUAGAAUUGGCAAAUGUUAUCAUAUUUGGAAACAAGGAUUUUCGACCACUGCAGCAUCAGCCUUGUAAAGCUUCCGUGGCUAGUAAGAUUGCUCUAUUCUCAUGCCUGCUGGAGGUGGCAAAAGUCUAUGUGACAAGGUUAGUGAAUGUUAACAUUGUCUCAGCUAUGUAAGGAUUGUAUAUAGAAGAAAGUGGAGACAGUGUUUAAAGCACAAGCCUUGUGCACUUUGCUCAAUGGUUUCACCAACUAAAUGUAAAAGGGUAACAUGAUCUUCUAAUCUGCUUUGUUUAGCACUGUUGAGACGGUUGUGAACUUAAGUAAGAAAGUUUUUUUUAAAAUGAAAAUCAAGCGAUAGGAAGUGAUUCAGGUACACAACCACAGGUUCCAAUGUAUGGCAUCAGACAAAAUUAGAAAAGAAGGAAAUACAAUACAUUCUCGUUCUGCCUUCGCACAUCUCUAUCUGAUCUACAAUUUCUAGAAUUUAAAGUUUGUACUAUGCUUAUAGGACCUUCUAAUCACUUACUGGAAAAUUCAUCUUGUUUAUGCAUGUAAGUGUUGUUGUCAUUCAUAAUUUUGGUCCUAUUCAAAUGGGUUACUAAGUCAAAAGGGAAUAAGUUUUCGAAGUACUUCCACCAAAUAUGGUUCUAGAUUUCUAUAUUUCCUCGCAAUUAUUGGCUAUGCCAUUAUUUCACAAGGGGUAAUGAUCUAUGACUUCUUUUCCCACAAUUGUUUUGAAAGGGUAUGUAUUUUAAUAUACAAUGGACCUUGGUAGCAUGCAAAAUAUUUGAUUUACUGAAUUAAGGACGAAGAUAUUAUUAUGGAUUUAUUAAGUUGAAUUUUUUAGAAGUAUUUUCUGUUCAGUCUUGAAGAAGUUGAUAUAUAUUUCUAGCUGAAAGUUAUUAUAAGACAAGUAGUGACUACUGGUCCUUCUUGAUCAGUUGAUGGUGAAAGAAAUAAUAAUUCCCUUCUCCCUUCUUUACUUCAUGUGCUCUUCUGAUGUCUGUACCCUUCGUUUCGGCUGCCAGCGACUCAUAAACCAGGCAUCAUAGUCGUUAUAUCUCCCUUGCUAUCUCUCAUCCAAGAUCAUAUAAUUACUCUAACCCUCAAGUACAGAAUACCAUCUACUUUCAAUUAACUGCUGCCUAAGCGGCAGCUAUCCUCCAAGAUCUAAGGCAAGGUUUAAUCUCCACUUCUACUUUGCCUGCCUUUUCAGAAAAGACAAACCAUCAUGCACGCUAUUGUAUGUAACUCCUGAAAGGAUUGUGGGAAACCCAUCAUUUCUCGAAAUAUUGAAAGGUAUUGCUUUUGAUGCACCGUGACUUUCUCGAAAAGUCUCCUUAUAAUUUUUUUUAUAUUCGACCAUCAUGCAUUGUAGGCACAACUAGCCGGUUUUGUUGUUGAUGAGGCACAUUGCGUGAGGUAUGCGUAAUCUUUGGCAUGCCUCCUAAAUGAAGAAAGGUCAUGCUAGAGUUACUUCAAAAGGAAUAAUUAUUUUUUAUGUUGCUACUGCAAAACUAUUGUCCUUGUUCCUGAUAAAUAUAAGCAAGUUAACUUUUAUAUAUGCUAGCUUAAACCCUUUUUCGAAACUUUUUUGCAUUUUCAGUGUUUCUAGCCUAAUUAAAUUGUCAGUGUUACAUCAGACCUUUUGAAGCCCAGACCCCUCUGAAGUUCUAAUAUAACAGAAUGCAGUGUUCCUUGUUUGACUUUGGAAAGAUCUAGGUUCGUCAUUUGGAACAUUUAGUGCACAUCAUCAUCAUAUGAGUAAGAGCAUGCAANNNNNNNNNNNNNNNNNNNNNNNNNNNNNNNNNNNNNNNNNNNNNNNNNNNNNNNNNNNNNNNNNNNNNNNNNNNNNNNNNNNNNNNNNNNNNNNNNNNNNNNNNNNNNNNNNNNNNNNNNNNNNNNNNNNNNNNNNNNNNNNNNNNNNNNNNNNNNNNNNNNNNNNNNNNNNNNNNNNNNNNNNNNNNNNNNNNNNNNNNNNNNNNNNNNNNNNNNNNNNNNNNNNNNNNNNNNNNNNNNNNNNNNNNNNNNNNNNNNNNNNNNNNNNNNNNNNNNNNNNNNNNNNNNUGACUGAUUAAUGAGUAAGGCUCAUUGAUUGUCACGCUCGUGGUUGUCAUUGUUGUAGUCAAUGGGGACAUGAUUUUCAUCCAGAUUAUAGGGAACUGGGAUGUCUCGAGCAAAACUUUUCGUAUGUGCUAGUGAUGGCCUUAACUGCAACUGCCACUCAGCCAGUUCAUGAGGUAUGAAGUUGCCCAUUAACCUUCAGAUUAUGUUGAAAUGAUCAUUUGGGACUAAUUGAAAUGUGCAUCCAUUGCAGAAUAUCCUCAAAGCUCUCAGGAUCCCCCAUGCUCUUCUUCUUGAGACAAGCUUUUGCAGACCAAAUCUAAAAUAUGAGGUCAUAGCUAUGGGGCCUCUCAUCCAAUCAAAUGUCCAAUGGACACUCAUAACUUUUACCAAUUUCUUCCACAAUCUUCAAGACCCAAAAUGAGAUAUUAGAACUCUUUAGUCAAUAAAGAUGUUGAUUUCAGUUUUUGAUGAUGUACAAAUACCUAUUUUCUCAAAUACUUUGAGAGUAUUGGAAAUCAUUAAAGUGUUGAACUUAGCAAUCUAGUGUCAUUGAUGGGAAUGUUUUGAGUAAAUGAAGGCUUGUAAUUUUUUUGUGCACAAUUUUCAUUUUCCACGACAAUUCAGGUCAGAAGCUAUUAUGGUGCUGAAGGGGCUUAUUCCUGUUGAAGGACUGUAGGAGCACUAUCACUUAAGGUUCAAUAUGGUCAGUUUUGUCAGUUUCAAAUAAAAGACAUUGCUCUUGGAUUUCGACUUCCAACCACAGGACUCUUAAGUUAUGAGGAAUUGCAAGCCUUGGAUGACAUAGAAUUGACAAAUGUUGUCAUAUUUGGAAAUAAGGCAUUUCGACCAAUGCAGCAUCAGGCUUGUAACGCUUCUGUAGCCAAGUUAGAUUACUUUAUUCUUAUGCCCAUCGGAGGUGGUAAACGUUUACAUUACUAGGUUAGUGCAUGUUAACAUUGUCUCGGCUGUAUAAUAAUUGUAUGUAGAAGAAAGUGGAGACAAUGUUUAGAGCACAACGGCCGUGCGCUUUGCUCAAUGGUUCCACCGACUAAAUGUAAAAGGGUGGACCUACAUGUCAAAAUUUAAGCUUUAACAUGAUCUUCUAAUCUGCUUUGUAUAGCACUAUUAAGAAGGUUGUGAACUUGAGGAAGAAAAUGUUUUUCAAAUGAAUAUUAACCGAUAGGAAGUGAUUUUGGUACAUAACCAUCAGUUCCAAUGUAUGGCAUUGGAGAAAAUUUGAAAAGAAGAAAAUAUAGGACGUUCUCGUUUUGCCAACACAAAUCUCUAUCUAUUUUGUAAUUUCUAGAAUUUAAAAAUUGUGCUAUGCUUCUAGGAUUUUCUAAUCACUUAUUGGAAAAUUGAUCUUGUUUAUGCAUAUAAUUGUCAUGCUUAGCUCAAUCUCACGCUCUGACUUGGAUUUUGAGCAUGAGUUUUCUUAGAUUAGGUUAAAAUAAAAGUAUUGUAGUAAUAUGAGUCAAAUCAGAUAUGAGUUGGGUAGUGGUUGUAUUGGGGAUGGAUCAUUAGAUAUAUAUUGUAUGGGAAUGGGUUGAAACAGGAUCUAUUUGAGUUAGACUAUUUUCGAUUCAAUUCGAUCCAACGUAAGAGUUAGCAAAUUUGGGAGUAAAUUCACAUUAGCAGAUCAUCAAGCUAUUAUUUCAUGCAAGCUGUUAUUUCAUGCGAAGAAUCACAAACGCUUUCUAAGCAUAUACCACCACUAUAUAUAGAGAAAAAGGCAAAAGGAAGAAAGAAAGCUAUGGCAUGCCAUUUUAAUUAGAACAACCUUACUCUUUGCAACCCAAGGCCACCUAAAGAUUGGCGGAAUCAUUUGAACAGUCAACGACGAUCACAUGAGAGGUAAACGGACNNNNNNNNNNNNNNNNNNNNNNNNNNNNNNNNNNNNNNNNNNNNNNNNNNNNNNNNNNNNNNNNNNNNNNNNNNNNNNNNNNNNNNNNNNNNNNNNNNNNGUUUGCAAGGUAGCCUUCACACCAAACGAACCCAAGGGCGUGUCAAAUGAAACCAGAAAAAAACUUAGAAGAUAGGGCAAAAAUAGAACUUAAACAAACUUCAGGGGCGAAAACGGAAUUGUCAAAGAUAGAACUGAAAAAUACGGCUCCAGCCUCUGCCAUUCUCCGGCGUAUAAAAAUGGAAAACGAAAAACAUCAAUCCCGCCAUCGCUGACAAGGUUCUCGAACGAGAGCACAUCGAGUACGCUCGAAUUCGAUUCGAGAAUACGGAUCGAUUCGAUUCUGACUCGGGCAUCAUCGAUCGUGCGAAUCGCUUCGAACGGGUUGAGAUUCCAUGGGAGGAGCGGGCCUCGGAGGAGGAGAAAGCUUGGGUUGCUAAGCUGGGCUCUCGAGUUCGGCUUCGACGAGCAGUCCACCAACAGGUGCUCGGACCGUCUCGUUUUCCUCUACGGUAACUCGAAUCGUUAUCUCGUAGCGCGUUUUUAUGUUAAUUAGCGUUUGCGGAGAUGAUGGAGGUAGCUCUCGUCCACACGAUGAUGAUGGCGGUAGAAUAGUCUUGCUCUAAUUGCUCGUGUUGCGCGGAUAAUUUGUGCAUUUGAUCGAACGUGCGUAUUCCUAAUUAAGGAGAUUCAUUGCGGUUAGUCUAUGUUGUGAUGAUGGCUAUGGAAUAGUAAGUCUACUUUGGAUUUGAAUGGGACCGGAGUUUAGUUCAUUGAGCGUUAAUCUCAUCCCCUGUUUCUUUGUGGGUUUGGCGGAGUAGUCCUAUUGACAAGUGGACUGUCUGACUUAUUUCUGAACUCACUGCAAAUUGCUUAUGGGUUUCUUGCAAUAAUACUAAUAUCGUGUCUCACUAAACUAAAUGCAGAUGGGUCUUGCAAAAUUAUCUCUUUCUACUUUUGGUUCUCUUAAGGUGACGAAGGUCAAGAGUUUAUCACUGUGGCAAUGUCUCCCUAGCAUAACUUGUUGGAACCAUGCAAGACUCUGAGGAUUGGGAUGAUUUGCAAGCUGUGGAAUCAGAAAGCUUGUGGAGUUUUGACUGAGAUGUUUGGCCAAUAUUCCGUAAUGAUGGUGAAUGCAAUGUUAAACAAGAUGUCGAUAUUAUAGAAGAUUCUCCACAACCUGUGAAAAAUCAAACUUUCCUUGAGGUGGAUUCCUCUACUGACAGUGAAGACAAAGAUGAUGUUUUGGGCAGUAAAACGGGUAAGAAAUCCGCAUGCUAUGUUCCUGACCAAAGCAGAACUCUCAAAUUCUGGCCAGAUGAUCUUUAGAAUCCAUGGUAUGCUUCUUCCAUGGACAUAGACAAUACAGCCAAACCACUUAAAUCAGUGUUUCACCGUUCUUUUCUCUUAUAAUUUUUUUCUUUGCUUGAUUGUUUCCAAUUUUCUUGUGAUUCUGCAUGCAGCACAGGACCUACACAAUGUACAUGGCCGAAAGCAUUUAGUAAAUUGCUUAUGGGGCCUCUCAUCCAAUGAAAUGUCCAAUAGACAGUCAUAACUUUUGCCAAUUGCUUCCACACUCUUCAAGAUCCCAAAUGACAUUAGAAUGCUUUGGUCAAUAAAGAAGUUGAUUUCACUUUUGGAUGAUGUACAAAUACCUAUAUUUCUCAAAUACAUUGAGAGUAUAGCAGAUCAUCAAAGUGUGGAUUAGCAAUCCAGCAUCAUUGAAAGGAAUGUUUUGCGUAAACGAAAGCUUGUGAUUUAUGCUGAGUGUUGUGACUGUCAAAUUAUUAAUCUCCACUUCUGCCUCGCCUGCCUUUUCAGAAAACAUAAACCAUCAUGCAAGCUAUUGUGUGUAACUCCUGAAAGGAUUGUGGGAAAUCCAUCAUUUCUUGAGAUAUUGACAUAGAAAGGCAUUGUUUCUGAUAAGCUACUGCUGCAAGCACCGGUCAUUAGAAGGCAUCAUAACUUCUAAAAGGUUCUUUGUAAAUAUUUUAUAUUUGACCAUCAUGCAUUGCAGGCACUACUAGAUGAGGCGCAUUGCGUGAGGUAUGUGUAAUCUUUGGCAUACCAUGGGACAUGAAGAAAGAUCAUGGUAGAAUCACUUCAGAAGGAAUAAUUAUUUGUGAUGUCACUGCAAAACUGUUGUCCUUGUUCCGGAUAAAUAUAAGCAAGUUAACUUUUAUAUAUGCCAACUUAAACUCUUUUUCCAAACUCUUCUGCAUUUUUCUGUGUUUCUCAGUGUUACACUAGACCUCCUGAUGCCCAGAACCCUGUGAAGUUCUAGUAUAACAGAAUUCAGUGUUCCAUGAUAUAUGAAAAGAUUUAGGUUCCGUCGUUUGGGAACACUUAGCAGCAGAUCGUUCAUUAUAUUGAGUAAAGAGGACACAACUUAAAUAAGCUCCAAUGAAAAUUACUUCCUAGACUAAUUGGAACCGGCAUAAGCUUGGAUAAGGAACCAAUCUCCUCUCUAUGUUUGGCAUGAUACUCAGUCUCUUAGGUGGUUCUUGUGUUUCCAUUUAUUCUAUUAAUGCUUAUACUUAAUGUUAACAACUUGAGAAAGGCCAAGGUUCAACCAUGUGAUCAUUGAUUGUGUUUCAUACAAGGUCUUAAAUGGAUUUGCUCUGCCAGUUUGAUCUCACGAAAGGAACGUACUGCUGGUUUGAGCUUUUCUUGUACAUUUGACUGGUUAACGUUGAAAGCUCAUUGGUUGUCACUUUCGUGGUUGUCAUUAUUGUAGUCUAUGGGGACAUUUCGUUCAGAUUAUAAGGGACCGGCAUGUCUCAAGCAGAACUUUCCGUAUGUCCCAGUGAUGGCUUUAACUGCAACUACCACUCAGUCAGCUCGUUAGGUACUAGAAUUACAUAAUCGCCUAAUUAUGUUGAAAUAAUCUGUCUAUUCUGAUUAAAUUAUACAUCCAUUACAGGAUAUCCUAAAAGCUGUUGGGGUUCCCCACGCUCUUGUUCUUGAGACAAGCUUUGACAGACUAAAUCUAAAAUAUGAGGUCAUAGCUAAGACCAAGGAACCACUGAAGCGGCAUGGAGAGCUGCUAAAGAAUCGUUUUGCUAAUUUUUGUGGCAUGGUGUAUGGCCUUUUGAGGAGUGAAUGUGUUGAUGUUAUAAAAUACUUGAAUGAGAAGUGCCAUAUAAAGACGGUGUACAAUCAUGUUGGAUUAGUAGCCCGUAAAAGAGUAGCUAUUAUAAAAAAAUUGGUAUACUGGAGUGGUCCAAAUUGUAUGUGCUACCAUUGCCUUUGAGAUGGGAAUAGAUAAACCUGAUGCUGGAAGUUGAAAUGGACUUUGGCUUUCCUUAAAUCUUACAUUUUAGGAGUGGAUAAAACUUGCGUGGUGGAAUGGCCCAGAGAAGCAGAGGAAGAGGAGGCUUGCCAUAUACAAAGCUUUAUUUGGUCGAGGGCAAGUUCAAGGUUUGUAUCAAACGAGGGUUCCGAUGGUUGAAGCGCACAUGCUUGAACAUCGUGCGUCAAUUUUAAUAUGUAGAAAUUACAGAAUAUCAUGCUCAUCGUCAUCAGGAGAGAAAAGGGUGGGAUCAGUCAAGAGGAAACAGAGAGAUUUCUUUGUUUAUUGGGUUUUCAUCUUUAUAUGCAUCUAAUGGUAAUUAAGUAUUCAGAAGAGUGCCACAAUGUUUAAUCUUUCCGAUAUUACAUUUGUUUGAAUCAUUGUUUCAUUCAUUGAUCUCCAGCAUUCAAAACAUAGGAAAAUGAGACGACUCAUAUUUGAUAUUCAUAUAUAUUUAUAUUUGCCGAAAGUUUUUUCUUUUCUCUGAAUUUCCUUACUUUUGAUUUAUCUGCAACAUGAUUAUGCAUUCGUUGCAUUCCCAUGCAAAGUAAAAAUUGUCUAACCUACUAAUUUAUUCUCUUUUCAGUAAGCUAUUUACUCAAAAAACAUGAUGCUGAUUGCAUAUAGAGAGAUGCUUUCAUUGUAGAGUUGACGUUUAGAACUUUUUUUUAGGCUAAUGCUGCUUAAGCCUNNNNNNNNNNNNNNNNNNNNNNNNNNNNNNNNNNNNNNNNNNNNNNNNNNNNNNNNNNNNNNNNNNNNNNNNNNNNNNNNNNNNNNNNNNNNNNNNNNNNNNNNNNNNNNNNNNNNNNNNNNNNNNNNNNNNNNNNNNNNNNNNNNNNNNNNNNNNNNNNNNNNNNNNNNNNNNNNNNNNNNNNNNNNNNNNNNNNNNNNNNNNNNNNNNNNNNNNNNNNNNNNNNNNNNNNNNNNNNNNNNNNNNNNNNNNNNNNNNNNNNNNNNNNNNNNNNUAAUAAGACGUCAAUGUUAAUAUGGGAUGGAACUAUCAUAAACAAGCUCAUACCAAAUUGUUAGCAUGUAACCAAAGUAGAAGAGAAAAAGGGGAAAGACCCGUGAACAGCACCAAAUGGUUCAAUCAGUUUAACACAUUCAUCUAAUCAUUUGGUCGACUCAUGUUCCAACUUCAAAUCAAUUUGAUCGAUAAGGUCGUGACUAAUGUUGUAUAAGUAGUCAAACACAAAGCCAUUACCCUUUGAAUUAAAUGCCUAGGCACUCUGGUUGAGCAAUUAAAUAAUAAAUUAUAUAGUCAAUAAUUUACUUUAUUUGUGAAUCUUCUUGUGUUAUUUUUAAUUAAUAUUCUGAAAAUUAGAUUAUUUCAUGUCUGGUAUGUUUAACUAGUGUUUUGACUCUUGAACAUGACCUGCAUUUUAUAUGUGUUAGUACUUAAAGAUUCAAACUUAGCUUAACAAGUUACUCGGCCUUGUCUUCAGCUCCGGAAAGUAUUGACUCAAAGUUCAGCGGAAAAUGAGCGAAUCAGACUCUAUGAUGUGAGUAGCUUUUAACUACUAAAGUUCCACCAUUGUAAAGUAGUACAAUAAAGAGGAACAUCUAAGAGUGGCUCCAAAGAAAUUGCUUCGAUUGAAACUUGAAUGCAUAACCUAUGACCACAAUUUGGUGUAGUAUAGUCCGAGUACUAAGCAAUUAGAUGACCCCUUUAGUGUUUCUGUCCAAACCAAAUGAGUAUAAAUAUUGGGAGGGGCCACUUUCACCCUUCCAGAGAUUAUUCUUGACAUUUUUAUCCAUCUUCAACUGUAGCCAACACCAAAGAAAAUUUGAUUCCAGGUAUGGAAAUUGUACGGCUGUGUAUACUCUGCUUUAUAGAUUCAUGCUUAAAGGAAUCAAGUUUGAGAUUAUACACUUACAAGUGAUUGCAAAAUGCCAAUACAUGAACUUCCCAAGUCCGAGAGAUGAUUGUACAUUGACAAACACUUUUAUUUUGUGCUCAAAAUUCUUCCAAAUGAGAAAUUACUGUCUUUUGAGAAUUUUUCCGCUGAAAAUCUUGCCUGCAAUUGAUAGAUUAUUUGCUGAUUCCAUGACAUUUGCUUUUUCCAUGAAGAAGUCUCUCACAUUGACAAAAUCGUAGCUUGAAGUGGAUAUCUAAAUAGUAAUCUUUUUGAUAAACCUCCCUUCAUGCUUAACUUCACGUACAGAACCACCUGCACAUAUGCGGUUUUCUUGCAAGCAUUUUGAAAUUCGGUGUUUGCUAAAUAAUAGCAUGAUUUCAAAGCUUGCAAAGGACAACUACACAUUAUAAGAGGUCCCUUUAUAUUAUGAAUCAUAAGAAAAAUAUGAACAACAUGGAGCACAUUAUAAGCACCAACGGCGAAGAACUUUGGAACGCCUUUCCAUAACGUCUCAUGACAUAUCUCAUUCCUGCCCACAUCUCCUUCCUGUGAUGUUUGCGGAUGCUAUCUGAAUUUUAUGAAAUAAGAGUUGAAUCUACACAAGAAGGAUAGGAUUUACUAAUUAUCAAUGAAUGAAGAUAACUAAGAUCGGAGCAUCACAAUAUACACCAUGAAAGAUAAGGUGCAAAUGCACAAAGCAUCAUUUGCCCCAAUUGCAGUUGGACAGCAAUGAACAAAAACCUCAUCAGCUGGCCAAUGAAAAAGAAAACAACAGGCUUUGGAGACGAAAGCAACUAGCAACACUUUCCUUGUUAGUAAAAUUAUGCUGAGAAGAUGAGGUGCUCAGACUGCAGAACAGAAAGAUGAAUUUGUUACAUGGUUAUUUCGCAAUAUCUCAUUAACAAAAUCAGCGGUGUAAUAAAAUUUGCUAGGAGGUGAAUUUCAACUUUACAAAGUCGACAUUGCAUGAGAACUGAGCUUAUCAAAUUGAAAAAAAAAAAAUCAGAAUCCUAUAUGACAACAUUCAAUGGAUAGUAUCGCAUUGAUAAACUGAUAGAAAUGGAGGAGAUUUUCCUCAUGCAUACUUGAUUUUCAGGUGAAAUUCCAUAGCUCAUAUAGUAUAAGCACACAGGUUAUUUUUUCAUUGUUAUGGUAUGACUAGUAGUGCAUACCUCCCUCUGCAGAGCCUCACUAAGUUCAGGUGUGAUUACAUUAGAAUGCAAUGGCAUCAAACACCUCUGCAUCAGGAUGACAUACAAAAGAAUCAGCCAGCUACGCAUUUGAUUGACAGAGAGGUUGAACCUCGAGUGCAUACAAAAAGCAGACUCAACUGGAAAUACAACAUUUAAAUCAUUCAAGCAUGUGCUGUUGAGAUCAGAUGAAGUGUGUUGGAUCCUCACAAGCAUCAAAACUUCCUAAACACACUCCAGUUGGUCCAUGAGCCUCUUCAAUGUUGGCACAAAAGAUGGUCCUCAGCUGUUGCUGGUGCUUCCUUUGCAAAAUAUAUCUUCUUCAUUUUGAUCAGUCUUUGGCAUGGAAUUUGAAGUUCCUCAGCCAAGUUAGCCAAACUCAGAUUAAUCAUGUGAUAAAACGAUUCCAUGACAACAAUAGGAUCAGAUGGGAUGCAGACUCAUUAGCAAGUUCUUGAGCUCCUUGCCCCCGCUUGUUUCACAGAAAGGGCAAAAAAUUUGUCCCGAUUAUGCAAAAGAUCAUCGAUAAAGCUCAUCAAAUUGAAGUCACAAAGUAAGCCUUGAUCAUCCUAUAGACCAACCAGACCUGUCGUAGAAGCAGUACCAAUUUACCUUGCUUGAUAAUCUUUCAAAAUAAUAAUUUGAUUGCAGGUUAAGAAUAGGCAGUCUAGAAUCAUACAUGAAAGACUAGCCAAAAAUACUCUUCAUUUUAUUUAUUUAUUUAUUUAUUUAUUUAUCACCAACCAGAAAUACUUGAACUUUGAUUUUUAUUUUAGCUCAGUUCUUUAUACUUACUGAAAUUGAUACUUAUCUAGAAGGUUCAAGAGGAAAAUCAAGGGAACAAUAAGAAACCCGACAGGGUUCAUUACAGAAAAUCGAAAUGUGUUUAUCCCCAAUGGGGUAUCUGUCAUUAGUCAAAUUUGACACAUAGAAGAACUCAUAAAGGAACUCUAAAUGGCCAAGGAUUUUUUCAAAGAAAAUAUGAAUUUUGAACAUAGGGAAAAUGGAUACUUGACAUAGUUUACAAUAUUGAGAACCAGAAGAUCAUCGGCCUCUAGAUGAAAAAUUCAAAUCCCAAGUUUACAGAGAGGGAAACUGUUAAUCACUAGGUGAUUCUUGUCUAACUAUGUUGAUAUUCAUUCUUGCCUCACAAAUCACUAAUCUGUUUGCAGUCUACAAAAGCUGCCAAUGGAAGGAUAAAUGAAAAACAUUGCUAUAACCUAUUCAACAGCAAGUAUAUGUUGGCAAAUCCAAAGUCUCCAAAAUCAAUCAAAUAGAUACUCGGUGCGGAGCAAAUCAUUCUUAAAAAAUAUAGCUUCAAGAAAAGUGUUACUCCAUUCUCUCACGCUGGCCAUUCAAGGAUGGAGAAUCUUACUAGAUAACCAGUGCCUUCUAUUGACAUUAGGGUCUAUAUUAUGAUCUUGGCCAAAGCAUCAUGUCAGCUUCUAUGACCAACUACCCUUGCUCCUUCAAUUAUGUAAUACUGGCAAUUUAGGGAAGUCAGAACCCUGUGAUGGAAAACCUUCUUGUCAAAAGAAGAUAGUGAUGAAAAGUAGGUCAGAAUAUUAGAAGAAAAAUGAUAGCUUACUGCUUAUUUACCUCUGCUAAGGAAACAUGACUUGUCUCACUGUUGUAAUACAGGUAUAAGAUUCAUCACAUCAUUAUCACUGUAGUAUAAUAUUUCAACAGAGAGAUCGAAAUAGAUCUCUUCAUAAUUUCCAGUGACGCAUGUUCUAGAUAAUUUCAGUAGCAUUUCCAAUGAGUUGCAACCCUGAACAUCCAAAAGAUCUAAAUCCAUCUUUUCAAGUCCCUGAAGCUAAGUAAGUUUCUCUCAGUCUUUAAUUACUAGAGAUUGUAAUUUCUCACAUCCCGUCAAACUUGGCAAAGUCUCCAUUGUCAUGCAUCUUGUAAUAUCCAAUUUUUCUAAGAACUACACACCGUCAAAACCUCAAUUUUCGACUAGAUUGUUGCACCUGAUGGCCUAAAAUUACUCCAAACACCAUGAUUUUGGACAGAGAAGCCUUUUAAUGGAAUUGCAGUCAUGUAUAAAUAUGCCCUCCAAGAACUCCAAAUCAUCAUGGGUCUGAAUUUCAACUAGGUUAUCGCAAUGCUUGGUGCAUAAUCAUUUUAGAUGGAUUAAUUGUGAAAGGGCCAAUCUUUCAAUCAAACUGCACUUUUAUUUAUUUAUUUAUUUAUCAAAACUCUUCCAAGUAAUUGAAUUUGUCAAGCUUAACCAAUAUCAGCUUAUCACACUCCUCAAUACAAAAUUUCAAGGGUCUUGAGGAAAUCUCAUGGAUGUCUUCAGCUAGAUGGCAUGCCUUAAAAUGGAGUUUUUCUAGGUGAAUUAGGCUAGAAAGCUGUGGCAACCUGGGACUCUGACAAGAGAUCAAUAGAUAUGUCAAGCUUGAAGGAAGCUCUGGCAGCAACCAGAGCUUGUCAUAGCCCAUUAGGCUAAGGCAUUGGAGAGAAGAAACAUUCCGAAUGCUUUCUAGCAGGGUAGAUAUUGGCGCACAAGUGAUAUAGAGAAUCUUGAGUGAAGACAAGUCACCGAUUUCACUUGGAAUUGCUUUUUCAGACAAGGCACGAUAGGAGACUUAUAGUGUGCGGAUUUUUCAACGUUCCAAUAGCACUAGGAAGCUUUUCAAUCCCAGGAUCACUAAUGUCCAAAUGUUGCAUAUUCAGCAAAUCUCAAAUUAAGCUAGGGAUUUCUUUGAGUGACUCACAACAGCAGGAGCUCAAUUUCUCCAGCUUCAUCAGAGAACUGAUAGACAUAGGAAUCUCAGUAAUAUCAGCAAAAUCUAACAUAAGUUCUUCUAACUUGACAGAUUCACCUCUUUUCAGUUCUAACUCAUGUAACAAGCUGCUCUUGGUCCAGUCCGUUGCCACAUUCUUCAUCCAAUUUCAACUUGGUGAACCAACCAAACACUGAGACACACGUUCUCCCAUCCCGUUUUGAUCUUAUCUUCUUUGCUUUCCCCUCCUCCUCUGCAAUAAACACACUAAGUUAUAGCUACUACCAAUAGCUUCCUUCCUUUCCAAACAACUCAAAUAGCCAUUUUCACGUGAACCACCGAUUCUUUCUUUGUCAUUUAACACCACAUUCAAAGAGAAACCUCAAAUCAAGACGGUGUCAAAUAAUCAAUGCCACUAGCUUUUAUUGCAGGAAGAACUCAAAAGAAUAAUAGAAAAAAAUCUUUUUUCUACAUCAAUUCUCAUUCAAGAAAUAGAGCCCACAUAAACUCCAUCCACACUAGAGACUCAAACAAACUUUUGAUAGAGAAUUGCAUAAAACAACUCUAUACUUCACUUCAGAACCCAAUGCUUGAUCAGACUGCAGACUGACAUAAGUGUACAGAACAAAUCCAUAGAGAGAGAGAGAGAGAGAGAGAGAGGGAGACCNNNNNNNNNNNNNNNNNNNNNNNNNNNNNNNNNNNNNNNNNNNNNNNNNNNNNNNNNNNNNNNNNNNNNNNNNNNNNNNNNNNNNNNNNNNNNNNNNNNNNNNNNNNNNNNNNNNNNNNAACUAGUCUCUCUACUUGAUUUUAGGUAUGAAAAUGUACAUGGCUGUGUCUCUUUUGCUUUUAGAUUCAUGCUUAAACAAAUCAAGUUUGAGAUUAUACUGCCAAAGUGAUUGCAAAAUGCCUACAUAUGAAUAUUCCGACAUAACCAGACCAGAGAGAUGAUUUUACACUAAUGAAUGCCAUUCUUUUGUGUUCAAAAUUCUUCCCAAUGGGAAACUCCUGUCUUCUUGGAAAGCUGUUCAUUGAAACUCUUGACUGCAAUUGACAGAUUAUUUGCCGAUUCCUCGGCAUUUGCUUUUUCCACGAAAGAAGUCCCUCCCAGUCACAAAACUGUAGCUUAAAGUGGACAUCUAAAUGGUAAUCUUGUCAGCAACUCUCAUUUUAAGCUUGACUCCACAUAUAGAACCAUCUACACAUGCGGUCUUCCUCCAAGUGAUUUAUGAUGCAGCCGUUGCUACCUCCAAGCGAUUUGUGAUGCAGCCUUUGCUAAAGAGUAGCACAAUUUCAAAGCUUGCGAAGGACUAAUACACCACAUGAGAAGAGGUCGCCUUAUAUCAAGAAUCCUUUGAAGAGUAAUAACAACACAGAGCCAAUGACAAACACCAAUAGCAAAAAACUCCAAAAUGCCUUUCUAUACUGACAUAGCUCAUUCUUGCCCGUAUCUCCAACCCAUGGUGUCUGGGGACUUUCUCCAAGUUUCAUCAAAUGCAGCUUUAGUGUCACGCCCCGAUCCUCAGGCACGCACACAUCCCUUACCUUGGUCGAUUUAUAGCGACGUCCCAGGAUGCAUCGCCGACCCUUUUAUAUAUUAAGCACAUGCGGAAGCAGUUAUAAAUCCCCAGACAAUAAAAUAAUGGGAUAGGAAAGUAGGCCAUAUUUUUCAUAUUGAAAUUUACAUGCCACACUUUCAUUAACAGCACAACUCAUAGUAUAUUUACAAUACUAUUUACAACAUAAAAGUCUCACACCUAUCUACACUAAGACAGGGUUCACAAAAGGGAUGUGAUCUCAAUCCAUAUCUGGGUUAUAUUCAAGAUCCCUCUCUGGAUCAUCUUCUACUUCAAAAUACUUUCUCCCCUUCAGGUUCUUCCUCCUCAGCUUUUCCUCAGGGUCCUGAAAUGGUUAUUCAAUAACCAAUGAGACCACGUCUCAGCGAGUCCUACCCCCUACGACUCGAUUAGUAAACUAAUACGCCAUACGGUUGCCUAAGCACAACACGAGUCAGAGGACUUACCUUAGCCUCAGUUCCAACCUGCAAUUCAAGGUUAAACACAGAUAUUCAAACAAUUCACGACAUACGAUCAAGCACUGGUCAAUCGACUAAGUCGAUUACAUGUCAGCCAGACCCUUUCUAGGUCAUUCCCACUCAUACCACGAAUUCCCAGUGGUGUACUCAUUCACCAAAUCACAUGUUUCUCGGGCGUCGUUUUCGCCAAUGACAUACCGAUCACCGACACCGUGCGUUCUUUAAGGCGCCGUUUUCACCAGUGAUAACCUUGAUCACCGAACCACGUGUCCUUUCAAGGGCGCCGUUUUCGCCAAGGUGACAUCGGCUAUAGACAACAUCGUGCGUUCUUUAAGGCGCCGUUUUCACCAGUGAUAUUCCCAUAACCACCGAACCACGUGUGUCUAUAAGUCAUUUACGUGCGUUCUUUAAGGCGCCGUUUUCGCCAGUGAUACUUCCCAUCACCGAACCACGUAUGUCCAAUAACAUCGUACCUGAUUGGUCUCAGCCAAUAACAUUCUCAGUUGGCUCUCACCGUUCUCCCUACUAUAUAGCCCAUCAACGUACUGGCGCUAUAUACCCAUACUUGGCCAUUACCAAUCAAAUAUUCAAUAACAAACAAUUUAGGACAAUUCCUAAAAUUCCACAAUAAAUUCAAUUCCACACAACGUAGAGCUCAAAUAAAUAAACGGUCUGCACCACGAAAAUCGGCACGAAAUUCCGGUCACCGGCCAUCCCGGUUGAAUUUCCGGAAAAAUAAUUAAUUAAAUAAAUAAAUUUCGAAAAUAAAUAAAUAAACAUUAAAAAUCCAAUUUAGGCCUAUAUUGCCUUAUUGGAGCCCGAAACGGGUCGGGAAAAAUCCCGAGAUACAUUCAAUAAAUAACCAAACAUUUCUACUUGCUAAUAGCUAGGUCUAACCACCUAACAUGCAUCCUCAAGUCACUAAUUUAAUUGUUCUAACCUAAUCUAACCACCUAAUUGCACUUAAUUAAAUCUAACCAACCUUAAGCAUAAUUAGCAAACUAAUAAAGCAUUAGUGAGUAAAACUCACUUGAUUAACGAUUUGAUCGGAUCAAAUCGACGAGCACGCGACAAGGGUCAAUCCCGACCAAAGCGGGUCCGCCAACCGAGAUCAAAUUGGGGCCGAAAUCGGUCUACAAGCUCGCUGCUCGAGCUGGGCUAAGUCCACUGAUUCGGUGGGCCUGACUUCAAUUGAUUUGCUGGAAAAAUGGCCUCAAAAACUGGGCUACAAACAGGUUAGGCUUGCUGGGCUGAUAGUGCUGAAGAUGGGUCGAGCUCCACGCGGGCUGAACUGUUGGAUUGGGCCGCUGAAAAAUCUGAGUGGGCUCGCUGUGGCUGGUCCACGAGCAAAAGAAAUGGACGCUGGCCUCACGGACUGGGCCAAAGACACGUGAGCGAAGGAAGCAGCGGCUUGCGGCGUCGAGCUGGGGAGGACCACGCGGAAACGCUGAACUGCUGCUUCGGUUGCUUCGAGCUUCACUGGCAAGGGAACUUCGUCCGAUGCUGAGUUAAUUUCGUUGCCUUCAACGCUGCUUCGGUUAACUGGGAUGUGGCAGAGACGGAGGGAGCAGCUGCUGGCCGAAGAUGGAAGACACGCGGAUUGAAGCCCGCUCGGUGGUCAACAAAACAGGAGGUCAGCAAAGUGAUGCUGGCGUAGAGAAUUUACUGGUAGAGGGGAAGCGGUGGAGGGAUUUCGGUUGGGUCUUCGAUGGAGGAACGUGGGGUAGCAAUUCGGUAGAGAGAGAUGCGAAGAAAUUGAGGGAGGCUUCGCUGGAGAACCCGCUGGUUUGACUCGGGGAAGAUGAGCUGCAGACAAGUGGUGGCUUCGGUGGGGAUGAGGCAUGCGUGAGUGCGGCCAUGGUAGAGGAGAAGAGGAAUCAUGGGGCUGCUUCUGCGGGUUUGCUUCCGUCCAAGCAAAUUAAAGAAAGCAGAAGACGUGAGGGAGAGAUAUUUGUUUCUUGGAUAAGUGCAAGCUUGGUCAAAGAUAAAAAGGUGAGGUUGAAUUUCUGCAGGGGGAAAGCUGUCGGUGGGCAGCUAAGAGAGAGAGAGAAAACUAAAAGAAGAACGUGCGGGUGGGGAAGUUCGCACGCGGAGAGAGAGGAAAAGAGAUCUGUGCGGCUGAGGGAGAAAUGGAGGCGUGCGUGUGAGGGGCGUGGGUUCAAGGAAAUAUAAGGAUAAAACAAAAUCACAAAUACAAUUCUUGAUCCAUUUCAAAACCACCGUGUCAAUUGGUCACUCUAGGAUCAAUUUCUCAGCCGACUUAAACAUUCGAAAUCCAAUUUAAGACGGUUCUUUAACCCCGCAAAUUUUCUUCAAAACCGACUUCCAUUUCAUUUUUCUCGGAAUCCGAUUUUCUGAACAAAUAAAUUCGAUUGAGGUCCAAUUUGAAAUCAGAAAAAGCCCGAACAACUUCCAUUCACCGAUUCACUUACACCAGAUGUCAAAAGUCUCUUCGAAUUGACCAAUCUGAAUUUCUGCUCGUUCUCCGAAUCGUCCGUCCCGAUUUCCCCGAAAAAUCCCGAACUCUCCAGAAUUUCCUCAAAAGGUGAGCCGACGUUCCUUGAAUGACUCAUGACACGACAGGACUUCCAAUUUCUGAAAUCGAAUUCAAAUUCGCGGUUAUUUUCAAUCAAACGUGUUUUUAGUGUGACCUUACCUACCGGGUAGCUUCUAGGACUUUUUGGCGCAAUUGACCCGUGGUCGAUUUUCUUCGAACCACAAUGAACCCAUCCGACCCAUUAGCAACUCUUGAUGAUCGUGAAAAUCUCAAGGUUUCAAACACGGGCAUAGGGUACCCAAAACGACAGAAAAUUGGUUUAGUGCCGAUCGAUGAGAAUUUUGCAAUCAGGUGGCAUCACCCACACUUGAUCACAUAUCUCAGUCAAAUCGACCUAUCUCCGAUCUCUGAUCGAUUUUGACAAUGCCGUAAUGACCCUUGCAGACUAGCACGGUCGAGUAGUCGAUUCCUGGUCGAAUUCUCAAGUCUAUUGCGUUUAAAAUCCCCGAAUGGCUUCACCGGAUAGGCCAGUUAUCUCGUGAGUGGCCAACUCAGAGAAAAACACUAUAGUCACGUUGACGAAAGGCCCAUCUUAUCCAAUCGAAAUCAGAACAUGAAAUUCAGGAUGUCACAUUUAGUCUGCACAAGGAAGAUAGCACUAACUAAUUAUCAAUAAAUCCAAGAUCGUAGCAUCAGAAUUUACCCCAUGAGAGAUAAGGUACAAAUGCGUAAAUAUCAAUACCAGAGUUGGACCACAAUGAACAGAGACUUUAUUAGAUGGCCGAUGAAAAAGAAACCAAUAGGCAUAAAAGGAGUAAGCAAUUAGCAACACUUUUCCUUUUUGUGUUUAGGAACAGAAUUGAAAUUAAUAAAAUUAUGUUGAAAGGAUUAGUGCCUAAACUACAGAACAGAAAAAUUUAUUUGCUACUGGGUUAUAUUGCAAGAUCCAAUUAGCAAUAUUAGCAAUACAGGAUUAGUUUGUGAGGAGGUUAAUUUCAACUUUACAGAUCCAAUGCUGCAUACAUGAAAACUGAUCUUAUCAAAUCAGAAACCUAUAUGACAACAUUCAAAGGAUAUCAUCACACAAAUAAACUGAUAAAAAUGGAGGAGCCUAGCAGUGCAUACCUCCCUCUACAAAGCCUUAUCAAUUCGGGAGUGAUACCAUUAGAAUGUAACCGCAUCGGACAACUCUGCAUUAGGGUAACAUACAAAAAAUCAGCAGCUUAGUAUUUGAUUAAAGGAGAGCUAGAACCUGAUGAGCAUACAAAAAGCAUAUUUAAUUGAAAAAAAAAAUACAUUUACAAUCAUUCAGGGAUGUGACGUCGAGAUCAGAUCAAGUGUUUGAAUAUUCAGAAGCAUCAAAACUUCCUUGUAACACUCCAGUCAGCCCCAGAGCAUCUUCAAGGUUGGCACGCAAGAUGGUCCUCAGUUGUCGCGGUAGCUUCCUCUGCAAAAUCCAUUUUCUUUAUUUUGAUCAGCCUUAGGUAUGGAAUUUGAAGUUCCUCAGCACAGUUAGCCAUGCCCAAAUCAGUCAUUCCCUAAAGCAAUUCCAUGACACAAUAGGAUCAAACGGGAUGCAAACUAAUUAGCAGAUUCUUGAGCUCCUCAUCCCAGCUUGUUUCACAGACGGGCAAAAAAUUGUCCAAUAAUGCAAAAGGUCAUCGAUGCAAUUAAUUGAAUUGAAGUCCCAAAGUAAGCCUAGAUCGUCGCAUAGACCAACCAAACAUGUCAUAGAAGCAACACCAGUUUACCUUGCUUGAUAAUCCUUCAAAACAACAGUUCGGCUACUAAUAAUGUUAAGGUGGUCUACAUUCAUAUAUGACAGACUAGCCAAAACUACUUCUUUUUUUUUUGUCACCAAACAGAAACACUUGGAACCUUGAAUUUUAUUUUAGCUCAGUUCAUCAUAUUUCGAGAAGUAAUGCUCUUCUUAGAAGGUUAAUGAGGGACAUCAAGGGAACAGUAAGAAACUUGACAGGGGUUUCAUGCAUUAUGGAAAAUCAAAAGGCGUUUGUCCCAAACACGAUAUCUACCAUUAGUCAAAUUUGACAUAUAAAAUAACUUAUAAAGUAACUCAAAAUGGUUUUUCAAAGAAAAUAUGAACAUUGGACAUUGGGAAAUUCUAGGCGUAGUAUACAAUAAUGAGUAGCAGAAGUUCAUCAGCGUCUAUGCCUUCUAUUGACAUUAGGGUCUGCAUUUUGAUCUUGGCUAAAGCAUCAUGUCAGCUUCUACAACCAACUGCCCCACUCCUUCAAUUAUGUAAGACUAGCAAUUUAGGAUAGUACAGAACCCUGUCAUAGAAAACCUCCUUGUCAAAAAAAGUGAUCAAAAGUAGGUCAUGAAUCUCAGACAAAAAAUGAUUGUUCACCGCUUAUUUACCUCUAUUCAGGAAACAUCACUCCAUGAAUCAAAAGACAGCUCUUGUUCAUAAUUUCUAAAGACGCGAGUUCCAAAUAAGUUCGGUGUUGCUUCCAAGGAGUCACAACCAGAAAUAUCCAAAUCAACUAAAUUCAACUUUUCAAGUCCCUGAAGCCAUGUAAGUUUCUUGCAGUCUCGAACUCUUAGAGAUCGUAACUUCACACAUCCUAUCAAAUCUGGCAAAGUCUCCAUUGAUUUGCAUCCUGUAAAAUCCAACGAGAUUCCACAUUCUCAAGACAUUGAAUUUCGACUAGAUUGUCGCACCCAACAACCACUAAUUUCUUCAAACACUUGAUUCUGGACAGAAAAGCCUUUUAAUGGAAUUGCAAUCAUAUAAAAAUAUGACCUCCAAGGACUCCAAAUUUAUAAAUCUCGAAAUUUCAAAUAGACUAUUGCAAUGCUCAAUGCGUAGUCGUCUCAGAUGAAUCAAUUGUGAAAGGGUCAACCUAUAGAUGGAACUGCACUUUUUUAUUGAAAGCUCUUCCAAGUGCAUGUGUCCAUUGAGCGAAAGUGAUGUUAGCUUAUCCCACUCCUCAAAACAGAGUUUCGAUGUUAUUGAGGAAAGGUCGCGGAUGUCUUCAAGAAAAUGGGGUACCUCAAGAUCGAGUAUUUCUAGGUGGAUGAGGCGAAGGAGCUGUGGCAGUCCAAGACUCUGACAAGUAACCAACAGACAUGUUAAGCCCGAAGGAAGCUCUGGCAGCGACCGGAGGUUGUAACAACCCCUUGUGUUAAGUUUUUGGAGAGAAGAAGGAAGCGCCGGCAGCGACCGGAGCUCCUUACAGUCACAUAGUUGAAGGCAUUGGAGAGAAGAAAGAUUCCGGACGCUUUCUGGCAGGUCAGAUAUCCUUGUCCAACGAAGAUCGAGAACCUUGAGGGAAGGCAAGUCACCGAUUUCACUGGGAAGCUUUUCGAUCUCAGUAUUAUUUAAGUCAAGGUAUUGCAAAUUCUGUAAAUCCCCAAUUGACCUGGGGAUUUCUCUCAGUGACUCACACAUGAAAGCACUCAGUAUCUUCAAUUUCCUCAAAGAACCAAUAGAUGAAGGAAUUGCUGUAAUACCAGAGUAAUCUAAAAGAAGUUCUUCUAAAUCUUUUAAUCCACCCACCUCCUCUGGUAGCUCCUUGAGAUUUGUACAAGAACACAAGUCCAAGGUAACGAGGCUUGUGAGCUCCCAAUAGAAGGGUGGAGAUCCUCCAAUCCACGACAAUUGCUCAAUAGGAGAAUUUUCAACUGCGUGAAAGCUGAGAGUUCAGGAGUACAUCUUAAAUUAGGAAAACUUCGAACACAGAGAGCUUUAAGCUGCUUUGACGCCUAAUACAAAAGGAGAAUAAUAUGUCAAAUGAGGAGUUGAUUGGCUAAACAAAAAACAAACCUCAAGAUCGCAGAGAGGAUGUAUUCUUUUCCCAAUCUUACCUUGAAUGAAUUCCAUCCUUCCCAAUUCUCUGUGAUUCCUCCCGAUAAUUCCAGCACCGAUAAUUUUGGCAAAUGAAAGCUGAUCGUCGAAAGAGACGCAUCGUUUAUAGGAACGCCCCACUCAAACCAUCUCACUUCAGAAAACUUGGAAUCUCCGCUAGAAGCUGCCCCCAAACAGUCGCGGAACCAGGGGUGUCUCUGCAAGUUUUUUCACUUUUUAGUUUUUGCUUUUUUUAUAUCCUGAAUUUGCACGAUUACCUUUUUAUCCUUCCCCUAUACAUGUAUGGAUAUGUAAACUCACAUUUAUUUAUUUCUUCUUUUUUUACGGCCUUUUGAAAGUUAAACAAAUGACGCAAAGAUAAAGAAAAAAUAAUCAUUGCUUUAAAACAACUAAGGCAAAUACACCUCAAUGUUUUAUCUCUUGCUUCUUCUUCUUUUUCAAAAUUUUGUAGCGCAUGGAUUUUCACUUUCAUUUAAGAAGAAAUACAUAAAACUAGUUUACAACGUACAAAUGUUUACUUGUAAAUUUUUAAAUGACUUAUAAUUUUUAAAAGAAUUUGUUAAAGAGUGUCGACGGGCCACCUGUAAGUAGCUAAGGAAGCACCCUAUUUUCAUUUCAUUAGUUAAAUGUAAUAAUGUGGAAGAGAAAAAAAAGGGGGGGUUUUUAAUAUAUUCAGAUAUAUAGAAAAGUUUACGUGGAGGGAAAUUAAAAGAAAUCAAAUAUGAUAUGCAUUAUAAAAAUAGAUAUAGAAAAUUAAAAGAAUCCUAAUCUCUAGAAGGUAUCUAAAUAUGUUUAAUGUCAUUAACUAUUUGCGUGAAGUGUUUACUCAUUUCUUUGACAAUCGAAACAUUUUUUUUUUCGGUAAAGUUUGUUUAAAAAGUGACGUGGCGACAUUGGUUAGUAGUUUUGACCAGGAUUGAAAAAAACAAGUCGCUUUUAGAAUAACUAGAAAAUGAACUGAUUAACUAAAAAGUGCCGUGGUAACAUUGUUUAAUCAUCAUACGUUGGUUUCCAUAAGAAUAGCAUCAUUUCUUUUUCCAUCUUAUAAAUCAAAAAACAUACUGUUUAACUUUACUGCUAAAACAGAUCAUUUAAUUAGUUGCAGACGGUGAAAGAAAUUUCCUUAUGGCUUUAUUUGACUUUUAUAAUAAUACCUAUAUUUUCCCCCAAAAGUUUAAUUGGUUAGAAAUUCACUUUUAUGGCUAGACACGUUUGUCGUUAUAUCUGCUUUAAAUAUUAACCAGUGAAAUGCAAUGGGUAUAAAUUCUCUUAAGUCUAUUUGUCUGAAAAGUAGCUAAAUUGUUGUACUCAUAUCCCACACUAUCUUUAAUAAUUUUCGCUUGUAUAUCGAUCUAUACUAUGUAUUACAUUAAAAAAAUCUACUGUAUGGAAAGGGGAUUUCAAACCUCAAACUUUCGUCAAAAGUUUCCACACAAUUGGCAUAUAUUUCUCCAAAAUUAACUAAAGAAAUAGGAUAUAACAAAAUAGGCAUAAUCAUAUUUGAAAUAGUCAAGACAAUUGGAAAUUAGUCCCACAAGUAUUUCAAUUUUCAAAGUUAAAUCAAAUUCUCUCGAAUGGUACAAUCAUUUCAUUUCUUUCGACAAUAUUUAUCAUCUUUUAGCAUUUUUGUCCAUUCAAAACAGGAUUGACUUUUCUUUUUCAUUGUUCCAAAUACCUGUAUGGUGUGCUUUUUUUGCUAAUGCUAAGAAGUUAUUGGAUCAACAAAAGAGUGUGAUAUUAAAUCAUAGGAACGAACUAUUUGAAAUUAUAUCAAGAAUAUAAGGCUGCUUUGUUUGCCCAACAUCCCUGGGUCAAUUUCUAGGGUUAAUUCCUUGCCGUUGAUCAGCCAUGAAACUGUAAAGCUUUUCAAAUGGACAAUAUAUAAUAAAAUGACAUGAACAUUGACAAUUUAAGUUAAAGAUAAAACAUAGUUGAAAAAAAUUGCUUCAUGCUGAAAAUCAUAUAUAAUGAAUACAAGGUUAUGGAUAUAAUAAUAAGCAUGACGUUUCCUCCGAUUAGUCAAGUUUUUUUUUUUUUUUUUAUCUUAAAAAUAAUCAAGUUAGUCUAGCGAAUUCUGGCACAAAAGAGGCAGUGCCCAAAAAAUAUAAAUAAUAUAAAACAACUUAUAGCAGAUAGAGAUGUUUGUUAUAAGGAAAUCCACUCUUUAUUAUACGCCUACCCUAAUCCAUGAAAUAAGCAAGGUUAAUGGGAUAAAACCCUAAAAAAUGGUAAGAUUUGCCUGUAUAUAUUUUUAAGGGAUUUUUGCUAUCUAUUAAGAGGAGAUAACAAUGAAAAGAGAUAGAUAUAAAUAACUAGUUGAGGGACCGGUAUCUUCAAAAUCAAAACAGAGAAAAAAAUAUAUGAAACAUCUGAUUUCUAAAUCACAAGAGCACCACAAUACAUUUGGCCGUACUAGAAAGCAAACGUAUGUGAUAAGUGUGAAAUUUUUUUCCAAUCUUAUUGCUUUGAAUUAUUUAUCGGUUAUUAUACUAUCUCCUUCUUUUUUCUUAACCAGGAAAUCUUCAUUUAUUUGAUCUAUGAUGUUUAUACUUCGUCUUCAUUCAUAAUUAUAGUCCUUAUGAUUAUCAAUAUUUUCAAGACAAUUGCAUGCUUUAAGUAAAUGUGAUUUAUAGUCUAAAAUUGUAUUUAAAGGAUUUUGAAUUGAUUGCCAAACAAAUUUUUACAUAUGUAAUUUACAUCGAUGAAAUUGAAUCAAUGAUAUAACUUUUUCAUCCUUGAGAUACUUAUGAUUUAUUUAGUGUCACAAUUAAUCUACGAUGUACAUAAAUGGAUGUUUAAAUAGAUUUUUUUUCCUAGAAAGUAAGAGCAUCUUUUCAUGCUCAAUGAAAUAUUAGAAUAGAUCGAAUUAAAUAUAUUAAAUAAGAGGGAGAGAAAAAGAAGAAGAAAAAGAGUGCCAUAUUUUACCCGUGGAUGUCUUACUACUCUUGGGACUCCCUCAUAGUUGUUGUCCCAUGGUCCACUACGUUUCUCAAGCGGUUGUCCUUGGCAAAAAAUGCUCCUUCCAAGAUCUCUCAGUUGAUCAUGCACCAUAAAUUUACCAUCAUCUCCAAUUUUAAUUAAGCACCUCAACUUCAACUCUUCAAUUCCUUGAUUUGGAUAAAACCCACAACCCUCCCACAUGUACAUGGAGAAUUGUGCAACUUUGCCAUCGUAAUGUAUGCCAAUAAAGAAACAAACAAUAUCGAGAAAAAUCUGCUUAUGUCCUUCUUCUAAUGCAUCAUAACUUAUUUGCAAUAUUUUUUGGACAUCUCUGUGUGGUUGAUUUUUUAAUUGCUUCCGCACAUCUUCCCAAACUCUAUUCUUUUUUUUAUACAAGUAUGAACCUACAACUUUAAGUGCCAAGGGAAGCCCACCCAUGGUAGAUAUGAUAUCACGAGAUAUACCAUCAAAGUCCUUCGGAGAAUGGUCCAUACGAAAUGCAUGUCUAUUAAACAAAAGCAAAGCAUGCACCGUAUCCAAUCCAUUCAAUUCAUACUUAUAGUCCACCUUGAAUUCAGCUUGAUCAAGAAUAGCUUCAUUUCUAGUUGAAACAAUGAUCAAACUUCCUACCAUAAACCAAUUACGUUCCUCAGCCAAUGCAUCUAGUUGAUUCUUGUCAUCUAUAUCAUCCAAAAGAAUGAGAACCUUUCUUCCUUUGAAUCUAGAUUUGAUUAUAUUAAUUCCAUCAUCAAUUCUAGACACUUUAUUUUUGCUUUGUAGUAUAUCCGAUAUUAGUUGACUUUGUAAAUACAUAAUACCGUGGCGCUUGGUAGUUUCUCGAACAUCUGGAAGGAAGCUGACAUGCACAAAUUUGUUCGAGAGUUGAUUGUGAAUGAUCUUGGCAAGAGUUGUCUUGCCUAUCCCACCCAUGCCAUAAAUUCCAAUCAUUCGAGCACUAAUAGAAGGGCUGCUGUCUAUCCAAUUCAUAAUGUUCUUUAGACAAUCAUCAAGUCCAACUAGUUGCUUAGGCACAUUUAGUAGAAAAUCUUCUUGUAACUUGCUUAGAACAGUUCCAACCACAUGUUCUAUUAGUUCUCCCUCAUGCCUGUCAAACAACGAAAACAAUGAGAGAUUAUGAACCUAGACAUAGUUUAUGUGAAGUAAUUGAUCCUUAUCAACUGCGCUAACCUUUGUUGGCUAUAGGAGGGUGAUUUUAUCUAGUGGUGAUCAAGCUUUGGAAGACUGAGCAUUGGAGUCAUUUGUAACCUAUUGUUUAGUGAUUGAUACUACUAGCUGGAGGUAUUAUCGUUUCCUUGUUUUUUGCUCUAUACCGGAGGAAAAUGUAAAAUUCUUGGGCACUAUGGGAUGCUUUGGUUUUUGUUGUUGUUGGUUUAGUUUUCAGAGACAUCUUGGUGAGUACUGGUGUUUGUUGUCCUCGACGCAUUAUGGUUGUUUAUUGGGACAUUUUGGGAAUCUUUUCUGAGUUUGCAAUGAUAGUAAUUGAUCUGCAUUUCAUUGGUUUUGCUUGAAGAAGAAAACAAACUUAUCAAAACAAGAAAAGUUCAGUGAAGUACCCGUCCUCAAAUUUAUCAGAUUCCCAUCCAUGUAAGUAACUGACUUCAUUAAGUGCUUGUUGCCAUUCCUGGAUAUCCUUCUCAUCAUAACGCUCCCGCCUCAAAUGGAAGGCAUUUCCAAAAUUUCCCUUUAGAUGCCGCACAUCCGAUGGGGCAACUUUGUAAAAUAUAGGCAACACUAUGUGUGGCGUGCUCUUCUUGCAUUCCAUGAUAUGAACGAGCUCACGGAGGCACCAUUUGCUCGAAGCAUAAUUUUCGGAGAUGACGGGGAUCGAAAUCUUAGACCGUACGANNNNNNNNNNNNNNNNNNNNNNNNNNNNNNNNNNNNNNNNNNNNNNNNNNNNNNNNNNNNNNNNNNNNNNNNNNNNNNNNNNNNNNNNNNNNNNNNNNNNNNNNNNNNNNNNNNNNNNNNNNNNNNNNNNNNNNNNNNNNNNNNNNNNNNNNNNNNNNNNNNNNNNNNNNNNNNNNNNNNNNNNNNNNNNNNNNNNNNNNNNNNNNNNNNNNNNNNNNNNNNNNNNNNNNNNNNNNNNNNNNNNNNNNNNNNNNNNNNNNNNNNNNNNNNNNNNNNNNNNNNNNNNNNNNNNNNNNNNNNNNNNNNNNNNNNNNNNNNNNNNNNNNNNNNNNNNNNNNNNNNNNNNNNNNNNNNNNNNNNNNNNNNNNNNNNNNNNNNNNNNNNNNNNNNNNNNNNNNNNNNNNNNNNNNNNNNNNNNNNNNNNNNNNNNNNNNNNNNNNNNNNNNNNNNNNNNNNNNNNNNNNNNNNNNNCAUGAUCUAUUCUCUUUUUGUGUGAAUGUUGUUUCUCUAUUCGUUUUAGGUCCGUUGCUUCGCUUCUUUUAUGUUUUGGUUCAAAUUUGAUGAUUACAUGUUUUAAAUUUCUUUAAAAUUAGCAUAUUCUUAAUGAAGUUGGAAAUGCGAGGUAGAGAUUAACAAAUUGUUUUUGUCAUUUCUCUCUUACUUAUUUCAUGCUCGCCCCACAUUCCAGUAAUUCUAUAUAAGACGAAUUUAUAAUAUGAUGUUACCGAGCUAUUCACUUCUAACUUUUAAAUUUAAAUUAUUGAUUGAUAUAUUGUCUGCAAAAUAGAGCUAUAAUUUGUUAAAUGACACCAAAUGAACAUAAUGUGUUAGUAUUAAGUUAUUAAUGAUAUAUGAAAUACUUGUACAUUGUCCUUGAGUUCUUUUCCGGGUCAUUUUUUUAUUACUAUUUUGUUGGCAUAUCAUUCAGCUCUUGAAAAGUCAGUAAAUCACUGAAAAAAUAAGUACGUGAAAUAUUCAUAAAAAUAAAGCAUGAUUUAGGAAAAAGCAUUGAAAAGAAGGGAAUGAAGUGUUUGGGCCUACUUUUAGAAGCAAACAGUGAUAUUUAGAGUUAAUGUCCAAAAGGCUUUUAAAUUAUGGAUUCAUGACACAUGGAAACCUUCACGAACAUGAAUUGAAAGUAAAAAUGGGAAUAAAAGAUGCAUGGCAAUCUGAGGGUGAAAGUUGGAAUGAAAGAUGCUUUUUUUGCAUAAAAGGAUCGAUGAACUAAUCUCUACAAACGAACAUGAAUAUGUUACCACGCAAGAAAAAAUGAACGUGAAAUCUUUAAUUAAAUGGUAAUUGAUUGACUAGGAGCAGUUGCAGCCGCUUUUAGCCCACACCUAUCUUGUUUUUGACCUCACCCUAUUCAAGUCGAACUUGUUGGCUUGAUCCCAGACGAGUAACGUGGACGUUAAUUUUUAAAUUGGGCUAUGAAGUACUAGAAUCUGCAUACAAGUAUAUUGCAUUCAAUCAAAAAUAUAAGCAUAUGUUCGGUUUUUUAUUUGGUUAUUGAAAAUCGGAAUUUAAUAAAUCAUUUAAAAGAAAAUAAUUGAGUUGAAACAGAAUUAGAAAUGUGUGAAAGAUGUCAAGAAAGGACUGAGCUAGUGAUUAGGAAUGUGAUUUUAUAUUUUAAUUUUGUUUAAAAUUGUCACAUUCUUAAUGAAGCUGGAAAUGUGAGGUAGAGAUAAAUGAAUACUCAUGGUUAUUUAUCUUUCAUCUAUUCUAUGCCAGCACCACAUGCUACAAUUCCAUGUAAAAUGAAUUUAUUUUGAAUUGGUGCGUUAUCACCAAGCCUUUCAUUUCAAAAUUUCAAAUCUAAAAAGUUGAUUGAUAUCUUCUGUAAAAUAGAGAUAUAAUUUGUUAGAUGGCACCAAACGGAGAAGCAGAUGCUCCCUCAGUGCCCUCUUUGUAUGCACUCUUUUCUUUCUCCGUGUUAGUCUGAACGAUUAGAAACUAGGUACUGAUUCAAUGGAAGAAGGAGAAGAAGAGAAGAAAGAAAGUAAAAGGAAGCUGCAGAGGAAAACCCAGAGACGACCAAGGUUUGCAACAAUGGCGUUGAGUGCUUGUCCCCAUUUAUGUUGGAGGGCGCACCUUGAGAAUAUCACCGCAAAGAUUUUUUUUAUCCAAUUAAAUGGAAAUAGAAUAGGAUCAUCGGCCAAAAUUUGUGAUAAGUCAGGUUAAAUUGAUUAAUCACAUUUUGAAGAACAAAUUAAUUGUUUGUAACAAAAAGAGGUGUAAGAAAUGAGUGAUAUAAAGCUAGGUGAAUCUCUUAAUAUGCCCGUAUGGCUCGAUUUAUCUGAUCGUUUUCGUGUGUGUCAAAAGAUCAACCAGGUUUUUUUUUUCUUACUAUUAAAAGGGAAUAUCCUUUCUACUAUUAAUGGUCCAACAAUUUGAGGAAAAUAGAAUAUCACUCAUUUGGAAUGUUCUAUAUAGGGAGGAAAAAUUGUCAAACAAAAUCUCCUUCAGACAAGACUGAUUCUUAUGACGAUUGGCUUCGGGAUGAGUAAGUUCUAAAUCAAGAAUUGGAAUAUUUUUGUAUUAAGAACCAAACUAGUUGACCCAAGAACCAGCCUACUACUAUUUUUCUGAUUUAUUUUUCUAUAAAUUGAUCUAGGACCUUCAAACACAGAAAAACCUCACAAUGCAUAAAAAAAGAAAUGGUCUAUGGGUUCAAGCGAAAUGUGGCAAUUUUGCGUGCAAUAGAGUCUAGCGUGCUUGCAAACCUACUCGUUCUAGUUCAACAAAAGAUCAAUACUGAAUUACAAUGCAACAAUCAGACAGCAAGGCUACUUAUAGGAUUAGCCAUGUCUAUAGUCGAAAACAAAGGCUUUCUUUUUUCAACGAAGUCAAAUUUGAGCUGGGUACAUACCUCGUUAACAGGUGACAACGACUCCAAAGAGAGAAUAAAAGACCCUCCCCCUCCUCUGCUAUUUAACGACCACCCCACAUCCCCAAUCGACAAAAAGGGGCCCAGAAUACACUUAGUUCAGCCGAUUAUUCCAAUAACAAAGCGACGAAUCCAUAGAAAUGACACGCUAAUAAGACAUGAAAAAGCAAUUACCUCCUACAAGCUGAGAUGCGAAGAGAGGUGCGAGGUUGGAGAGGAGAACUUCAACAAGCCCGGGUGAAAACUUUCGAGGGGGAAAAGAUCAAAGAAAGCAAGUGAGGACAAUAGUUCCGAAUUGUUCUGCAAGAGAAAGGCCGAACGUGAGAAAGCACAAUUUGGACCAGAGUACAGAAUGACCAGUUCUGUUCAUAUCUACUCAUAAACCAUAUUGUUAAACAGAUAAAUGUGGCUCCUGCUAAUAUUUCAGUAUGAUAUUAUCAAAGACGUUCUUCCCCCUGUAAAUGCUACAUUCUCCCCCAUCCUACACAUGCAUAAAUCAUAUUGUCAAAUCUAUUGUAGGUCAGUAACUUUCUACGCUAUAUCACGACUAUGAUGUAAGCAAUUAAAUCUCAUGAAAACCACACUUUAUGACAAGUUUCUCUAGUUUAACCCACAUAAUUCACAUAUUAAAUAUGUGUGAGUGCAUUGAAACCAGCAGCUUUGCUCACUUUCAAGUUUUCCAUUGUAACCAGCACCCAAAUAUAUAUAUAGUACAACUGUGUAUUUUUCAUGACUUCCAGAAAACAUUUGAAUAUUCUAUCAUUUUCCACAAAUUAUUAUUAUUGCCAAUAUAAUGGAAACGGGUUUUAUGGACAUUCAAAAAUUCUCUAGUUGAUCUGAUCUGUUCAGAUAAAUUUUUGUUUUUGACAAUUUUGAUCAGUAGGCUUUGAAAGGUUUUGUGCGUUUAUUGAAGAGAAUAGACCAGCAUGAUUGAUAUUUGAAAAUAUAUAUAUAGUUUUUAACUGUUUUCAAGAGAAAAAAAAAAGAGAAUUAUUUAUACAAAAACUGAUUAUUUUGGAUGCUUCAGGCUUUAAGUGCUUUUGGACAAAUGGGGUACAUAUAGGGCCAAUGGACCCAAAAUCGGGUCUAGAAGGGUAUUUUCAUAAUAUCAUGGAGCGGGCCUUUUGUCCCAAGCGAGUUCAGUCAACCGUUAAUGUUUUGCAAACAAUAUCUGGAUAAGGGCCAACAUGCGAUCACACCAUAUUCAACCGGUCUAAGUAUUCAUAACUGAUUAGUUCAAAUGAGAAGAUUGUAGCAAGAAAAAUUAGCAAUACAUAUGUAGUGAUGAUUUUGAAAAAGCCGAAGGAAUUUCACAUGUAAUAUUUUGUACGCCUUAAAGGAUGUCAAGCGUUAUGCAAUGGGUAAUAAUCGAAUGUAUUUUGCGCUAUCAAUUGAAAUAGACCGGAGAAUGAAGGUCGGACUUACCUCAAGGAGGAGGUAUGACGAGAUGAAAUAACGAUGAUGGGUUUCAGUGUUUUGAGAAGAAGUUGCCUCAGAAGCCGAUCAAGUUGCAUCCGAGUCCCGAAAGGCAGUGCGAUCCUGAGGAUCACCUUCACGCCUCAACCUGGACCGGCUUGGUUUGGAAAGACAUGGAGGUAAAUUUGCAGGUCAUCUCAAGUCAGAACAUCACGAGAAAGGGCGAGUAGUGGCUACGAAAUCACCAACAACAGGCGGGGAACUUACCAUCUUUCGAUAAAAUCGCAGCUUUGCUUUGGUAUAUCCGGAAAUCCCAGAAACGACCCUCGUGUCCUGACGAUUCGAGUUGAUUUUACCUGCUGAUUGGUGCCCGCCGAAGAAUCGGUCCCUCAAGAUAAAAUACCGAUGGUUCGGUCCUUUGAAGCCGGUGGUUCGGAAGGAGCGACUGUUGGUGUUCCUCGCGACGGCCUUGGCUGUACUUCUCAGAACAAAUGCGAGCGUCUGUGUGAGUUAUGGUGAUUGGCGUUUCUCCUCUUCAAGCACAAGCACUUGGGACUUUAUAUAAAGCUUUACUUCUUCUCUUGCCCCAAAGAAGACGCGCAAACUUGUGGUGGAUGACGUUUCUUAGACAAGGCAAUUGUAGUUCUUUUGAUUCUAACCUUUUUGACCAAGACCACCAAAACAAUCCCUUCCUCGAAAUUGGCAAGAUGACCCCUAUAGACUUCACUUGUUAGUUCUUUUUGUUAUUGGAUCCCGUGGCCAAGCAAAUCAUAGUGGAAAUUAACUUUUUGAAGAUGGGGACACCUUUUGCUUUAUCCUCACCUUUUGGCUACAUGCGGCCACUCAAAUUAUCGAUUGAGUUUCACCCCUAUUGCUAAUCAAUGUAGCAAUUAGAUUGUAAUUGGACCGCGUGGCCCCUCAAAUCAAAUUGAAGAUGGGUGAUACUUUUUGCUUCAUCGUCGCCCUUUGCUUUUCCCACCCCAUUAACCAAAAGAAUAGAUACUUUUAUGUUGGAGUCAAGGUGUUCACAAUGGAAAUUAGUUUUCGCACAAUGCUAUUUCAAAAGAGUCCCUCAAUCAUGUCCUUUUUUUUUCCUCAAUCAUGUCCUUUACCUGGUAACUUUUGCAACGUGUUCAUACUGGAAAUUACUUCCUCUCUUGCCUGAAAAGAUGAGCCAGUUGUGCUUGGAGUACACACAAUCCUACCAUGUAUUUGCGUGUGUUUGAUGAGGAAAUUUAUUUCUUUAACCAACUGACCCUCACCUUUUGGUAGUUCUCUUUGGAAUGGGAUCACAUGACCGCGCAAAUCAAUGUGAAGAUGGAUAACAUUUUACUUUUCCUUUCCAUUGAAAUGAAAGCCUCUUAUUGCUAGAGGCAUUGAAAUGGUCAACAAUCUACUUUUUAACUCAUAUUUAGUGACCUACAUCAUAUUUGAAUUAGCUAUAAUUUAAAGAAUAGGUUGUCAUGAAUUUAAAUAACAAGUUAAUUCUAUAUAUAUAUAUAUAUAUAUAUAUAUUAAUGAGUCUAAACCAUAUCUAUAUGCAAUUCAUGUCAAUCAAAAAAGAUAAAAUAGUAAUGAUUUUUCCAUUUGCUUUCACGGGGCUCCUUCUUAAUUGGCCUCAUGCCUGAGUGUGGCACCCCCGGUACAUGGAGAUCAGUGCAUGUGGCACAACAACUGCAUGAGCUUUUUCUUCACUUGCCUAUUGCUUUGACCAAUGAUCGAGUGGCACAUCAUUCGUUCCCUACUCAUUACAGAUUGGUAGAUCUAGUGGGACUCGUGUGGAGCUUAUAUGGGUCCUAUCAUUUUUAGUUUUCCAAACAUGAUGUUUCUUAUGAUAUCAUUUAGCUCCAUGUCCAAACGACAACAUCAAUUAGGGCUAGUUCAGCCAAACCUCUUCAAUACACUUAAGGAUGUUAGGAAUUAGACUAAUAUCACGUGCUUAAUCUACACAUACAAAUUUUUAUCUUAAGUAUCCAGGGAUUAAAGUUAUGGUGAAGUAUAAGGGAAUGAAGAAAGCAUGAGAAAAUUACCAAAAAAAGUCAUUGUGUUAAUUUAGUCAUAAACUUUUUAAUUUGACCAAUUUAAUCCCAAGCCUUUUGACAAUUUGCCAAUAUAGUCCAUGUAACCAAAUUUACCCCAAAAUUAUUGAUUUAGAUGCUAGGCAUCCUACAUGGCAUUGCCAAUAUUGAGAUAGAAAUUUUUUUGAAAAUUUUAAUUUUUUGAAUUUUAAUUCAUUAUUAUUAUUUUUAUUAUUAAAGGGCCAUUGGGGGGAGUGGGUUAGCUUGCCAUAGAGUGAGGACCUGUGAGCCCUCAUCAAUAGCUAGCGAGGGUUACAGCUCUUGCCUUGGACAACAAGGGCUACAAGGGUCACGACCCUUGCCAACUAUGAAUGAGGGCCAUGAGCCCUCAACUAGUGGCUAACGAAGGCUUGUUACCCUCACACGUGGUAGGCAAAGGCCAUGAGCCCUCACCGAUCACUAGGGAAGGGCUAAGUCACCUAGUGGCCGACAAGGGAUCGCUGCCCUCAUACAUGGCAAGCAAGAGUUGAGAGCCCUCCUUGGCCACUGGGCGAGGGUUGCAAGUCCUUGCUAGCCAUGUCACACAGAAUGGUUGUUAUCUACAUCAGUAAUUUUCAGUUGAAAUUAGCCGAAUAUACUACAUUAAUAAAUUGUCAAAACGUUGAUGACUAAAUUAGUAAAAUCAAAACGUUCAAGAUUGAAUUAACAUAAGUAUAAUAGAUUUAUGACUUUUUUUGAUAAUUUUUCUUCCAUUAAAUCACAUGGAAACCACACUUAAUGAUGCGUUUCUUUGAUCCAAUCCACAAAGAUCUUCCUAGAAAUUUCCUACACAUUGAAUUAUUUUAGAGUGAAAGAAGGUCACCUUCCUCCCAUGAAGUUCAUGAUGGGUUCUAGAAAAGAAAUAAUACAUUCGGAACCAUCUCAUGGUUAGAACAGUAAACAAUAGAGCAUUUUAAUUUAAUCUUUAAAAUUUAUUUGUGGGAGAAGAAUUUUAACGAAACUAAAUUAGUGGAUGACUGGAGGGACAUUGUUGGUAUUCACAACUAAUGACGGAUUUCAACUGCAAUUUUCAGAUAUAGUAAUAAACACAAAAAAAGGAAAUGAGCAGACCCAAAAUCGCGUGCCACUCUAAGUCAAGAAUGGUGGGUGCCUUCUUUUUCAUAAGGGUCUCAUGCAAUCAUGCAAACCACACAACAAUUAACCUUUAUUGCGAUGGGAUUUAAUUAGUUAGUAAUUGAGGGACACCGAGCAGUUUACUGAUGCUUUAAGUCCUUGCCUUUAUCUCCUUUAAGACCUCGCCCUCUAGUCAAGUCAAACUUGUUGGCUUGGUCCACUUCCGAUUAACAUGUACGUUAAUUUCAAAGUUGGACUAUAAAAGGAUGGAAUCUGUUUUCAAACAUAUUCCAUUCGUUUAAAAAUAUAAGCAUGAAUUCGGUUGUUAUUUGGUUAUUGAAGAUCACAAUUUCAUAAAUCAUAUCUAGUUAAAAUGGAUUUAGAAAUGGAUGGAAGACAUGAAGAAAGAAUCUUAUGUGUACCAAAGCCUCUAAAGCUCAAGAAUACAUCAUGGGGAUCAUUUUCCCUCUCCUGUUGGUGUUGGAUAGAUGAACGAAUAUGUAGGUGCUCCAUUAGUGCUCUUAUUUUCUGCAUGUGUCGCUUCCACUCUUUUUCCUCUUCUUGAGGAGAUUACAACCUAACCCAGAUCAAAUAAUUGGUGCCGCAAGCACCAUAGAAGAACGCCCUAAAAUGAACUGAUGCAUUCUCUGUUUGAUCUGCUGAGGGUCUUUCCUUUGUUUGAUUUACUCAGGCUCAACUUGACUACUUGUGAAGAAAAGUCCUGAAAUUGAUACAUAUGCACCGUCUGGAAAUUACUAGGUAAUUUACGAAUGUCAAAUAAGAAUCGCCAUUACUUAGAUGGGAUCCAGUCUUAUUUUCCCUUCUCAUCUAGUUUUUGUCGAUUGUUUGACAGAUCUUUGCCAAUCUUUCUUAGAAAUCCCCCCCUCCCCUGGGGUUUCGAAAUGCUAUUUUUCCAAAAUUGGUAAAUCAUUCCAUUGAAAUAUAUAUAAGGGUAAAAAUGUAACUAAGAAACUAUACUACUUUGCCAAUAUUUUCUUUUGCCGAUGCACAGCAACAAAUUUGAGAUACUUCUCAUAGAUCUAUAACUUUAGUACGACACGCAAGUCUUCUUUUUGCAGAGGAGCCUUCACACAUAUUCCUAUCUACCGAGGUCAACAAUGACUCAAACCCAGAAAAAUGAAAAUAAAAAGAACCAAGGGUGUAAAAAGAAGCCAGAAGAACUUAUAGGAAGGCAAAAUAGAGUUUAGACAAACUUCAAGUACGAAAAUGAAAUUUUCAAAAAAAAUUGAAAAAAAUAUGGCUCCAAUCUCUCCCAUUCUCCAGCAUAUAUAAAAGUAGAAAGGAAAAACAUUAAUCUCCCCAUCGCUAGGAAGGUUUUUCAAAAAGAGCACUUCUAGCGCACGCUUUUGGCAAAGACUAGCGAUCAAUUUGAUUCCGACUUGUGCACCAUCGGUCGAUCGAUUGAAUCGCUCGAACAGGUUGACUUCCAUGGAGGAUCAAGGCUUGGAGGUAGAGAAAGCUCGAUUACUAAGCUAGGUGCUCGAGUGCGGCUUCGACAAGCAGUCCACCAACAGGUGCUUGGACUGUCUUGUUUCGCUCCACGGUACUUGAAUCAUUAUUUUGUCACAUUUUUUGUGCUAGUUAGCUUUGCAGAUAUUAUGUAGGUAUUUCUUGUUCACUAUGAUGGGUCAAAUUGGUCUUGGAUUAUUUUUUAGUAAAACAGAACUGGUACAGCGAAGUAGUCUUGCCGACAAGCAAAAUGUUUGGUACUGUUCCGGUUUGAUUGUGUUUAGGUUGCUUUGGAUGGUGGUUUUUCUUGGUUAUUAGCUGAAUUGCAUCUUAAUGGAUGCUUAGGGCGCGUUUGGUAACGAUUCUGUUCCCUGGAGUAGAUUCUAAUUAGAAAUAUUUUUUUUUUUAAUUUCUGUUCCCAGUAAUAGAUUCUAAGCAUUUCUUUAAAAAAAGAAGAAGAAGAUUCUAAGCAUUUUAAGCCGUUUGAUAACAGUCCAAAUUUUUUUUAUUCUGGAAUAGAAUUGUGUUUGGUACUGUGCUCAUUAAUUCUGUUCCAAAUCAUUUUCUUUUAAUUUAUAUAUUUUUUUUCAUUUUUUUCUUUUCCUUUUCUCAUUUUCUUUUUUUCCUUUUUUUUCUUUUUUUUUUUCUCUUUUCUCCUAUUCUUUUUCUUCAGGCUGACAAGACCCACUCAAAAGAAAAGUGGGGAAAAAGAUUCUAGCGAUUGAAAGCAAGUCAAAGUCUUUCACCACCUUUUUUGGUUAGUUGCACCGGGAGACUAGAGACCAUUAUUUAUCAUGAAAAUAUUGUAUAAAUUUAAUUUAUAAAUGAUGUGAUGGAGAACAUUAAUCACAAUAUAAUAAUUGUACUGAAAUUUGUAUUUUACGAAGAGGCUUUGUAUGGGGUUUGCACAGUUUCUUUUAAGUGUUUUAAUAAAAUCUAGAUGUCCAACAAUGCUACAUAAAAACACUACGCAUCAAACUCUUCAAUUUGCCUAUUGACUCCAAAUAACUCAUAUUGAUCUGAUAGCAUAAGUGGUAAUGUUAUUAUUCUAUAAUUAUACUCAUUUUCCUUUAAAUUGACAAUAGUGAGCCCAAACAGAUUAUCGUCCAUAAAUGUGAACACUUGAAUAUGCAAUACAUGUAAUCCUAAAGCUAGUCCGUCAUCAAAUAUUUGAGGUGAGUUGAAAUUGAUAUGUGAAAGCUAUCUGUUACUUAGCAUAGCAAAGAUUAGCUACCUGAUGAAGUUUGUCAAAUUUUUAUCUUUACUCAAAUUCAUAAAAUCCAUUUUCUUCUCCCCUGCUUGCUCUGCUUAUGUUGUUCGUGAGUUUUUUUUUUUCUUUUUUUAGUUUUGAAUUAAAUCCAUCACUUUUGUGGCUCUAGAUUCAAUUUAGCACAUAUAUUAAAUUUACGGAAUAAUUCCUCCAUAUUACGAGAGUGCUUUUAAAGGAGUAACAUGUAAAACUAGUAAGAUUUUUGCCUUCUGUUGAGGGUGAAACCUGUCAUUUUCUGGCUUAACAAAUUAUGGACCUUUAGAUUGAUCUGGAAAAAUCUGAUUUAGCCGGCUUUUAUUGUAUAGAAACCAUAUGAAUAGAAACCUGUCAUUUUCUGGGUUAACAAAUUAUGGUUCAGGUCCAAUUCAAAAUGGUAAGUCAUAGGAAUAAGGUUUCAAAUUACUUGCACCAAAUACAAAUUGUAGAUGUCUAUGUUUUCUAUACAAGUAUGUGCUAUAUCAUCAUCUCAACUAGGGGUGAUCAUUUCCCAUAAUUGGUUUGAAAUUGAUGUCCUUUCAUAUAAGAUGGAUCUUGGUAGCAUGCAAAAUAUUGAAUCUACUGAAUCAUGAAGGAAGAUAUUAAUUUGAAUUUAUUAAGUUGAAUCAUCGUGAAGUAGUUGAUUCAUCGUGAAGCAGUUGAAUUUCUGCUCAGUCUUAAAGCAGUUGAUGUAUGUUUCGAGCUGAAGUAAUUAUAAGACAAAUAGUGACAAUUGGUGCUUGCUGAUCAGAUGAAGGUGAAUAAAGCGUAAUUACUUCAUCCCUUCCUCUCUUUAUGUGCUCUUCUGAUGUUUUUACCCUUCGUUUCAGCUGCCAGCAACUCUUAAACCAGAGUUGCAGCUGUUAUAUCUCCCUUGCUAUCUCUCAUCCAGGAUCAAAUAAUUACUCUAACCCUCAAGGACAGAAUUCCAUCUACUUUCUUGAACUCUCAGCAAACUGCUGCCCAAGCAGCAAGGUUUAGCUCUCUCUCUCUCUCUCUCUCUCUCUCUCUCUCUCUCUCUCUCUCUCUCUCUCUCUCUCUCUCUCUCUCUCUCUCUCUCUCUCUCUCUCUCUCUCUCUCUCUCGCCCUAGUGAAGCAUAUCAUACCAUACAAUAUUUAUCCCACCAUAAAAUGGUUAUGCUCCAUACCCCAUAUGUUGCAAAGGAUGUUCUUAGUGUUCCUAGAGAAACUAUAUCAUACCAUAUUUAUGAUGUUGCCAAUGCAAAACUACUGUUCUUAUUCCAGAUAAAGAAAAGCAAGUUAAAUUUUUUAUAUGCUCACUCAAAUCUCUUUUUUUCAAACGUUUUUGCAUCUUCUGCGUUUCUGGCCUAAUUAAAAUUGGCGAUGUUAUGCUGAACCUUCUGAAACCUAGACCUUCUAUGAAGUUCUAGUAUAACAGAAUGCAAUGUUGAAAUAACUAAUUCUGGAAAUGAUCUAGUUCCUUCUUUUGCGAAAAGUCAGUGGAACAUCGUAAUCAUAGUAAGCAAAAUGCACGCAACUAAAUUGAGCUCCAUGGAAAUUACUUUUGGAAGUAAUUGGAAGUGUCCAUGUUUGGCAUAAUAGUCAGAUCUUUUAAGCUGGUUCUUGUGUCCCUACUUAUUCUCAUAACCUUUAUGCUAUUUAUUAACAACUUGAGAUAUAAGGCAAAAGUUCACGCAUGUGAUCAUUGAUUGCGUUUCUUAUAAGGUCUUUAUUGGAUUUGCUCUACCAGUGCGAUCUCAUGAAAGGAGUAAAGCUUUUUAGUUGCGUAUUGCUGUUUCGAGCUUUUCUCAUAUAUUUGAUAGAUUGUGAAUGAGUAAAGCUUAUUGAUCAUUACUUUCUUGGUUGUCAUGAUUGCAGUCAAUGGGGACAUGAUUUUUGUCCAGAUUAUAGAAGACUGGGUUGUCUCAAGCAAAACUUUCCAUGCGUCCUGGUGAUGGCCUUAACUGCAACUGCCACUCAGCCAGUUCAUGAGGUACAAAAUUUGCACAUUAUCCUCCAGAUUAUGUUGAAAAUUCAUUUGGGUCUGAUCGAAAUGUACAUUCAUUGCAGGAUAUCCCAAAAGCUCUGAAGAUCCCACAUGCUCUUGUUCUCAAGACAAGCUUUGACAGACCAAACCUAAAAUAUGAGGUCAUAUCUAAGACCAAGGAACCGCUGAAGCAGCCUGGAGAGCUGCUAAAGAAUCGUUUUGCUAAUUUGUGUGGAAUAGUGUAUUGCAUCUCGAAUAGUGAAAGUGCUGAUGUUGCAAAAUACUUGAAUGAUAAGUGCGGUAUAAAAAUGGUGUACUAUCAUGCUGGAUGAGCAGCCUGUCAAAGAGUAACUGUUCAAAAGAAAUGGCAUACUGGAGAGGUCUAGAUUGUAUGUGCAGCCAUUGCUUUUGGGAUGGGAAUAGACAAACCUGAUGUUGUAAGUUGAAAUGGACUCUCUGCCUUUGCCUAUUUUUAGUUUUGAAAUCAAGGUGACAUGCUGGCAAAUACUCAACUAAUACACUUUUUUUCUAAUGUUUUAGUUUCACUGAUCGGUUUGUUGGUGUGCUUGGAAGUAAACUCUACUGGUUCCAUGGUCUAGUGUCCUGCUAAAUUGUCAUUCUUGGCUAUUGAUUGCGGAACUAGCACAUUAUGUGUCUUCUUCAAGUCAAAUUCUUUAUUCCAUGCAUGGAACUUUGGUGUGCUGAAAUUAAGUUAAACUAGGAUAAAGUUCUUUUCUUUACUGUAAAAGUGGCAAAUGAAUCUGAUCUAACUUGACUUUCUGUUAUAAUGUUUUUGUCAUAUUUCAACUUAUUUUUGCCGGUUCAGUAAUUAUUUUUUUAUGGCAUGUGGUCAGCGUUUUGUCGUCCACAACACAAUGUCCAAGUCAAUCGAAAGCUAUUACCAAGAAUCAGGGAGGGGAGGAAGAGAUAAUCUACCAGCAGUGUGCAUUGCUCUAUAUGCCAAAAAGGAUUUCAGCCAGGUUAUGUGCAUGUUAAGCAGUGGUCAAGGACGUAAAACCGAAAUCUUCGAAAGUGCAAUGGCUCAAGCUAGGAAAAUGCAGCAAUAUUGUGAACUCAAGGCAAUCCAAUUUCUCAACUUAUCUCUGAUUAUCUCAACUAAGUGAUGCUUCUCUUUUGUGUUUACACGUUUUACCUUGUUCUAUUGAUUGUUGUUAGUGUUAGUCUGGCAUUAACCCGUCUGGGUGCUGGAUCAUUAGAUGGGUCUGUUGGCAACGUAUAAUAAUAAUGGAACGUUGGGGGCUAAACUCAUAUUCUGCACACCUGAAUGGAGCAAAGUCUAUUGAUAAACAGGUGUUUCCUUUCUAAUUUGAGAAAUUUUCAGGAUGAGUUUUUGGCGGCAAACCUUACUUGCACACUUUGGCAAGUCUUUGAAUUGGAAAGACUAUUACAGCUCUAAUCCUUGCGACAAUUGUCUCGAAGCCUCUUCAUAGAAGUAAAUGUUUCAGGUGUCAACUCUCUUGAGGGCGAAAGGAGGUACCGACUUACGCAUGAUCUUGAGCCUCACAGUUCUUCUAGUUCCAUCAUCCGCAAUUAUUGGAAGACUACAUGGUAAUGGAGGGGCAGAGGUCCUGAAUUAUGGACACAGAAUUUCUCAGUUCCGAUGGUUCAAUCGGACGAUUCUACCAAUUUACUUUUAGACUAGAAUCCAAACCGGUUCUUUGACUGGUCCGGUUUUGGAAACGCUGCUCGACACGAUUGCAAGACCUGAUUAUUAUAUGUGAACAAAAAUUGCCAGCUCUCACAGCGAUAACGUUGUGAUAACGUGGAGGGUUGAGCAGCACUAACUUGGCGGAGAUAUGGGGCUCGCUUGAUGCUGACAAUAUCUUCCUAAGGAUGAUGCAAGGUCGGGCAGUGGCGUUGACUUGUCGGUGAGUGGCGCUGACUUGUCCGAUGAGUGGUUCGUUGACAAAUGAGGGUCGAAGCGCGGCAGGGUAUGAUGGCACGGAUUGGACGAGUUUGUGUUGUCCCGGCUUGUGAAGCUUUCGUCCAUGGUGGAGGUGGGUUGCGGCGGGCGUCAAUUCGGCAACGUGAUUCUCAGAUUCAAAGUCUUUUGUAGUAGAUGGCUGCGGAGGCUGUCUCAAUGGCGAUGCGAGUUUUGAAAUGGUUGCGAGAGACAAUGAACUGAAGACCUUUUGUACAUAACUGGAAUGUCUAAUACCAAUACGGGUGAUCAAUUAUGUAGACCCCAAACUAAUUUAGAGAUGCACAAUAUCAUGAAUGUGGACAUAAUAUUUUAAAUACAUAAGAGAUUCAGUAAUUUUGCGGAUGACGUUCACCACAAUCAUAUAAGACAAGUUGCAACAUUGUUUUCAUAAAUUAAUGAUUUUUCUCUGAUGUUGCAAUUAAAUAGAUUUUGGGUGUUAAUUUGAAGGGAGGCUUUCAUGUCAGGUAAAUUGGAGUCUCGUAUGGUUUUUACUCUCAAAGUUAGCUUUUCCUAUAUAUGUAUAAAAUUUUUGGAGUUUGAAAUCAGGUUUUGAUUCAAUGUUAACAUCUCAAUUUUUUAAAACUCGAAGACAAAUUUUAAAAGCUGGCGUUUUAAUUUGGUUCAUAGCAAGAUAAAUUUCUUGUUAAAUAUUUAUGGGUUGUUGAACGCGUGAAAAUGAGAAAACAUGGUAUUUGUCUUCUGCAGUAUUGAUUUGGUAACUGGAAUUAGUUGUUGAAUAUGGAAACAAAGAUAUAAUAUUUAUUGUCAGUCGCAAAGAAAAAAAACAAUAAAAGAAGAAGAAGAUUUUGAACAGAAGGCACGCAGGUUAAGAAAUUAUUCGAGAAAUUAUGGUCUAUUAUUAGAAGAUAUGCCAAAAAAUGGAACAUUAUUUACUGUCCACUAUUAAAAGAUUUGCAUCUUGGAUUACGUUUUAUUGGUCCAUAACCAAUGAUUUUUCAAAAAUAGUCGCCAGACGAGUUAUUAAAGCCAACUAGAUUGUUCCGUUUAAGAACCAUAAAUGGGGAUUAUUGUUUUUCUUUUUUUAUGGCCAAACUUUCGUUUGUAUUAAUCUAGUCCGAGGAGCACUAAUAAGUCUUAUUUGGCCGAAAAUGGAAAAAUUAAUAGGUCUACCUCACUAGUCACUGAUUAAUUGUCUUGGUCUUUUAUAAUGGUUUGAGCGUUGGUCUUUGUUUUUGUAUUUUUUUUUUAUCUAGAAAGAGUCUUGGUCUUCAUUACAUCUUCCAGUUGGCUAACAUGGAUGUGAGCUUAGAUUGCGACAUUCUUCCCAAGAUUAAGAAUUAAUAAUUGCCUUUUAAAAAUUGGUCGCAAAAAAACAAUAAAAAGAAGAAAGAAGAUUUCGAAUAGAAGGCACACGAUUUAAGAAAUUGAUCAUGAAAUUGUGGUCUAUCAUUAGAACAUAUGCCAAAAAAUGGAACAGUAUCUACUAUCCAUUAUUAAAAGAUUUGCAUCUUGAAUAAUAUUUUAUUGGUCCGCAACCAUUGACUUAUCAAAAAUAGUCAUGGGACAAAUUAUUGAAGCCAACUAGAUUAUUCUAUCGAAAAAAAAUCAUAAAAGUGGAUUUUCUUUUUUUAUGGCCUAUCAUGAUCAAAUUUUGUCACACUUUCGUUUUAUAUCGAUUUUGGUAGAGGAAAACUAAUAAAUCCGAUUUAGCCCAAAAAAAGAAAAAUUGCCUCACUAGUCAGUGAUUAUUUGUCUUGGUCUUUUGUAAUGAUUUAAGUCUUGGUCUUUGUUUUUUUAUUUUUUUUUUCUAGAGGGAGUCUUAGCCUUCGUAACAUCUUCUUGCCGGCUAACAUGGAUGGGACCUUAGAUUGUGACAUUCUCCCUAAGGUUAAAAAUCAAUAAUUGUCUUUUAAAAGUUGGUCGCAAAAAAAUAAAAAUAAAAGAAGAAGAAGAAGAAGAAGAAGAAGAUUUUGACUAGAAGGCAUGUGAUUUAAGAAAUUGUUCAAGAAAUUAUGCUCUAUUAUUAGAAGAUAUGCCAAAAAAUGGAACACUAUUUACUGUCCAUUAUUAAAUUAUUUACAUCUUGGAUAAUGUUUUAUUGGUCCACAACCAUUGACAUUUCAAAAAUAGUUGCAGGAUGAGUUAUUAAAGCCAAUAGAUUAUUCUGUUUAAAGGACUAUAAAUGGGGAUUUUUUUUUGGCUAAUCAUAAUCAAAUUUUGUCACACUUUCAUUUUAGGGCCCGUUUGGUUCGGCUUUGGAGAAAUGCCCUUGGGAAAAUACAAAUACCUUUAAGAUAAAAUGGGUUUUCUGAAAUGCUAGAUUGUUUGGUAAACUAUAACUAAAUAGUGCUUUAGGGAAAUGCAAGACUGUUUGGUAAACAUAUAUUUGAAAAGCCCUUUAAUGUGAGUAAAUUAAGUUUUUUAGUUUUAGUAUUUUUAAAAUUGCAAAAAAGAAACAAUGACUAUAUAACCUUUUACAUUUUCAUGUUGAAAGUAAUGUAAAAGAUAUAUAUUAGUAAACUUAUUUAAAAAUUAUAUUAAAAGAUAUUGAUUAUAGAUUAGAUGCAAAGCUCAACUUUUGGCAUAGGGUUCUUUUAGGUUUGUUUUUAACUUUAAAUAAUUUUUUUAAUUAUUGUAGUAUUAAUCAUCUUCGUUAAUUAAUGAUCAUUCUAGUGUCUUGAUAAAAAGUUGGGCUAUUGAUUGUCAAAGGAUAAAAAUGACAAAAAAAAAAAAGGUGAACCCAACAUUUACAAAGGGUUUUUAUUAUUUUUUAAAAAAUAAAAAUAAAAUUCGAUGAAACUCCCUCACCAAUCAACAGCGGUUGGGAUGUGGGGAAGAUGAUUGGUUUAGAAAAAAAAAAGAAAAGAAGAAGAAGAAGAAGUUAAUGGAUGAAUAGUAGAGGUGGACUUGCAUUUUCGAAAUGCUAAAAGCCCAAAACAGAUCCCCACCUGCUUUGAGCUUUCAGCAUUUUAAAGGCUAGCAUUUGGUCAAGGACACCUCCAAAUGUUGAACCAAAUACCUAAAUUUUUUCCCAAUGGGCUUUCGAGGCUGAAAGCCUCUUGGGAAUGCUAAAUCAAACGGGGCCUAUAAUGAUUUAGGUAGAGGAUAACAAAUAAGUCUGAUUUAGCCACAAAAAAAAAUUAUUAAGUCUACCCCACCAGUCGCUGAUUAUUUGUCUUGGUCACUGGUUUGAGUCUUGGUCUCUGAUUUUCAUUUUUUUUUCCCACUAUAAAGAGUCUUGAUCAUGGUUACAUCUUCCAGCUGGCUAACAAUGGAUGGGAUCUUAAAAGGGGAAAUUCUCCCCAAGGUUAAGAAUCAAUAAUUGCCUUUUAAAAGUUAGUUACGGGUAAUGAUGGAGAAAUAUUCUAUUAUGAAAUUGAUUAUUGUAGGGUAAAAGCAUAGCAAAUAUAAAAUUAUUUCAAUUUAAAAACAAAAUUAGAUAGGAAUACUACUUUUGUUGUACUUACACAAUAUCAUCGUUAGAUUACUAUUAUUAUUUGUAAUCUUCACGAGCCGAUUCAAUGUUUUCCGAUGUUUCACGUAUUGUAAAGAAUGUAACCAACACUCAAAAGACCAUGGCAGUUUCUUGCAAUUGUAACGAAAGGGCAAAUGAAAAAAAAAAUUAUAUGUUGGAAAUGUGAAAUUGUUUGACAAACAUUACUUUUCAACUUGACCGCAGGAAGGAAACGAUAAAUAGAUGCUAAUUCACGAAUUUGUUAAAUGAUUCUUGUCCAUCUCCUUCCAAGUUCUAAACUUCAUCAAUUUAUCAAACGAGUGAAUAUAUUUUAGAUUAGUAAUAAUAAGGUGCAUUACAUAGUAUUUUCCUUUCGAUAAGCCAUGCAAUGCACUAAAUAAACCACAUAGCCCAACCACAUAUUUCUUCAUCCUAUGCACUUUGAGAAUUAAGGGAAAAAUUAAACCAUUUCAUGGCAUCUAAUUUAAUAAGAAUGGAUCGAGCAAUGAAUGGAUUUUGAGUCAAAUUGUUAUUUUGGACAUGCAUAAAAAAUGUUUAGAUGGGUGAAUUAUUUUUAGUAAUCUCAUAGCAGUAUGUUGGGUUACGACAUACGGAAAUCGGGUUGGUGCUCAUGGUUGAACUACAUCUUGAGAUAUGAUAUAUGCUCAUAGGCUAGUUCAGUCCUGGGCUUAAUCACAACCGACAUAGUUUUCCAACCUUGUUGUGACAUCCAGAAUUUUCAGUAUUGUUUUCUAUUAAAUUAAUCGGGCAUUUCAUUGACGUGUCUAUAGGGUUGUUCUCAGAGCUGAUCACUCUCGAGAUAACUAGACUAGCUGGGUAAGCCAUUAAAGAAUAUUAAGGCAAUGGAUUUGAGAAUUCGACCAGGAAGCGGCUUCUCGACCGUGUUCAUCUUUAGAGGUCAUUACUGCACAGUAAAGAUCGAAUUGAGAUCAGAGAUAGGUCGGUUCGACUGAGAUGUGUGGCCGAUCGUGGGUGACUCCACUAAAUUGGAAAAUUCUCGUCGACCGGCACUAAUUUGAUUUUCUGUCGUUUUGGUACCCUGUGUUAGUAGUCGAGCCAUCGAGAUUUUCACGACAAUUGAUAGUCGCAAAUGUGUCGAGUGGGUUCAUUGUGGCUCGAAGAAAAUCGACCACGAGUCAAUUGCCCUAAAAAGUUCUGAAAACUACCCGAUAGUCUAGGUCACACUAAAAGCACGCCGGAGUGAAAUUAACCGUCGAUUUGAGUCAGAUUUCAGAAAUCGAAAGUUCAGUGAUGUCACAAGCUAUUUUAGGAACGUCAACUCAGCCUCAGAAGAUUUUUCGGAGGUCCCGAGAUUUUUACGGAAAUUGGGUUCGGACGUCGUGGAAGUUUGGCCGAAGUUCGGAUUGGCUAAAUUAAUGGGAAAUUUGACUUUCGGGUUGAGCCGUUGUGUGUCGGGGAAUUAUAGAAAAUCAUUUGGGAUUUUUUCUACAUCAAAAUUGGACCUCAAUUUGGAGAGAAUGGUUGUGCAAGUUAAGCCAUCUCUCCCAAAUUCGUGUACCCCACCUAGCCACAACCUUUGGACCACUUGGUCUUCUAGAAGAGAGUGUUUUGAUGGCCUAUUGAAGGCCAAGUAUUCUUACAUGGCCAAGAUUGAUUUUGGAAGAUAUUUUGUGAAAUAUCCAACCAAGUGGAGCCCAACUCUUCCUCAUCCUCUCCAUCUUGCUGCCGUCAAUUACCUCUCUCACUCCUUUCCAUUUUUCUCUGGCGUUCGACACCUCCAGCAGCAAUUGAAGAAGACCCGGCUGCUUCCUUCGAAAUUUUCCAAGCGUCCACCAAGCUGCCCGAGAAGCUCAGCAUCUGCCGAAUUCUCCACGCUUCUCCGUCGAAAUCUUCAACGCCAGCCUCCACCAAAAAUCAGCCACCGGCAGUCCAGCGAAACUGCCCCUCAUCCGCUGCCACUUGCCCGCUUCUCUUUCUACUUCGGUCAACAAGCAAACCAGCGAAGCCUUGAAGACCGAAGCUCCACCGAACGAAGACUCCACCGAGUGAAGCCACACGCGAGCUGCCCCUCAUCCGCAUCUGCCUCUUCUUCGGUCAACAAGCGGACAUUGAAGAUCCCACCGAAGUAAAGUCUCCAGCAAAACUUCUCAGAGUCAACUUCAAGCCACGCCGAAGCCCCUUCGUUGACUGCAUCUCGUCCGCUCAGUCUUCAGCUGCGUGGACUCCUUCAGCUUGCUCAUCUCCACGAAGCAGGACGCCGAAGCUGCUUCUUUGCUGUUUCUCUCGCCUGGUCUGGCUUGCACUCUAGCUCACAGCCCAGCCCAUGAGGCCAAUGACUUCAGCCCAGCAAUUGAUUAAUUUCAGCAGCCCAUCAACUAAAAUUGGAGGCCCAAUUUUCAGCAAAGAAUUUUGAAGCCCAAGUGAAGUCAGUCCAGAAAUUUCAGCAAGCCCAACCCAAUUUGGGUCUGGCCCAAAAGCAAGAAACAAAUCUCAGUUGGGCUGAGAUUUGUUGGGGCCAAGUCCAAGGCCCGGUCCAAGUUCGCCGGUGUCGUCGAAAGUCCUAUUUCGGCCGCCGUCGCGUCGCCGUUGCGGUGAUUCGGUCCCCGCUUUUGAUCAAGUGAGUUUUACUCACUAAUGCUUUAUUAGUUUGCUAAUUAUGCUUAAGGUUGGUUAGAUUUAAUUAAGUGCAAUUAGGUGGUUAGAUUAGGUUAGAACAAUUAAUUUAGUGACUUAAUAAUGCAUGUUAGGUGGUUAGACCUAGUUAUUAGCAAGUAGAAAUGUUUGAUUAUUUAUUGAAUGCAUCUCGGGAUUUUUCCCAACCCGUCUCGGGCUCCAAUAAGGCAAUAUGGGCCUAAAUUGGAUUUUUAAUGUUUAUUUAUUUAUUUUCGAAAUUUAUUUAUUUAAUUAAUUAUUUUUCCGGAAAUUCAACCGGGAUGGCCGGUGACCGGAAAUUUCGUGCCGAUUGUCGUGGUGCAGACCGUUUAUUUAUUUGAGCUCUACGUUGUGUGGAAUUGAAUUUAUUGUGGAAUUUUAGGAAUUGUCUUAAAUUGUUUGUUAUUGAAUAUUUGAUUGGUAAUGGCCAAGCAUGGGUAUAUAGCGCCAGUACGUUGAUGGGCUAUAUAGUAGGGAGAAUGGUGAGACCAAUCAGGUACGAUAUUAUUGGACAUACGUGGUUCGGUGAUUGGAAGUAUCACUGGUGAAAACGGCGCCUUAAAGAACGCACGUAAAUGACUUAUAGACAAACGUGGUUCGGUGAUUAUGGGAAUAUCACUGGUGAAAACGGCGCCUUAAAGAACGCACGAUGUUGUCUAUAGCCGAUGUCACAUUGGCGAAAACGGCGCCCUUGAAAGGACACGUGGUUCGGUGAUCAAGGUUAUCACUGGUGAAAACGGCGCCUUAAAGAACGCACGGUGUCGGUGAUCGGUAUGUCAUUGGCGAAAACGACGCCCGAGAAACACAUGUGAUUUGGUGAAUGAGUACACCACUGGGAAAGCGUGGUAUGAGUGGGAAUGACCUAGAAAGGGUCUGGCUGACAUGUAAUCGACUUAGUCGAUUGAUCAAUGCUUGAUCGGAUGUCGUGAAUUGUUUGAAUGCUUGAGUUUAACCUUGAAUUGCAGGUUGGAACUGAGGCCAAGGUAAGUCCUCUGACUCGUGUUGUGCUUAGGCAACCGGAUGGCGUAUUAGUUUAUUAAUCGAGUCUUAGUGGGUAGGACUCGCUGAGAUGUGGUCUCAUUGGUUAUUGAAUAACCAUUUCAGGACCUUGAGGAGAAUCUAAGGAAGAGGAACUUGAAGAGGAGAAAGACUUUUGAGGGAGAAGAUGAUCCAGAGAGGGAUCUUGAAUGUAACCCGGAUGUGGAUUGAGAUCCCAUCCCUUUUGUGAACCCUGUCUUGGUAUAGAUAGGUGUGAGACUUUUAUGCUUUAAAUAGUAUUGUAAAUAUACUAUGAGUGGUGCUGUUAAUGAAAGUGUGGUUGUGAAUUUCAAUAUGAAAAAUAUGGCCUGCUUUCCUAUCCCAUUGUUUUAUUGUCCGGGGAUUUAUAACUGCUUCCGCAUGUGCUUAAUAAAAAGAAAAGGUCGGCGAUACAUCGUCCUGGGAUAUCGCAUUCUAAAAUUGACCAAGUAGAAGGAUGUGCACGCGUCCGAGGAUCGGGGCGUGACAUCCCCUUUUUGUGGUAUCAGAGCGAAUGUCAAGAUUGGAGUGAUAAGGAGCGUUGACCAUGGGAUAGUUAGUAGGAAAUGCCUUUAAAUUCAUGCUGGUGCAUGUCUGUGUUAGCUGAGUGCUAAAAUUGUUUGUUAUUUGAAUCGCUCCGCUUCUAAUUCAGUGUUGAAUUGGAAGUAGGUGUCAGUUCUUUAAAGCGACACUAUGAGCGAUCAGGAGCCGAGGACUCCUGCAAAGAGGGCCAGUAGGGCCGUGACUCGGGGGAGAGCGCCGGCUAGAGUCGGUACCCGAGGAGGCCGUGGUCUCGCGCCAGCUCAGGCUAGCGCGAGUGGAAUGAUUCCACCGGUUGUAGAGGCUAGAGUAGCACCACCUCCUGUUGGUGCUGGGGUAGCAGCCCCGGGUGAGCAAGGGACUGUAGGAAUAAACCAUGCUCUAGAUGCUAUGCGAGAGAUGAUGGGGCAACAGGCCCGAGAUCAGACUGCCGCCUUUACUGCCGCUGUUGGAGCCGCCGCCACUGCCGCUGCCAAUGCUGCCGUUGCUGCCGCUGUACCUGUCGCUGCACCUGCCGCAGCUCAAGCUGAAGGUCCACCUGGAAUAGUGGUCGGGAACAGACCAAUUCAUCAGUUGGUAGAACAAUUUAUGAAGUUGAAUCCGCCUCAGUUUACCGGGAUCGGAGACCCUGAAGCUGCUGCUUCAUGGAUCAAGAAAUUGGAGAAAGCUUUCGCACUGCUAAUGUGCAAUGAGACUGAAAAGGUACUACUUGCAACUUACCAGCUGGAUGGAGUUGCGGAUACUUGGUGGAAGACAACCCGAGAAACCAUGUUCCCGGAAGGCGUUGUUCCGGAGUGGAACACCUUUCGAGAAGCUUUUAAUGUCAAAUAUUUCUCAGAAACUGCCAAAGAGGUGAAGAUGGCAUAAUUUCAACGUCUUCACCAGGGUUCCCUAACCGUCGAUCAAUAUGAAGCGAAGUUCGCUGAACUUUCGCAGUAUGCUCCUGAAUUAAUUGCGAAUCCAGUAAACCGAGCGAGGAGGUUUAGAGAAGGAUUCAAGCCAGACUUAAGAAGUACAUUGGUUUCCCUGAACUUGAGGACUUAUAAUGAUCUUUAUGAGAGAGCCCAAAUGAUCGAGAAAGAUCAGAAUGACAGAGCUGCCUUGUCGGGGUCGAGAUUUAACUCUAAUCGAGAGAAUAUUCGUCAGGGAAAAAGACCCAUGCCGGGAGGUAGAUCCCAUGCCUCACCUUUCAAGAGGAGCGGAUUCAAUAGACAGAUGUCCAAUAACACGGGUAUAUGUCGCUUUUGUGGAAGGCGACAUGGGACAGCUCCAUGCCCAGCCAGGACAGGAGCCUGUUUUGAGUGUGGCCAACAGGGCCACAUCGCAAGGUAUUGUCCCAAGAAGCAGAGAGGACAACCGCAAUUGCCACCUCCACCACCGAGAGGACAGAUAAGAGGGUAUGCCCCUCAGAAUGUGCCGCAAGGAGGACAGCAGAGACCUCCAGCUCAAGGCACUGUGUAUGCAAUUACACAAGGUCAAGCAGAAGCUGCGCCUAACGUGAUAACAGGUAUGGUUUCGCUCAACGACCAACCUGCUUAUGCUUUGUUUGAUCUGGGAGCAACUCACUCAUUUAUUGUUGAACAGUAUGUUAAGUUGAUAGGAGUCAGUCCUAUAUUAUUGGAGUCGGCAAUGUGCAUAUCUACACCCUUGAAAGAUAAAGUUAUUAUUGCUUUGGGUUGUUCGGGGUGCAAGUUAGUGAUUGGUGAGCGAGAGGGGAAAAUAGAUCUUUUAGUCCUAGCCAUGUAUGACUUUGAUUUAAUAAUUGGCAUGGACUGGCUCACCAAGCAAAGAGCUAAAAUGGACUGUUAUCGUAAAAUGAUUCAGUUUGACCCGAUAAAGGGUGAUAGCUUCGAGUUUGUAGGAAGUCGGGGAGGACCCUCGAUUGUCCUAAUCUCGUCGCAAGAGACAACUCGUCUGUUAGACGAGGGUUGUCAAGGUUACCUGGCAACUGUCGUAGAUACGACAGUUGAAGAGCUGAAAGUGGAAGACAUUCCAGUAGUUCAAGAUUUUCCAGAUGUCUUUCCGAAGGAAUUGCCAGGUCUACCGCCAGAAAGAGAGAUUGAAUUUGUGAUUGAACUAGCACCGGGGACAGAACCGAUCUCAAAGGCACCGUACAGAAUGGCAUUGACAGAAUUGAAAGAAUUGAAAGUACAGAUGCAGGAAUUAUUAGACAAAGGAUUUAUUCGUCCUAGCGCAUCACCUUGGGGAGCACCAGUUUUGUUUGUAAAGAAGAAAGAUGGUUCAUUGCGGUUGUGCAUCGAUUAUAGACAACUCAACCAAGUGACCAUUAAGAAUAAGUAUCCACUCCCAAGGAUCGAUGAUCUGUUCGAUCAGUUACAAGGAGCAUCAAUGUUCUCGAAGAUUGAUUUGAGGACGGGAUAUCAUCAGCUGAGAAUUAAGAAAGAGGAUAUUCCUAAGUCAGCAUUUCGUACUCGGUAUGGUCACUAUGAGUUCACAGUGAUGCCAUUCGGGUUGACGAAUGCUCCAGCUGCCUUCAUGGAUAUGAUGAACCGAAUAUUUAAGGAAUAUCUAGAUUAGUUUGUGAUUGUGUUCAUUGAUGAUAUCUUGGUCUAUUCGAGAAGUGACGAAGAGCACGAGAAUCAUCUAAGAUUAGUGCUCCAGACGUUAAGGACGCAUAAGUUGUAUGCUAAGUUUAGCAAAUGCGAGUUUUGGUUGACUCGUGUCGCGUUCUUAGGUCAUGUGAUUUCCGGAGAAGGAAUCUCCGUCGACCCGAGCAAGAUAGAAGCCGUGAUCAAUUGGCAGAGACCGACAUCAGUGACAGAAAUUAGAAGUUUUCUGGGAUUGGCAGGUUAUUACAGACGGUUUGUAGAAGGUUUCUCAGCGUUAGCAUCGCCUCUAACUAAGCUCACAAAGAAAGACGAGAAGUUUAUAUGGACAGACAAGUGCGAGCGUAGUUUUCAAGAGCUGAAGGAAAAGCUGACUACUGCACCUGUGCUGACAAUUCCAUCUGGUCCUGGAGGAUUCGAAAUCUAUAGUGAUGCGUCAUUCAAGGGGUUAGGUUGCGUGCUGAUGCAACAUGGUAGGGUUGUUGCGUACGCCUCCCGUCAGUUGAGACCUCAUGAAUUGAACUACCCGACGCAUGACCUAGAGCUCGCCGCAAUUAUCUUUGCCCUGAAGAUUUGGAGACAUUACUUGUGUGGGGAAAAGUUUCAAAUCUUCACGGAUCAUCAAAGUCUCAAGUAUUUAUUCUCUCAAAAGGAGUUGAACAUGAGACAGUGUAGAUGGAUGGAAUUGCUGAAAGACUACGACUGUGACAUUCUGUAUCACCCAGGAAAGGCGAACAAGGUCGCCGAUGCUUUGAGUCGAAAGUCUUCAGUGGCUCAUAUACUGAUUAAGGAGUGGAACUUAAUCGAGAGAGCUCGGGAUUCGGUAUUCAAAUUUGAGGUAGGCCACCUCUCGAGUUUUAUGGCCGCCCUCAGAAUUGAACCGGAUGUCCAAGUUAGAAUCAAACAACUUCAACCGACAGACCCAGAUGUACAGAGAAUUCUUCAGGAAGACGCAGAGAAAAGAAAGGUUGAUUUUCAGAUUUCUGAUGACGGGACACUAAGAUUCCAAGGACGUUUGGUUGUACCUGACGAUGUAGAGCUUAGAGAAGAAAUUUUAUCUGAAGCACAUCGUAGUAGUUACAGCAUUCAUCCUGGAAGCACUAAGAUGUAUCAGAAUCUACGUCAACAUUAUUGGUGGUCAGGUAUGAAGGCAGAUAUCGCCAAGCAUGUGGCCAAGUGUUUGACAUGUCAACAAGUGAAAGCUCAGCAUUGCAAGCCAGGAGGACUUCUGCAACCUCUCACGAUCCCAGAGUGGAAGUGGGAACAUAUCAUGAUGGAUUUCGUGACUGGACUACCAAGGAGUCAGAGAGGGAAUGAUUCGAUCUGGGUAGUAGUCGAUAGACUGACAAAGUCGGCUCACUUCAUUGCAGUUCGAAAGGACCUCAGUUUGGAUAGGCACGCAGACCUAUAUGUGCGCCAAGUGGUUCGAAUGCAUGGAGUGCCGGUUACGAUAACAUCUGAUAGAGACCCGAGAUUUACUGUUGCUUUUUGGAAAAGCUUGCAGAGUGCUCUUGGUACAAAGCUUCAGUACAGUACGGCUUAUCAUCCUCAGACGGAUGGCCAGUCCGAGAGGACAAUUCAGACCCUCGAGGACAUGCUAAGAGCGUGUGUUAUAGACUUCAAAGGAAGUUGGGAAGAUCAGCUUCAUCUGGUAGAAUUCGCCUACAAUAACAGUUAUCAGCAGAGUAUUCAGAUGGCUCCAUUUGAAGCACUGUAUGGCAGAGCGUGCAGAACACCAGUAUGUUGGGAUGAAGUCGGGGAAAGAAAGAUAACAGGCCCAGAGUUGGUUCAGCAGUCAGUAGACGCCGUGACAGUGAUCAGAGACAGAUUAAAGACAGCGCAGAGCAGGCAGAAAAGUUAUGCAGAUAAGCGCCAGAGGUCUUUGGAAUUCCAAGUUGGUGAUCACGUUUUUCUGAAGGUGUCACCAAUGAGGGGAACUUCGCGCUUUGGUAAGAAAGGAAAACUGAGUCCGAGGUACGUAGGUCCGUUUGAGAUUCUUGAGAGAAUCGGGACCUUAGCGUAUCGUCUUGCGUUGCCGCCAAGAUUGGCGCAAGUGCAUGACGUCUUUCACGUGUCGAUGUUAAGGAAGUAUGAGCCUGACCCGACCCACGUACUCAAUUUUGAAGAAUUGGACGUGGAUGACCGUGUGUCAUACGUUGAAAGACCGGCCCAGAUUGUCGAUCGCAAAGAGCAAGUUCUGCGUACAAAGACUAUUCCCUUAGUCAAAGGGGUCUGGCAACACCACGGUACAGAAGGAGCGACAUGGGAGACUGAGGAGUCAAUGAGAGAAUUGUACCCCCACCUUUUUAAUCAAGUCUUGUAAGGUUUAAAUUUCGAGGACGAAAUUUUUAUAAGAGGGGAAGAGUUGUGACAUCCAGAAUUUUCAGUAUUGUUUUCUAUUAAAUUAAUCGGGCAUUUCAUUGACGUGUCUAUAGGGUUGUUCUCAGAGCUGAUCACUCUCGAGAUAACUAGACUAGCUGGGUAAGCCAUUAAAGAAUAUUAAGGCAAUGGACUUGAGAAUUCGACCAGGAAGCGGCUUCUCGACCGUGUUCAUCUUUAGAGGUCAUUACUGCACAGUAAAGAUCGAAUUGAGAUCAGAGAUAGGUCGGUUCGACUGAGAUGUGUGGCCGAUCGUGGGUGACUCCACUAAAUUGGAAAAUUCUCGUCGACCGGCACUAAUUUGAUUUUCUGUCGUUUUGGUACCCUGUGUUAGUAGUCGAGCCCUCGAGAUUUUCACGACAAUUGAGAGUCGCCAAUGUGUCGAGUGGGUUCAUUGUGGCUCGAAGAAAAUCGACCACGAGUCAAUUGCCCUAAAAAGUUCUGAAAACUACCCGGUAGUCUAGGUCACACUAAAAGCACGCCGGAGUGAAAUUAACCGUCGAUUUGAGUCAGAUUUCAGAAAUCGAAAGUUCAGUGAUGUCACAAGCUAUUUUAGGAACGUCAACUCAGCCUCAGAAGAUUUUUCGGAGGUCCCGAGAUUUUUACGAAAAUUGGGUUCGGACGUCGUGGAAGUUUGGCCGAAGUUCGGAUUGGCUAAAUUAAUGGGAAAUUUGACUUUCGGGUUGAGCCGUUGUGUGUCGGGGAAUUAUAGAAAAUCAUUUGGGAUUUUUUCUACAUCAAAAUUGGACCUCAAUUUGGAGAGAAUGGUUGUGCAAGUUAAGCCAUCUCUCCCAAAUUCGUGUACCCCCACCUAGCCACAACCUUUGGACCACUUGGUCUUCUAGAAGAGAGUGUUUUGAUGGCCUAUUGAAGGCCAAGUAUUCUUACAUGGCCAAGAUUGAUUUUGGAAGAUAUUUUGUGAAAUAUCCAACCAAGUGGAGCCCAACUCUUCCUCAUCCUCUCCAUCUUGCUGCCGUGAACUACCUCUCUCACUCCUUUCCAUUUUUCUCUGGCGUGCGACACCUCCAGCAGCAAUUGAAGAAGACCCGGCUGCUUCCUUCGAAAUUUUCCAAGCGUCCACCAAGCUGCCCGAGAAGCUCAGCAUUUGCCGAAUUCUCCACGCUUCUCCGUCGAAAUCUUCAACGCCAGCCUCCACCAAAAAUCAGCCACCGGCAGUCCAGCGAAACUGCCCCUCAUCCGCUGCCACUUGCCCGCUUCUCUUUCUACUUCGGUCAACAAGCGAACCAGCGAAGCCUUGAAGACCGAAGCUCCACCGAACGAAGACUCCACCGAGUGAAGCCACACGCGAGCUGCCCCUCAUCCGCAUCUGCCUCUUCUUCGGUCAACAAGCGGACAUUGAAGAUCCCACCGAAGUAAAGUCUCCAGCAAAACUUCUCAGAGUCAACUUCAAGCCACGCCGAAGCCCCUUCGUUGACUGCAUCUCGUCCGCUCAGUCUUCAGCUGCGUGGACUCCUUCAGCUUGCUCAUCUCCACGAAGCAGGACGCCGAAGCUGCUUCUUUGCUGUUUCUCUCGCCUGGUCUGGCUUGCACUCUAGCUCACAGCCCAGCCCAUGAGGCCAAUGACUUCAGCCCAGCAAUUGAUUAAUUUCAGCAGCCCAUCAACUAAAAUUGGAGGCCCAAUUUUCAGCAAAGAAUUUUGAAGCCCAAGUGAAGUCAGUCCAGAAAUUUCAGCAAGCCCAACCCAAUUUGGGUCUGGCCCAAAAGCAAGAAACAAAUCUCAGUUGGGCUGAGAUUUGUUGGGGCCAAGUCCAAGGCCCGGUCCAAGUUCGCCGGUGUCAUCGAAAGUCCUAUUUCGGCCGCCGUCGCGUCGCCGUUGCGGUGAUUCGAUCCCCGCUUUUGAUCAAGUGAGUUUUACUCACUAAUGCUUUAUUAGUUUGCUAAUUAUGCUUAAGGUUGGUUAGAUUUAAUUAAGUGCAAUUAGGUGGUUAGAUUAGGUUAGAACAAUUAAUUUAGUGACUUAAUAAUGCAUGUUAGGUGGUUAGACCUAGUUAUUAGCAAGUAGAAAUGUUUGAUUAUUUAUUGAAUGCAUCUCGGGAUUUUUCCCAACCCGUCUCGGGCUCCAAUAAGGCAAUAUGGGCCUAAAUUGGAUUUUUAAUGUUUAUUUAUUUAUUUUCGAAAUUUAUUUAUUUAAUUAAUUAUUUUUCCGGAAAUUCAACCAGGAUGGCCGGUGACCGGAAAUUUCGUGCCGAUUGUCGUGGUGCAGACCGUUUAUUUAUUUGAGCUCUACGUUGUGUGGAAUUGAAUUUAUUGUGGAAUUUUAGGAAUUGUCUUAAAUUGUUUGUUAUUGAAUAUUUGAUUGGUAAUGGCCAAGCAUGGGUAUAUAGCGCCAGUACGUUGAUGGGCUAUAUAGUAGGGAGAAUGGUGAGACCAAUCAGGUACGAUAUUAUUGGACAUACGUGGUUCGGUGAUUGGAAGUAUCACUGGUGAAAACGGCGCCUUAAAGAACGCACGUAAAUGACUUAUAGACAAACGUGGUUCGGUGAUUAUGGGAAUAUCACUGGUGAAAACGGCGCCUUAAAGAACGCACGAUGUUGUCUAUAGCCGAUGUCACAUUGGCGAAAACGGCGCCCUUGAAAGGACACGUGGUUCGGUGAUCAAGGUUAUCACUGGUGAAAACGGCGCCUUAAAGAACGCACGGUGUCGGUGAUCGGUAUGUCAUUGGCGAAAACGACGCCCGAGAAACACAUGUGAUUUGGUGAAUGAGUACACCACUGGGAAAGCGUGGUAUGAGUGGGAAUGACCUAGAAAGGGUCUGGCUGACAUGUAAUCGACUUAGUCGAUUGAUCAAUGCUUGAUCGGAUGUCGUGAAUUGUUUGAAUGCUUGAGUUUAACCUUGAAUUGCAGGUUGGAACUGAGGCCAAGGUAAGUCCUCUGACUCGUGUUGUGCUUAGGCAACCGGAUGGCGUAUUAGUUUAUUAAUCGAGUCUUAGUGGGUAGGACUCGCUGAGACGUGGUCUCAUUGGUUAUUGAAUAACCAUUUCAGGACCUUGAGGAGAAUCUAAGGAAGAGGAACUUGAAGAGGAGAAAGACUUUUGAGGGAGAAGAUGAUCCAGAGAGGGAUCUUGAAUGUAACCCGGAUGUGGAUUGAGAUCCCAUCCCUUUUGUGAACCCUGUCUUGGUAUAGAUAGGUGUGAGACUUUUAUGCUUUAAAUAGUAUUGUAAAUAUACUAUGAGUGGUGCUGUUAAUGAAAGUGUGGUUGUGAAUUUCAAUAUGAAAAAUAUGGCCUGCUUUCCUAUCCCAUUGUUUUAUUGUCCGGGGAUUUAUAACUGCUUCCGCAUGUGCUUAAUAAAAAGAAAGGGUCGGCGAUACAUCGUCCUGGGAUAUCGCAUUCUAAAAUUGACCAAGUAGAAGGAUGUACACGCGUCCGAGGAUCGGGGCGUGACACUUGUCACCUAGCAAAGCAUGACUAGGAUUGAGCAUUGGGGCAUGCCUGAGCUAGCACAACCUAGGCAUGGCUGGCAUGGGCCUAAAUAUUUUAAAGAAAUUAAUUUAAGCAAAAUUAAAUUAAAAAAUUGUAUUUUUUUUUCAAAUAAUGUUAAUAAUGAGAAAUUAUUUGAGGGAAUUAAUAAGGAAAAACACUCGUUCUUUUAAACCAAAUUGAGACCCAAGUACAUCUUCAUAUAAUUUUAGAAAAAAAUUACACUUAGUGGAGCUUUACUAAUGAUUUAACUCAAGCAAUCGUGUCCUUAGGCAACAUUACCUAGAAAUCAAUCAUUGUCUAAUUCGCCUUGUAUGUGCCUCAAAACUAGGGACUUGAUGAUUCUUAUAUACCAUUGGGUGAAGAGUGCUUUACCUGAUUCUUUUUGGGUUUGUGUUUUGCAUCUACCAAUUCCCAUAUGUAGAUAGCCAUUAAUUUCCUAAAUUUCUACCGUUUUUUUAUUAUGUAUAAUUAACCGUAUCAUAAUGAUGCUCAUACUUUAGCUUAACAUUAUCUCCCCAGCAAAAUGGAUUCUGCCCGAGAAAGGCACUCUAAAGAUCAAUGUGGAUGGCUCGAAUGUGAAGGGAGAGAGAAGAGGAAGCAUCGCCGGUGUUUGUGGAUACACUAGCGUGGAUUUACCAAGAAAGUGCGGACGAGUCUAGGAGCAUCGUGGCUGGAUUUACCAAGAAAGUGCGGGUGAACUCGAUCGAGCAAGUGGAUACUCUAGCGUGCANNNNNNNNNNNNNNNNNNNNNNNNNNNNNNNNNNNNNNNNNNNNNNNNNNNNNNNNNNNNNNNNNNNNNNNNNNNNNNNNNNNNNNNNNNNNNNNNNNNNUAAAAGAACUUACAAAAAAUUUUGUAGAAAAACUUAAUUGCGAAAGUUUUCGGUGAUUGGGGCUCUUCCUGAAAUUCUAAUAACUUUAAGACAACUUGAGUAGAGCUUGAACCUGCACAUCAUCAAGGAACUCGUUGAACUGCUUAAUUUCAUCCUAUUCGAAGACUAUCUUAUGAAUGUGCAGAUUCAUAAAAGGAGAAAAUUGGCCUAAAUGACGAGAACAAAUCAAUUUGCGCUUCUGCUCUUUUAUUUGAUGGUCUUGUUCGAGAAUCCGGUUAUCUCAUUGAACCUCUCACUUAUCUCCCCACCAGCAAUUAUCUCCCCAUUAGUGUCUUUACAUCAAAUCAUUUUUUUUUAUUUUUUUUUGCAUGGCUCUCACACUUGCCCAUCCACCACUGCGAGCGAUUGAUUCCAUGAAUCGCUCCGAGUCUUCGCCCGUUCGUGAUAAACAAAUGCAAAAAUGGCGGGUUUCUAGAAGGGCGACGGUGCUUUAUUUUGCUUGAAGAGGAUGAUUAGGAUAAGCCCUUUGCCUUCACCUGCCUAUUUCACCCAACUCCUGGAGGGAUCAUGGAGAAGAUGAAGCAUUGCGCCCCCGCCAUUGACGCGAUCGGUCGGAUGAAUUCGAAGGGAAUGACCCCCAACGUUUUUAGCCUUUGCAUUCUGAUGAAUUGCCUCUACAAAUUGAAAUGGUCCAAUCUUGGACUCAAACCCACAACCGAGAGCUUUAAUCCUUGACAGGUGGCUUAUCUUGCAUAGGCAAAUGGAAAAUAAAGCAAUGACUUUGUUGAUGAAUACAACACGAUUUAGUAUCCAUUAUUAAAAGAUUUGCAUCUUGAAAAUGUUUUUUUGGUCGACAACUAUUGACUUUUCAAAGUUAUUGAUGAAAUUAAAAAGACCAUCAAUGGAGUUUACUUUUUUUGUUAACUGAUCAUGAUAAAAUUUUGUCUCACUUUCAUUUUAUAUCGAUCUAGGUCAAGGACAACUAAUAGAUUUUAUUUGGCUAAAACAUCUUCCAACUAGACAACAUGGAUGGAACCUUGGGCUCCAUAUGUUUCCGGAAAACAUUAGACCAUGUGGUUGCAUCAAGAAGUCAUGAACUCAACCCUUCGCCAAUAGGGAGGCUGUUAUCAUCUGUGAACGCAAAUAUUGGUACAAUUCCUUCAUUUAUGAGAUUGGCGUAGUCUCAAAAGCUCAAGAAUACAUCAUAGGGAUCACUUCCCUCCUCCUGUUGGUGUUGGAGAGACGAAUGUAGAUAUAGACGCUCUGGUAGUGCUCUUAUUUUCGGCAUGCGGUAUUGCUUCCGCUGUUUUUUCUUGUCUUGAGAAGAUUAUAAGUGCACGGCGAAAGAAGAAUUGGCGCACCGCUAAAAGGGCACCCCCAAAGCCGAACUGUUGACACUUCCUUAUUUUCGUUGAUCCGGCUCUUCACUUCAAAAGAAAUGCCCUUCCUGUAGUGCAAGAGGGAUAGAUUAACGUAUGAACUGGACGUUUGCAUCAACUUGAAACGACCGCCACCACACGCUCAACAGUAAAGGGCACAACUUCUUUUACCCAAAGAAAAAAAAAAUUACAGACCCAAGGAUGUCAAAUGAAACCAGGAAAAACUUAAAGGGGGCAAAAAGAAAGCUUAAACAAACUUCAGAUGCGAAAUCAAAAUAUUCAAAAAUAGAAAGGGAAAACAUCAAUCCCGCCAUCGCUGGCGAGGUUCUUCGAACAGAGCCACUUCGAGCGCACGUUCCCGAGAGAGAGGCUAGCGACCGAUUCGAUUCCGGCUCGUGCAUCGUCGAUCGAUCAAAUCGCUUGAACAGGUUGGAAUUCCAUGGGGCAUCGGGGCUUGGAGGUAGAGAAAGCUCGGUUGCUGAACUUGGCUCUCGAGUUCAGCUUCGACGAGCAGUCUGCCAGCAAGUGCUUGGAUCGUUUCGUUUCGCUCUACGGUAACUCGAAUCAUUACUUCGAGUUAUGUAGCCCAUUUUUUAUGCUGAUUGUCAUUCCAGAGGUUCUGUAGGUAAUUCUCGUCCACCGCGGUGAUGAUGGCCGUGGAAUAGUCUGCUCUAGUUUUGAAUAGAUUGGAGCUGGUUCAGCAAAGUGGUCUUGCUGACGAGCGAAAUGUCCGGCACAAUUCUAGUUUGAUGUUUUAAGGUUGCUUCGGAUCUGGUGAUUAGGGAAUGAGGUAAUUGCUUGUGUUGUGUGGAUAAUUCGUGAAUCGAUUGAUUGUGCAUUCCUGGAUAAGGAGAUUUAUUGCGGUUAGUUGUCAUUCUAACGAUGGCUAUGGAAUGGUCUACCUUUUGGAUUUGGAUGGACCGGAGCUGGUUCAAUCUAGUUCAUUGAGCAGUAAUCCCGUCCCUACUUCUCUGUGGAAUGGUCUACGUUUUGGAUUUGAAUGGACCGGACUAGCAAAAUGUCUGACUUCUUCUUGAGCUAACCGCAAAAUUACAUAUGGUGUCUUGCCUUCAUAUUAAUAUGGCGUCUUGCUGAACUAAGUGCAAAUCACAUAUUUUAGAUUGUGUUUAUUUGAUCUCUUAUUUGCCAUGGAACUUACAAAAUCAUCUCUUUCGUCUUUUGGUUUUCUUAAGGUGACGAAGGUCGAGAGUUUAUCACUGUGGAGAACUGUGGCAAUGACUUCCUAGUAGAACUUGUUAAAACCAUGCGAGAUUCUAAGGAUUGGGAUGAUUUGCAAGCUAUGGAAAUCAGAAACUUGUGGAGUUUUGACUGAUAUGUUUGGCCAAGAUAUCAGUAGUGACGGUGAAUGCAAUGGUAUACAAGAUGUCGAUGUUGUAGAAGAUUCCCCACAACCUAAGAAAAACCAAACUUUUCUUGAGGUGAGGAUUCCUCUACUGAUAGUGAUGACGAAGACAAUAUAUUUUCAGUAAAAUGGGUAGGAAAUCUACAUGCUAUGUUCCUAACUAAAGCAGUACUCUAAGCGAUUCUUUCAUUCAACUUCUGGCAUCUUUAGAAUCCAUGGUAUGCUUCGACCAUGGACAUAGCCAAUACAUGCCAAACCACUUAAAUCACUGAGCCACUGUUAUGUUCUCAUAUAAUUUAUGCUCUGAUUGAUCAUUUGCAAUUUGCUUGCAAUUUUGCACACAGCAAAGGACCUACAUGAUGUACAUGUACAAAAGCAUUUAGUAAAUUGCUUAUGGGGCCUCUCAUCCAAUGAAAUGUCCAAUAGACAGUCAUAACUUUUGCCAAUUACUUCCACAAUCUUCAAGGUCGAAAAUGACAUAUUAGAACUCUUUGGUCAAUAGAAAAGUUGACUUUUGUUUUGGAUGAUGUACAAUUACCUAUUUUCUCAAAAUACUUUGAGAGUAUAACUGAUCAUCAAAGUGUGGAACUUAGCGAUCUGGUGUCUUUGAUAGGAAUGUUUUGCAUAAAUGAAGGCUUGUAAUUUAUUUGUGCACAUUUUUUUCAUUUUCCAUGACAAUCCAUGUCAUAAACUAUUACGGUGCUGAAGAGGUUUAUUCCCGUUGAAGGACUGUAAGAGCGCUGUCACUCAAGGUUCAAUAUCAGUUUCAAAUGAAAAUGGCCAAUGUUGUCAUAUUCGAAAAUAGUGCAUUUUGACCAAUGCGGCAUCAGGCAUGUAAAGUUUAUGUAGCCAAGCAAUUACUUCAUUCUCAUGCCCACUGGAGGUGGUAAAAGUUUAUGUUACUAGGUUAGUGAAUGUUAACAUUAUUUCAUUUGUGUAAUGAUCAAAUGUAGAUGUGCGUGUGGAGACAACAUUUGGAGCACAAGCCCUAUGCACUUUGCUCAAUGGUUUCACUGAUUAAAUACUAGACGGAUAGACCUGUACAUUGAAAUUUAAGAUUUAAAAUGAUCUUGUAAUCUGCUUUGUUAGCACUGUUGCAAAGUUUGUCCUUAAACUUAAGUUUGAAAAAUGUUUUCCAAAUGCAAAUUAAGCUAAAGGAAGUGAUUCAGGUACGGAACCAUGGGUUCCAAUGUACAGGAUUUGACUAAGUUGGAAAAGAAUAUUAUAUUGGACAUUCUUGUUCUACCUUCGCACAUUUCUAUCUAUUCUGUGAUUUCUAGAAUUUGAGUUAUCCUGAAGUACUUUCUGUUGAGUCUUGAAGUAGAUGAUAUGUGUUUCUAGUUGAAGUAAAUAUAAGACAGAUAGUGACAGCUAGUGCUUUCUGAUCAGCCGAAGGUGAAUGAAAGGAUAAUUCCUUCAUCCCAUCCUCUCUUCAUGUGCUCUUUUGAUGUUUUUAUCCUUCAUUUCAGCUGCCAACUACUCUUAAACCAAGUGUCACAUUCUUUAUAUGUCCCCUGGUAUCUAUCAACCAGGAUAAAACAAUUACUCUAACCCUCCAUAUGUUGCAAUGGAUGCACAUUUUUUUAUGUAUUUAAUGAAAAGAUUCAUGCCUAAGAUGUUUGCCUCAAAUAAAUUUUAGGAACUUAGUGUACCUAGAGAAGUACAUCAUACCAUACAAUUAUCAUUUUGCCAUAAAAUGUUGGGCUAUAAUUGUUGCUGUGAGGUUUCUAUUGGACUUCAAAACUUUUUUUUGCUGACAAUUGUGAUUAUCAAGUCAUUAAUACAUAAAAAAAGGUGCCUUUUCAGGAAAGUUAAUCCAUCGUGCAAGCUAUUGUAUGUAACUCUUGAAAGGAUUGUAGGAAACCCAUCAUUUCUUUUUCACUUUUUGAUGCUCGGCUGUCGUGCAUUGCAGGCACAACUAGCUGGUUUUGUUGUUGAUAAGACACAUUAAGUGAGGUAUGUUCUUUGGCAUCCUUGCAUCUGAAGCAAAGUUAAUGCUAAAGUUACUUCAAAAGGAAUAUGUAUUUAUGAUGUUGCCAUUGCAAAACCACUGUCCUUGUCCCAGAUAAAAAAGUUAACUUUUAUAUGUGCUCACUCAAACUCUCCUUUUUGAACAUUUUGCAUAUUAUGUAUUUCUAGCCUAAGUACAUUGUCGGUGUUACACUGAACCUUCUGAAACCCAGACUGUGACAUCCAGAUUUUCGGGUUUUAAUUUCGAUUGGAUAAAUAGGGCCGUUUUCAUUAAGUUGAAGCUGGGGAUUAUGAAAGUGAGGAGUAUGAGGAAUUAUUGGAUAAAGAAAAUAAUCAAUUUGAUAAGUGAGACAUUAAUUGAUUUUAUGAGUCAUUUGAGAGAAAUUCAAGAGGGAUAUUGGAUGCAAAAAUGCAAGAGGGGAAUCAAGAACUCUAAUAUAAAAUUCUUUUGGGAAUCUAUAAGUUUAUUCAAAAGAAAUUGAAAUAAGAAUUUUCUAUUUGAGAAAUUUUUUUUCUUUGGUAUUUAUUCUCAUUUCUGCUUUCCUUAUUUGGCCAAACACCUUUCCCCCUUUCUCUCUCUCUUUCUUUCUUUCUUUCUUUCUUUUUCUCUUUCUCUCCCCCUCCCCCUCGUGCGAUUCCUCCCCCCCCCCUUCCCCCCCUUCCCCCCACCGACUCACUUUUCUCUCUCCUUUUGACCAGUCAAAACUCUCUCUCCUCUCUCCUUCUCUUUUGACUCUCUCUCCCUCCUUCCCCUGUUCGCUCAACACCGAACGGAACCAGAGCAGAAGAAGAAGCGAAGACAGCAGCACCGAGAGGGGAAGACCGGAGCAGCUCGCCGUCGCCGCCUGUGCUCCGCCGCUCACCGCCCGCCUUCGCCUCUCCCUUGCGUCCCUCAGCUGUCGCUGCCCUCUCCUUCUCCUUUCUGGUUUGUGCAAAGACAGAAGCCGAAGAAGAGCAGGAGCAGCAGCUCGCCGAAGCCGCCGCUCGCUGCUCGUCCCGCCGCCCGCACCCGCGACGCCCGCCCGCGCACGCCGUGCGCUCCGCCCCGCGUCCGUCGCUCGCUGCCGCUCCUCCCCUGCGCGAUUCAGCCCUUGCUCCGCCUCUGCCCAGCUCGUCCAGCCGCCUCCGGCCGCCGCCCAGCUCCGUCCGGCCACCCUUCGGACCCGCCGGAGCUCCCCUUGCCCUCCGCCGGCCCCGCCUCGCUGUUUUGGCCGCCGGACUAGCUCCGGCCAGCCAAGAACAGCAACCCACGAAGUGGGUAUCCAGCCGGUUCGUGGGCCGUUUUGGGCCGUUUCCGGGCCCCGAACCCGAGGCCCGCUUUGGAGUUCGUUGUUCCUCGCGUCACCCCGUCGGAUUGAUCCGAUUUGCGUGCGAUUCCAGUGAAUAAUCUCCGAAUCCCUGAUUAGUUGACUAAUUAUGCUUAAGGUUGGUUUAGUUUUAAUUAAUUAGGUUUAGGUGGUUAGAUUAGAAUAAAUUAGCAAUUAUUAAUCAAUUGUGAUGCAAUUAGCAAGUAGACAUGGUCUACUAUUUAUUGGAAGUGUCUCAGAAUUUUUCCCGAUUCUUAGUGGCCUUCAAUUAGGCUUUUCGGGCUUAAGUGGAAUUUUUGGCAUUUAAAUAUUAUUUUUUCGAAAUUAAUUAAUUAAUUAUUUAUUUUCCAAAAAUUCAACUAUGAUGGCCAGUGACCGGAAUAUUAUGCUGAUGACUAUGGUGAAAUCCGUUUAUUUAAUCGGGCUUUAUUUUGAGCUAAAUUGAAUUUUUAAUAUUUAUUAAUUAAUUUUCGAAAUUAAUUAUUUAUUUAUUUUUCGGAAAUUAAGAUUUUGAUGGCCGACGACCGAAAUCUCGUGUUAAUCAUCGUGGCGCAGUCCGUUUAUUUAUUUGAGUUCUACGUUGCAUGGAAUUAAAUAAAUUGUGAUAUUUUAGGGAUUUACCCUAAAUUGUUUGAAAUUGAGUGAAAUUGAAUAAUUGAUUGGUAAAUGGCCGAGUAUGUUUAAUUAGUAUUUAUAAUGCUUUGAUUGAGUUGUAAAGUGGAUGGAAUCAUGAGAGUGAAUCGGAAAUACUCUGGGAUUAAACUGAUCAGACACGGUGUAUGGGCCUACAUGGUUCGGUGAUUAGGAUAUCAUUGGCGAAAACGGUGCCUUAAAGAACGCACAUAUCGGUCUAGUACAUACAUUAUUGUGGACCUAUGUGGUUCGGUGAUUGGGAUAUUACUGGCGAAAACGGCGCCUUAAAGAACGCACGUAUCGGUCUAGUACUCAUAUUGUUAUAGGCAUAUAUGGUUCGGUGAUUAAGGACAUCACUGGCGAAAACGGUGCCUUAAAGAAUGCAUGCACUUGUCUAUUAAAUACAUUGUUAUAGGCAUGUGUGGUUCGGUAAUUAUGGACCUCACUGGUGAAAACGACGCCUUAAAAAACGCACACAAUUGUCUAUUGAGUACAUGGUUAUAGGCAUGCGUGGUUCGGUGACUAAGGAUGUCACUGGCGAAAACAGCGCCUUAAAGAACGCACGCAAUUGUCUAGUGGAUAAGUCACCUUGGUGAACUUGACGCCCGAGAGCAUUGACCUAGAAUGGCCCGUCUGACAUGUAAUCGAUUAGAUCGAUUGAUCAUUGCUUUUAUUUGAUGUUGUGAAUUGAUUGACUGAAUGGAAAUGACCGUGAGUGGUCUUGUUGGCAUAUAAUCGACUAAGUCGAUUUGAUCGAUGCUUCGAUCGGUGAUAUGAUUGCUUGGGUGCCUAUUAUGAAUUAUACUGACUUGUAGGUGGGAUCUGAGGUCAAGGUAAGUCCUCUGAUCUAUGCAUGUUUAGGCAGCCUAUAGUAUAAUGGUUUACUAAUCGGGCCUUAAUGGGGUAGAACUCGCUGAGACGUAGUCUCAUCUCGGUUUGGAGACAACAUUUCAGGACCCCGCUGAGGAGCUGAGGAGGAAGAGUUUGAGAAGGAGAACUCUGGGUGAAACCUGAGGAGAAGAAUUUUGGAAGAAGAAGAUAACCCAGAGAGGGAUCUUGAGUAUGACCUUGAUGGGCUGGGAUUUCAUCUUCUUUUGAGAACUCCAUUUUGAUGUGAAUAGAGUAAAGUAAAAAGUUGUGAAGAGUUGUGAAGUACUCUAGUUUAUGUCAUGUAUAAAAGUUUGGUUAUAAGUUUCAAUAUGAAAAAUAUGGCCUUGCUUUUCUAUCCCAUUGUUUUAUUAUCUGGGGAUUUAUAAUUGCUUCCGCAUGUGCAUAAUAAUUGAAAGGGUCAGCGAUACAUUAUCCUGGGAUAUCGCAUUAUAAAAUCGACCAAGUAGAAGGAUGUGUGCGUGCCCGAGGAUCGGGACGUGACAUAGACCUUCUUUGAUGACGUGUCCAUGUUUGGCUUGGUAGUCAGGUCUCUUAAGGUGGUUCUUGUGUCCCUAUUUAUUCUUUUAACCUUUUUACUAUAUAUUAACAAUGUGGGAUAUAAGGAAAAAGUUCGCCCAUUGGAUCAUUGGUUGUGUUUCUUAUGAGGUCUUUACUGGAUUUGUGCUGCCAGUACCAUCUCAUGAAAGAAACAUACUGUGAUUUGAGCUUUUCUCGUAUAUUUGAAUGAUUGUAAAUGAGUAACGCUUAUUGAUCAUUACUUUCUUUGUUGUCAUUAUUGCAGUCCAUGGGGAUGUGAAUUUUGUCCAAAUUAUAGAGGACUGGAAUGUCUCAAGCAAAACUUCCCAUAUGUCCCAACGAUGGCCUUAACUGCCACUGCCACCUGUUCAUGAGGUAUGAAACUUGCACAUUAACCUCGAAGUUUUGCUGAAAUAAUCAUUUAGGACUGAUUGAAAUCUUGAAAGCUCUCGGGAUCCCCCAUGCUCUUGUUCUUGAGACAGAUUUGACAAACCAAAUCUAAUGUCUGAGGUCUUAGCUAAGACCAAAGAACCAAUGAAGUAGCUUGAAGAGCUAUUAAAGAAUCAUUUUGCUAAUUUUUGUCGCAUAGUAUUUUGCCUCUCAGAGAGUAAAUGUGUUGAUGUUACAAAAUUCUUGAAUGAUACAUGUGGUAUAAAGAUGGUGUACUAUCAUGCUGGAUUACCAGCCCAUCAAAGAGUAGCUGUUAAAAAGAAAUAACAUACUGGAGAGGUCCAGGUUGUGUGUGCUACCGUUGUUUUUGGCAUGGGAAUAGACAAACCUGAUGUUGUAAGUUGAAAUGGAUUUUGUGCCUUUGUCUAUUUUUUGUUUUAGAAUCAAAUUGACACGUACUCAAUUAAUCCACUUUUCUUCAAAUGUUUAAGUAUCGCUAAUUGGUUUCUUAGUGUGCUUUGAAGUAAACUUUGCUAGUUGCAUGGUUCAGUGACCUGCUAAAUUAUCAUUCUUGGCUAUUUUUCAAGCCAAAUUCUUUCUUCCAUGCAUGGAACUUUGGUGUGCUGAAAUUAAGUUAAACUAGGAUAAAGUUCUUUUCUUUACUGUAAAAGUGGCAAAUGACCCUGAUCUAACUUGACCUUCAGUUAUAAUGUUUUUGUCAUAUUAUAACUUUUUUUUAAUUGGUUCGGUAAUUAUAUUUUAUGGCAUGUGGUCAGCAUUUUGUCAUCCACAACACAAUGUCGAAGUCAAUCAAAAGCUAUUACCAAGGAUCAGGGAGGCAGGAAGCAGCAAUUUUUCCACUUAACUUCUGGCCAGACGAUCUUUAGAAUCCAUGGUAUGCUUUAACCAUGGACAUAGCCAAUAUAUGCCAAACCACUUAAAUCAUUGUCACUAUUGUGUUCUCAUAUAAUUUAUUCUCUGCUCGAUCAUUUCCAAUUUGCUUGUGAUUCUGCACACAGAAAAGGACCUACACAAUGUACAUGUCCAAAAGCAUUUAGUAAAUUGCUUAUGGGGCUUCUCAUCCAAUCAAAUGUCUAAUAGACAGUCUUAACUUUUGCCAAUUUCUUCCACACUCUUCAAGAUCCAAAAUGACAUACUAGAACUCCUUGGUCAAUAAAGCAGUUGACUUAAGCUUUGGAUGAUGUGCAAAUACCUAUAUGUCUCAAAUACUUUGAGAGUAUAGCAGAUCAUCAAAGUGUGUAUUAGCAAUCCAGCAUCUUUGAUAGGAAUGUUUUGUGUAAACGAAGGCUUGUGAUUUAUGCUGAGUGUUGUGACUGUCAAAUUAUUAAUCUCCACUUUUGCUUUGCCUGCCUUUUUAGAAAAGAUAAACCAUCGUGCAAGCUACUGUAUGUAACUGCUGAAAGGAUUGUGGGAAACCCAUCUUUUUUUGAGAUAUUGUAAUGCUUGCUUACAAAGGGAUUGUUUCUAAUGCACCAUAACUUUUUCUGAUAGGUUCUUUGUAAAUUUAUUAUAUUCGACCAUCAUGCAUUGUAGGCACAGCUAGCUGGUUUUGUUAUUGAUGAGGCACAUUACGUGAGGUAUGUGUAAUAUUUGGCAGGCCUUGUACAUGAAGAAAGAUCAUGCUAGAGUUACUUCAAAAGGAAUAAUUAUUUGUGAUUUUGCCACUGGAAAACUAUUGUCCUUGUUCCUGAUAAACAUAAGCAAGUUAACUUUUAUAGAUGCUAACUUUAACUCUUUUUCCAAACUUUUCCGCAUUUUCUGGGUUUCUAGCUUAAUUAAAUUGACAGUGUUAACUUUACCAAAAUAAAAAAAAUAAAAAAAAAAUGAUAGUGUUAAACUAGACCUUCCGAAGCCCCAGAACCCUAUAAAAUUCUAAUAUAACCGAAUGCAGUGUUCCUUAUUUGAUGAAAAGAUUUAGGUUCCAUUAUUUGGGAACACUUAGUGGCACAUCGUAUAUUAUAUUGAGUAAAGAGGACACAACUCAAUAAAACUGCAAUGGAAAGUACUUCCUAGAGUAAUUGGAUCUAGCAUAAGCUUGGAUAAGGAUCCAAUCUCCUCUUUAUGUUUGGCAGGACACUCAAUCUCUUGAGUUGGUUCUUGUAUCCCUAUUUAUUCCAUUAACGCUUAUAGUUUAUGUUAACAACUUGAGAAAGGUAAAGGUUCAACCAUGUGAUCAUUGAUUGUGUUUCUUAAAAUGUCUUAACUGGAUUUGCUCUGCUAGUUUGAUCUCAUGAAAGGAACGUACUGCUGAUUUGAGCUUUUCUUGAACAUUUGACUGAUUAACAUUGAAAGCUCAUUCAUUGUCACUUUCGUGGUUGUCAUUAAUGUAGUCUAUGGGUACAAGAUUUUCAUCCAGAUUACAGACUGUCAUGUCUCAAGCCUAACUUUGCAUAUGACCCAUUGCUGGCCUUAGCUGAAACUGCCACUCACUCAGUUCAUGAGGUACUAAACUUAUAUAUUAACCUCCUCAUCAUUAUGUUGAAAUAAUCUGUUCAUUCUGAUUGAAUUAUUCAUACAUCGCAGGAUAUCCUAAAAUCUCUUGGGAUUCCCCAUGCUCUUGUUCUUGAGACAAGCUUUGACAUACUAAAUCUAAAAUAUGAGGUUAUAGCCAAGACCAAGGAACCACUGAAGGAGCUCGGAUAGCUGCUAAAGAAUUGUUUUGCUAAUUUGUGUGGCAUAGUAUAUUUGCCUUUCAAAGAGUGAAUGUGUUGAUGUCGCAAAAUACUUGAAUAAGAAGUGAUGUAUAAAGACAGUGUACUAUCAUGUUAGAUUAGUAGCCCGCCAAAGGGUAGCUGUUCAAAAGAAAUGGCAAACUGUAGAGGUCCAAAUCGUAUGUUAUAAAAAGAAAUGGCAUACUAUCAUUCUCGUGUUUGACUAGCUAUAUUAUAAAUUAUAUAAUCAAUACAUUGACUUUACUAGCAACUUUUCUCAUGUUAUAUAUAAUCAGUAGGCUCAAAAUUAGAUUAUUUCGUGUUUGAUAUAUUUAACUAAUGUUUUGACUUGUUAGUGCGGCCCGCAUUACGUAUGAUUUAGUGCUUGAAUAUGCAAACUUGGCUUAACAAGUUAGUUAAAGUUUUGGUAAACAACGACUAAAUUUGAAUAUAUGAUUAUCUUGUGAGUAGCUUUUAACUACUAAAGUUCCACUGUUGUAAUGUAGUAUGAUGAAGAGGAACAUUUGACAGUACUGGCCCCAAAGACAAUGGUUCAAUUGAAAGUUGAAUGCAUGACCAAUGACUAUAAUUUGGUGUAGUAGAGUCCAAGUACUAACCAAGUAGACGACCGGCUUGGUCCAAACCAAAUGGAUAUAAAUUUCGGGAAGAUUUAACAUUUUCUUUAUCAGUCAACUAUAGCCAACACCAAAGAAAAUUUGGUUUCAAGUAUGAUAAUGUAUGGCUGUGUCUACACUGCUUUAUAGGCUCAUGCUUAAAGGAAUCAAGUUUGAGAUUAUACUAUCAAAGUGAUUGCAAAAUGCCAAUACAUGAACUUCCUAAAAUCCAAGAGCUGAUUGUACACUAACGAACACUUCUAUUUUGCGCUCAAAAUUCUUCCGAGUGAGAAACUACUGUCUUUUGGGAACCUUUUUACUGAAAAUCUUGCCUGCAAUUGACAGAUUAUUUGCUGAUUCCAUGAUAUUCGCUUUUUACAUUAAAGAAGUCUCUCACGUUCACAUAAUUGCAGCUAGAAGUGGACAUCUAAAACGGUAAUCUUGUCGACAUACAUGACUUUGUGCUUAACUUCACAUCCAAAACCACCUGUACAUGCAGUCUUCCUGCAAGCAUUUUGAAAUUCUACCUUUGCUAAAUAAUAGCACGAUGUCAAAGUUUGCAAAGGACUAAUGCGCCGCAUUAGUAGAGGUCCCUUUAUAUCAAGAAUCCUAUCAAGAUUAUCAGCAUAGAGCACAUUAUAAACACCUUUAGCAAAGAACUUUGGAACACCUUUCCAUAAUGUCUCAUGACAAAUUUCAUUUCGGUCCACAUCUCCGUCCUAUGAUGCUCGGGAAUGUUCUCUGAAUUUUAUGAAAUGCAGCUUGAAUCUACACAAGAAGGAUAUGAUUUACUAAUUAUCAAUAAAUGGGGAUAUUUGAGAUUGGAGCAUCACAAUUUACAUCAUGAAAGAUAAGGUACAAAUGCACAAACAUCAUUUGCACCAAUUGCAAUUGGACCGUAAUGAAUAGAGACUUCAUGAGCUGGCCGAUGAAAACGUAAACAACAGGCUUGGAAGAAGUAACAAUUAGCAACACUUUCCUUGUUUGUGUUUAGGAACAUAGUUUUUUUUUUUUGGGUCAGGUGUUUAGGAACAUAAUUGAUGUCAAUAAACAUAUGCUGAAAGCUGAAGUGCUUAAACUACAUAAUAGAAAGAUAAAUUUAUUAUUUGGUUAUUUCGCAAUAUCCUGUUAGCAAAAUCAGCAAAACAGGAUAGUUUGCUAGGAGGUGAAUUUUAACUUUACAAAGUCAACGUCGCAUGAAAACUGACCUUAUCAAGUUAAAAAAGUCAGAAACCUAUAUGACAACAUUCAAAGGAUAGUAUCUCAUUGAUGAACUGAUAGAAAUGAAGGAGAUUGUCCUCACGCAUACUUGCAUACUUUUUCAGGUGCAAUUCCAUAGCUCAUAUAGUACGAGCAAACAAGUUAUUUUUCCAUUGUUAUGGUACGACCAGUAGUGCAUACCUCCCUCUGCAGAGCCUUAUCGAGUUCCGGAAUGAUGACAUUAGAAUGCAACGGCAUUAAACAAACAUUUCUGCAUCAGGGUGACAUACAAAAAAAUCAGCAGCUACGUAUUGGAUCAAGAGAGAGGUUGAACCUCAUGAACAUACAAAAAGCAGACUCAACUCAAAAUACAACAUCAAAAUCAUUCGAGUAUGUGCUGUCGAGACCAGAUAAAGUGUACUAGAUCCUCACAAGCAUAAAAAAUUCCCCAAGUAACAUAGAGAAUCUCAAGCGAAGACAAGUCACCGAUUUCACUUGGAAUUGCUCUUUCAGAUAACAGCAUGAUGGGAAACUUAUAGUGCACCAUAUUUUUCAACCUUCCUAUAGCACUAGGAAGCUUUUCAAUACUAGAACCACUAAUGUCUAGAUGUUGCAAAUUCUGUAAAUCUCAAGUUGAGCUAGUGAUAUCUGUGAGCGACUCACAACAGCUGGCACUCGGUUAGUCCAGCUUCCUCAGAGAACCGAUAGACGUAGGAAUCUCAGUAAUAUCAGCAAAAUCUACUAUAAAUUCUAAUUUGACAGAUUCACCUCCUUUCAGUUCUAACUCACAUACCCAUCCGCUCUUGGUCCAGUCCAUUGCCACAUUCUUCUUCCACAAUCCCAAAUCUCCUGUGGAUCCUAAGAUUGCCACACUCUCCCCAAUUUCAACUUGGCGAUCCAGCCGAACGCUGAGAUGCACCUUCUCCCGUCCCAGCAAUCAUAUGAUCUUCUUUGCUUUCUUCUCCUCUUCUCUGCAAUGAACACAUUAUUUCAUAGCUUCUACCAAUAGCCUGCUUCCUUGUCUAAACAACUUAAACAACAAUUUUCACUUGAACCACCGAUUCAUUGUUUGUCAUUUAACACCACAUUCAAAGAGAAACCUCAAAUCAAGACGGUGUCAAAUAAUCCGUGCCACUAGCUUUUAUUGCAAGAAGAACUUGAAAGAAAAACAGAAUAACUCUUUUUUCCGCACCGAUUCUUGUUCAAGUAAUAAACCCCACAUAAACUCCAUCCACACUAGAGACUCAGACAAACCUUCGAUUGAGAAUUCCAUUAAACAACUCAAUACUUCACUCCAAACCCUAGUGCUUGAUUAGACUGACAUAAGUGCACUAGAACAAAUCCAGAGAGAGAGAGAGAGAGAGAGAGAGAGAGAGAGAGAGACCUGGUUUUAGUGGUGAAAACACCACGAACAACCAUGAAGGAGCGACUCUGAGCUGCAUGAGCUCCAUGCAUCCACAUGAGAGAAUCUCGAAGGGGAGAAGUAAUGCUGCUCUUCAAGAAAAAACCGGUCUCUUUACUUGGUUUUAGGAAUGAAAAUGCACAUGGCUGUGUCUCUUCUGAUUUUAUAUUCAUGCUUAAAUAAAUCAAGUAUGAGGUUAUAUGACCAAAAUGUUUGGAAGAUGCCUACAUAUGAAUUUCCGAUGUAACCAGACCAAACGGAUGAUUUUAUAAUGCCAUUAUUUUGGGUUCAAAAUUCUUCCAAAUGAGAAACUACCGUCUUCUUGGAAACCUUUUCAUUGAAACUCUUGGCUGUAGUUGACAGAUUAUUUUUUGAUUCCAUGGCAUUAGCUUUUUCCACAAAAAAGUCUCUCCCAGUCACAAAACUGUAGCUUGAAGUGGACAUCUAAAUGGUAAUCUUGUUAACAAAUCUCAUUUUAUGCUUGACUUCACAUAUAAAACCACCUGCACAUGCAGUCUUCCUCCAAGCGAUUUGUGAUGCAGCCUUUGCUAAAGAAUAGCACAAUUUCAACCUUGCAAAGGACUAAUACACCACAUGAGAAGAGGUUGCCUUACCUCAAGAACCUUUGAAGAGUAUUCACGACAUGGAGCAAAUGACAAAUUCCAAUGGCAAAGAACUUCAAAAUGCCUUUUUAUACUGACAUAGCUCAUUCUUGCCCUUAUCUAAACCCUGUGGAGUUUGGGGACUUCCUCUAAAUUUCAUCAAAUGCAGCUUUAAUCUGCACAAGGACGAUAGCACUGAGUAAUUAUCAAUAAAUUAAGAUGUCCAAGAUCGUAGCAUCAAAAUUUACCUCAUGAGAGAUUAAGGUAAAAAUGCAUAAACAUCAACCCCAAUCAGAGUUGGACCACCAUGAAAGGAGACUUCAUUAGCUGGCCAAUGAAAAAGAAACACACAUGCUUCAAAGAAGUAAGCAAUUAGCAACACUUUCCCUGUUUGUGUUUAGGAACGGAAUUGAAAUUAAUAAUAUUAUGCUGAAAAGGUGAAGUGCCUAAACUACAGAACAGAAAGAUGCAUUUCCUACUUGGUAAUUUUGCAAGAUCCAAUUAGCAAAAUUAGCAAUACUAGAUCGUUUGCAAAGAGGUCAAUUUCAACUUUACAAAUCCAAUGCCGCAUACAUGAGAACUGAGCUUGUCAAACCUAUAUAAUAACAUUAAGAGGAUAUCAUCACACAAAUAAACUGAUAGAAAUGGAGGAGCCUAGCAAUGCAUAUCUCCCUUUGCAUAGCGUCAUCAAUUCCAGAGUUUAGACUACAACCACAUCGAACAACUCUGCAUCAGGGUAACAUACAAAAAAUCAUCAACUUAGUUUUUGAUUAAAAGAGAGCUAGAACCUAAUGAGCAUACAGAAAGCAUAUUUAAUUUAAAAGAAAAAAAAUACAUUUACAAUCAUUUAGGGAUGUGACAUUGAGAUCAGAUCAAGAGUUUUUGAUCUUCACGAGUAUCAAAACUUCCUUAGGACACUCCAGUCAGCCCCAAAGCCUCUUCAAGUUUGGCACGCAAGAUAGUCCUCAGCUAUUGCUGAUGCUUCCUCUGCAAAAUCCCUUUUCUUUAUUUUGAUCAGUCUCAAGUAUGGAAUUUGAAGUCCCUCAGCCAAGUGAGCCACACCCAAAUUAGUCAUGUAAUAAAGCAAUUCCAUGGCAACAAUAGGAUCAAACGGUAUGCAAACUAAUUGCAAAUUCUUGAGCUCCUCAUCCUAGCUUGUUUCACGAUGGGCAAAACAUUUUUCAUUAAUGCAAAACUCAUCGAUACAGUUAAUCGAACUGAAGUCCCAAAGUAAGCCUUGAUCAUUACACAAACCAACCAAACCUGUCAUGGAAGCAGCAUCAAUUUACCUUGCUUGAUAAUAUUCAAAACAAUAGUUUGACUACUAGUAAUGUUAAGGUGGCGUACAUUCAUAUAUGGCAGACUAGCAAAAACUACUUUAACAUUUUUUUUUUAUCACAAACCAAAAACACUUGAUAUGUUUUAUUUUAGCUCACUUCAUCAUACUUAAUGGGAAUUGAUGCUAUUCUCAGAAAGUCCAAGAGGGACAUCAAGGGAACAAUAAGAAACUUGAUAGGGUUUCUGUUCAUCGCGAAAAACCAAUAUGUUUGUCUCAAAUAGGACAUCCGCCAUUAGUCAAAUUUCACACAAAAGAACUCACAAAGUAACUCAAAAUGGCCAAGGAUUUUUUCAAAGAAAAUAUUAAUUCUGGACAUGAAAAUUUUGGAUGUAGUUUACAAUAUUGAGUAACAGAAGUUCAUCAACCUCGAUUUGAAAAUUUCAAAUCCCAGGUUUACUUAUGGAGGAACUGCUAAAUCACUUGGGAAUUCUUGUUUACCUUUGCUUGAUAUUUUCAUCCUUGCCUCACAAAUCUGUUUGCAGUCUGCAUAAGCUGCCAAUGGAAGGAUAAACGAAAAAAUAUUGCUACAUCGUAACCAACAGCAAUAUGUGUAGGCAAAUUUGGAGUUUCCAAAAUCAAUCAAAUAGACACCCAGGGCAAAAAAAAUCAUUCUAAAAGAAAUUAAAAUAAAGCUUCGAGAAAACUAUUACUCUAUUUGCUCACGCUGGCUAUUCAAGGGUGGAGAAUCUUACUAUGCCUUCUAUUGACAUUUGGGUUUAUAUUUUGAUCUUGGCUGAAGCAUCAUGUAUGACCAACUCCCCCAUUCCUUGAAUUGUGACAGAACCCUGUCAUGGAAAACCUUCUUGUCAAAAGAAGAUGGGGAUGAAAAGUAGGUCAUGAAUCUCAGAAGAAAAAUGAUUGUUAACUGCUUAUUUACCUCUGUUGAGGAAACAUCACUCCAAAAAUCAAAAGACAGCUCUCGUUCAUAAUUUCUAAAGAUGCGCGUUUCGGCAUUGCUUCCAAUGAGUCACAACCGGAAAUAUCCAAAUCAAUUAAAUCCAACUUUUCAAGUCCCCGAAGCCGAGGAGGUUUCUUGCUGUCUCGAACUCUUAGAGAUCCUAACCUCUCACAUCCCAUCAAAUCUGGAAAGUCUAUUGAUUUGCAUCCUGUAAAAUCCAAGUCUUCUAAGAACUUCGCACCAUCAAGACCUUGAAUUUCGACUAUAUUGUCACUCCCGACAGCCACUAAUUUCUUCAGACACCGUGAUUCUGGACAGAGAAGCCUUUUAAUGGAAUUGCAAUCAUAUAUAAAUAUGACCUCCAAAAAUGCCAAAUUAUCAUGCCCUGAAUUUCAACUAGGCUAUUGCAAUGCUCAGCGUGCAAUCAUUUCAGACGAGUCAAUCGUGAAAGGUUCAAUCUUUCAAUGGAACUACACUUUUCUAUGGAAAAUCUCGAGGGAAGGGAAGUCACCAAUUUCACUUUUCAGACAACAGCACAACGAGAUAUGUAGAGUCUGCAGAUUUUUCAGCCUUCCAAUCGCAUUGGGAAGCUUUUUGAUCGCAGAAAAACUCAGAUGUUGCAAAUUCUGUAUAUCCCCAAUCGAACUAGGGAUUUCUCUCAGGGACUCAUAACCAUAAGCGCUCGAUUUCUUCAACUUCAUCAGAGAACCAAUAGACGUGUUCAUGGUCAUCAAGAGAGAAAAAAAAAUCCUUCCCAUCCGAGAAAGGGGAGAGGCCGGGAGAGAGAGAGAGAGAGAGAGAGAGAGAGAGAGAGAGAGAGAGAGAGAGAGAGAGAGAGAGAGAGAGAGAGAGAGAGAGAGAGAGGAGAGAUUGAGUACAAGGAUGGACCCGUGGUCACCGAGCUACCGAUCCCAUGGAGUUGGCCGGAGUCUAGAGAUCAUGACAAUUCAAACUCUUAACCAAAACCAGAUGUACGUAGCCAAAUCCCGGCCUCGCAUGCUCGAACACGCUUCACCCCCGCACAGACUAGACAACGUGAAGGAGUCGGCGAUAAAAGCAUCGUGGUGGAAUGAUCCGGAGAAGAAGAGGAAGAGGAGGGUGGCCAGAUACAAGCUUUAUUCGGUCGAAGGCAAGUUCAAGGCUUCUUUCAAACAAGGGUUCCGAUGGUUGAAGCGCAAAUGCUCGACCUUCGCACGUCGAUUCUAAUUAGCAGAAAUUAAGGAAUACCGUGUCCGUCGUCAUCAAGAGAGAAAAAGGGUGAGAAAGAGGAAACAGAGAGAUUCGCUGUGAUCUUUGGGUGUUCAUCUUUAUAUGUAUCUAAUGGUAAUCAAAUAUUCAAAAGGGUGCCGCAAAUGUUCAAUCUUUCCGAUAUUAUGUUCAUCUGACUCAUUGUUUCAUUUAUCGAUCUCCAGCAUUCAAAACAUAGGUAAAUGAGACUCGUACAUGACAGUAAUAUAUAUUUAUAUUUGCCGAUUUUUCUUUUUCUUUUUUGAAUUUUCUUACCUUCUAAUACAUUUGUAACAGGAUUGUGCAUCCAUGCCCAUGCAAAGUAGAAUUGUCUGAUUUGUUCAAUUCUCCUCUUUUCUGUAAGCUCUUUUCCUAGUAAAUGUGAUGCUGAUUGCAAAACCAGAUGAAUACUUGUAUUUGUAGGAUUGACAUUACCAUCUAUUUUGUGGUCGAUUUUGUUGGGUACGAUUUUGUUUUGGCCAAAUCUUGGUUACGCCUUGUUCCUGGGGUUCUUCAACCCCCUAAUUUCCUCAAUUUGUCUAGUUCGAUUCCUCUUCGUUGUACGAUUCAUCAUAUGGCAACAUAUAUUGCUGAAGUAGAUAUUCUAAAAUGACAUGCGCUGGUGCUAAACAAAAUGAAAGGCUUUCGAUGGUUUUAUUUUGAUUUGAGGACAAUUUUCAUAUUUUGAAUAUCCUCCCGUUGAGACCGGAGUUACGAAAAUGUGCAAAACUGAAAAGCCCAAAGGGAACCCUCUUUAAUUCUAUCAAAACUUGCGUAGUUAUUGUUCAAAUGGUCGUAAUUUAUAGGAUCUUGAUGUAUAAUGUGAUAGAACUUUCAAAAACAAGGUCAAAGCAAAUCUCUAGCAUGAAAUUGAAGGAGAAGGAAAGUAUGAAAACUCAUGAGCAGAACCGAACCGGUUCACCAGGUUUAACACCUUCAUCCAGUUAUCCAGUCGAUUCACAGUUUUCAAAUUUUAAAUCAAUUCAGCCGAUAAGGUUGUGACUAAAAUUCUAAAAGUAGUCAAAACACAUGGCCAUUGCCCUUCAGAAUAAUGGCUUAGACAAUGGUUAAGCAACUUAGUAAAUAAAGUGUAGACUCAAUACAUCAACUUUACUUGUGAUUUUUCUUGUGAAAUGUUCGAUCAAUAUUCUGAAAAUUUAAUUAUUUCACAUUAAGUAUGUUUAACAAGUAUUUCAACACGACCAGCACUAUAUUUGUGUUAGUAAUUAUAGAUUCGAACUUGGCUUAAAAAGCUACUUGGCCUUACAAGCUACUUGGCCUUGUAUUGAGCUCUGGAAAAAUUGAGUAUUAAGUUCAAGUAGACAAGCAGCGAAUCAGACAGAGUACCUUGCCAUUAGCGCUCAGCCUUUCAACUACUAAAAUUCCACCAUUGUCAUCUAGUACAAGGGUACAGGAAUAUCAAAACGUGACCUCAAAGAAAUUGCUUCGCGUGACUGUUUAACACAAUUUGGUGUAGUAGAGCCUGUUUAUUAACCAAUAAGAUGACCCUUUUAAAGUUUUUUGUUCAAACCAAAUGAGUAAAUUUUGGGAAUGACUCUUUUCACCCUUCCAAAAAUUUCCCACCUUUUUCAAUAGUCUUCAAUUGUAGCCUACCUACGCCAGAGAAAAAUAGGUUUUAGAUAUGAAAAUGUACAUGGAUGUGACUCUUCUACUUUUAGAUUCAUGCUUAAAUGGUUCAAGUUUGAGAUUAUACGACCAAAACGAUUGCAAAAUGCCUACAUAUGAUUUUCCAACGUAACCUGACUAUAAAGAUGAUUUUACACUAAAUGAGAAAACUACUGUCUUCUUGGAAACAUUAUCAUUGAAACUCUUGCCUGUAAUUGACAAAUUAUUUGCUAAUUCCAUGGCAUUCGCUUUUUCCACGAAAAGAAUCUCCCUGCCACAAAAUUAUAGCAUGAAGUGGACAUCUAAAUGGUAAUCUUGUUAGCAAAUCUCAUUUUAUGCUUAACUUGCAAAUGCAUUCUUCCAACAAGCAUUUUGUGAUUCAGCCUUUCCUAAAGAAUAGCACGAUGUCAAAGCUCGCCAAGUCCUAAUGCACCAUAUGAGAAGAGGUCGCUUCACAUCCAGAAUCCUUUGAAGAGUACUAACAACACAAACGCCAACAGGAAAGAACUUCAGGAUGACUUUCCAUAAUGACAAAGCUCAUUCCUGCUCGCAUCUCCAUCCCAUGGUGUUUGGGGACUUUCUCCGAGUUAAAUGAAUUGAAGCUUAAAUCUACACAAGAGGAAUAGCACUGACUAUUGUCAUCAGUAAUGAAAAAAACCGAGAUACAUAGCAUCACAAUUUACCCCAUCAAAGAUAAGGUACAAAUGCAUAAACAUCAUUUCCACCAGUUGGACCACAACGAACAGACGCUUCAUUAGCUGGUUGAUGAAAUAGAAAACAACAGACUUGGAGAAGUAAGCAAUUAGCAAUACUUCCCUUGUUUGGUUUAGGAACAGAAUUGAUGCUAACGGAAUGAUGCUGAAAAGGUGUGAGUGCCUAAACUACAGAACAGAGAGAUGUAUUUGUUACUUGGGUAUUUCACAAUAUCCUAUUAGCAAAAUCAGCAAUACCGGAUAGUUUGCAAGGAGGUCAAUUUCAACUUUACAAAUCCAAUGCCGCAUACACAUGAGAGGUGAGCCUAUCAAAUCAGAAACCUAUAUGAAAAUAUUUACAAGAUAUUAUCACACUAAUAAACUGAUAGAAAUGAAGGAGAUUGUCAUCAUGCAUACUUGCGUACUAAUUUCGGGUGAAAUUCCAUAGCUCAUAUAGUCUAAGCACACGAGUUAGUCUUUCAUGGUACAACUAGCACUGCAUACCUCUCCCUUCAGAGCCUCAGCGAAUUGAGGAGUGAUAUAUUUAGAAUGCAACUUUAUCAAACAACUCUGCAAUAGGGUAACAUACAAAAAAGUUAGCAGCUAUGUGUUUGAUUAAUGGAGAGAUAGAACCUAAUGAGCAUACAAAAAGCAUAUUUAAUUGAAAAAAAUACAUUUACAAUCGUUCAAGUAUGUACUGUUGAGACAUAAUCAAGUGUUCGAAUAUUCACAAGCAUCAAAACUUCCUCAGGACACUCCAGUUGGCCCCAGAGCGUCUUCAAGGUUGGCACACAAAAUGGUCCUCAGCUAUUGUUGAUGCUUCCUCUGCAAAAUCCCCUUUCUUCAUUUUGAUUGGUCUCAUGUAUGGAAUUUGAAGUUCCUCAGCCAAGUUAGAACUAGUAAUCAUGUUAACAAAUCUCAUUUUAUGCUUGAAUUUACAUAUAUAACCACCUGCACAUGCAGUCUUCCUGAAGUGAUUUGUCAUUCAGCCUUUGCCAAAGGAGAGGACGAUGCCAAAGGUUGCAAAGGACUGAAACACCACAUGAGAAGAGGUCGCUUUACAUCAAGAAUCCUUUGAAGAGUAUUAACAACACAGAGCACAUGAUAAGGAACUUCAAGAUGCCUUUCCAUAAUGACAUAGCUCAUUCCUGCAGUGUUUCAAAACUUUCUUCAAGUUUCAUGGAAUGCAGCUUCAAUCUACACAAGGAAGAUAGCACUGACUAAUUAUCAAUAAAUGAAGAUAUCUGAGAUCCUAUUUUUAUUUAUUGAAAAUUCGGAUUUAUUUCUAUAAAAAAAUUAAUUAUAAAGUCUUAUUGAAACAGUGCGACUGUUCACAAAAAGUUACAAUUAUUUUUAUUUAUUUAAUUCCGAAUUUCUUAUGUCUUUUCAACGUAACUUUUGAGACAUACUUGUUCAUUUUACAACCUUUCCCGAAAGGUUGUCUUUGUUCUUUUGCAACAUUUUGAAGAGUUGCAUCUAUUCGAAAGACAAAGAUAAGUAUGCAUGUUUUGAGAUCAAACACGUAUCUUCUUCCAUUUUUUUUCGUUUUCUUUCGAGAGAAAAACAACAGCCAUUGUUUCUAAUUGUUUCCCAUGAGAGACCCUGGAGAAAUACUAGAAUUGCUAUCUAGUAUUCUCACUUGAGACUUUGUUGUAUUCUGGAGGAAAUUUGCCGGUGACCAUUAGCAACGUAGUGGGGCAAAUAAAUCCUUAAAGAAAGUGAUAUCACGCCUCAAAGUCCGACUUGAGUACUCUAAAGAUCCAACUUCAUUGUUCUACCCAAUUCGAAGCCAUAUUUUCCCAACACCUGCAGUGUUUCAAAACUUUCUUCAAGUUUCAUGGAAUGCAGCUUCAAUCUACACAAGGAAGAUAGCACUGACUAAUUAUCAAUAAAUGAAGAUAUCUGAGAUCCUAGCAUCACAAUUUACACCAUGAGAGAUAAGGUACAAUUGCGUAAACAUCAUUGACACCAAUUGCAGUUGGACGACAAUGAACAGUGACUUCAUUAGCUGGCCGAUGAAAAAGAAAUCAACAAGCUCAAAAGAAGUAAGCAAUUAGCAAUACUUUCCCUGUUUGUGUUUAGGAACAAAAUUGAAGUUAAUAAAAUUAUGCUGAAAAGGUGAAGUGCCUAAACUAUAGAAUAGAAAGAUGUAUUUGCUACUUGGUUAUUUUGCAAGAUCCAAUUAGCAAAAUCAGCAAUACCAAAUAGUUUAUGAGGAGGUCAAUUUCAACUUUACGAAUCCAAUGCCGCAUACAUGAGAGCUAAGCCUAUCAAAUCAGAAAUCUAUCUGAGAACAUUUAGAGGAUAGUAUCACACUAGUAAACUGACAAGAAUGAGGAGAUUGUCAUCAUGCAUACUUUUGUCCUAAUUUCAAGUGAAAUUCCACAGCUCAUAGAGUAUCAGCACACAAGUUAGUCUUUCAUGGUACAACUAGCAAUGCAUACCUCCCCCUUCAGAGCCUCGUCAAGUUCAAGAGUGAUAACAUUAGAAUGCGACUGUAUCAAGCAACUGUGCAUCAGGGUAACACAUAAAAAGUUAGAAGCUAUGUGUUUCAUUAACGAAGAGGUAGAACCUAAUGAGCAUACACAAAGCCUAUUUAAUUAAAAUAAGUACAUUUAGGUAUGUGUUGUUGAGACAAGAUCAAAUGUUUGAACAUUCACACAAAUCAAAACUUCCUUGGGACACUCCAGUUGCCCCUAGAACGUCUUCAAGGUUGGCACACAAGAUGGUCCUUGGCUGUUGCUGAUGCUUCCUCCGCAAAAUCCCUUUUAUUCAUUUUGAUUGGUCUCAUGUAUGGAAUUUGAAGUUGCUCAGCCAAGUUAGCCACACCCAAAUCAGAUGAUAAAACAAUUCCAUGGCAGCAAUAGGAUCAAAUGUGAUGCAAACUAAUUAGCAAAUUCUCGAGCCCCUCAUCCCAGCUUGUUUCACAGACCAGGCAAAAAUUGUCUAAUUAUGCAAAAGGUCAUCGACACGGUUGACUGAAUUGAAGUCCCAAAGUAAGCCUUGAUCAUUACAUAGACCAACCAAACCUAUCAUAGAAGCAGCACCAGUUUACCUUGCUUGAUAAUAUUUCAAAACAGCAUGACUACCGGUAAUGUUAGAUGAUCUACAUUCAUAUAUGACAGACUAGCCAAAACGGCUUUUCACAUUUUCUUUGUCACUAAACAGAAACACUUGAACCUUAAAUUUUAUUUUAGCUCAAUUCAUCAUAUUCCAAGAAGCAAUGCUCUUCUUAGAAGGUUAAUGAGGGACGUCAAGGGAACAAUAAGAAAUUUGACGGGGGUUUCGUUCAUCACGGAAAAUCAAAAGGUGUUUGUUCCGAACAGGAUAUCUACCAUUACUCAAAUUUGUCAUACAAAAGAACUUACAAAGGAACUCAAAAUGGCCAAGGAUUUUUUUCAAAGAAAAUAUGAACAUUGGACAUUGGGAAAUUCUGGGUGUAGUAUACAAUAACGAGAGUAGAAGUUCAUCAGCCUCUAGUUGAAAAUUUCAAAUCUCGGGUUUUUUUAUAAGGGAAAUGUUAAUUACUAGGUAAUUCCUGCUUAUCUUUGUUGGUAUUUAUAUUCUUGCCUGGCUGCUAUAUGUUUGCAGUCUACAAAAGCUGGCAGCGGAAGAAUAAACAAAAAACAUUGCUAUAACGUAAUCAACAGCAAUUAUAGAGAGGCAAAUCCGGAGUUUCCAAAAUCAACCAAAUAGAUACCCAGUGUAGAGCAAAUCAUUCUAAAAAUUUCUCUCUUCGCUCAUGCUGGCAAUUCAAGGAUGAAGAAUUUUACUAUGUCUUCUAUUGGGUCUCCAUUUUGAUCUUGGCUGAAGCAUCACGUCAGCUUCUGGCCAACUCCCCCACUCCUUCAAUUAUGUAAGACUAGCAAUUUAGACCCUGCCAUGGAAAGCCUUCUUGUCAGAAGAAGAUAGUGAUGUAAAGUUGGUCAUGAAUCUCAAAAGAAAAAUGAUUGUUCAUUGCUUAUUUACCUCUAUUGAAGAAACAUUACUCCUCUCACUGUUGUAAUAUGGGUGUAAGAUUUAUUACAUCAUUAUCACCGCAAGAUAAUGUUUUCAAAGAGAACUAAAAACAGGGAGGUAGUUCAUAAUUUUUAAAGAUGCGCAUUCCAGAUAAGUUAGGUAUUGCUUCCAAUGAGUCACAACAAGAAAUAUCCAAAUCAUUUAAAUUCAACAUUUAAAGUCCCUGAAGCUGAGUAAGUUACUUGCAAUCUUGAACUCUUAGAGAUCGUAGCUUCUCACAUCCUGUCAAUUUUGGCAAAGCCUCCAUUGAUUUGCAUCCUGUAAAAUCCAACUCUUCUAAGAACUCCGCAUCGUCAAGACCUUGAAUUUCAACUAGAUUGCCGCAACCAAAAGCCUAUAAUUUCUUCAAACACUUGCAUUCAUAUAAAAAUAUGACCUUCGAGGACUCCAAAUUACCAUAGCCCUCAAUUUCAACUAGGCUAUCGCAAUGCUCUAUGCAUAAUUUCGGAUGACUCAAUCAUAAAAGGCUCAAUGUUUCAAUGGAUUGCAAUUUUUUUAUUUAGUCUUCUAAGCGAAAGUUCUGUCAGCUUAUCCCACUCCUCAAAAUAGAUCUUCAAUCAUUUUGAGGAAGGCCCGCAGAUGUCUUCAUGUAAAUGGCGUACCUCAAGAUCAAGUUCUUCUAGGUGGGUGAGGCUAAAAAGCUGUGGCAGUCCAAGACUCUGAGAAGUGACCAACAGAUCUGUUAAGCCCGAAGGAAGCUAUGGCAGUGACUGAAGCCAGUGACAACUCCUUAGGUCAAGGCGAAGAAAGAUUCCUGACGCUUUUUGGCAGGUCAGUUAUCGGUGUGCUAUCGAGAUUGAGAAUCUUAAGGGAAGGCAAGUCACUGAUUUUGCUUGGAAUUACCCCUUUCAGACUAAAGCACCAUGAGAGAUCUAGAGUCCACAGAUUUUUCAACCUUCCAAUAGCACUGGGAAGUUUUUCGAUCCUAGAAAAACUCAAGCUCAGAUGUUGCAAAUUCUGUAAAUCCCCAAUUGAGCUAGGGAGAGGGGAUUUCUCUCAGCAACUCACAAUAGCUGGCACUUAGUUUCUUCAGCUUCCUCAGAGAAGCAAAAGACGGAGGAAUCUCUGUAAUACCAGUGACACACAUGUAGUCUUCCUGCAAGUGAUUUGUGGUUUGGCCUUUGCUAAAGAAUAGGACAAUGCCAAAGUUUGCAAAGGACUAAAACACCACAUGAGAAGAGGUCGCUUUAUAUCAAGAAUCCUUUGAAGAAGAUUAACAACAC